RNAcentral lists this long non-coding RNA (97146 nucleotides) under Gossypium barbadense (sea-island cotton). RNAcentral describes it as "long non-coding RNA (GBAR_LNC015839)". The stretch from base 83818 to 83961 matches the Rfam family "MIR7502 microRNA precursor family". The record is from RNAcentral. Lineage: Eukaryota; Viridiplantae; Streptophyta; Magnoliopsida; Malvales; Malvaceae.
UGUAGAUGAGUAAAAAUCAGACCAGAAAUAACAUUUUGAAAGCCUUCGAUUAGCCUUAUCUCCACAGCAUUGUCCAAAGCUAAAUGAAGAACUUCUGUCACUAAUGGAGAUAGCGAAUCUCCUUGACGAAGACCUCUACGGAAUCUGAAUUCAUUGGUAGUUGACCCAUUAAUGAUUACUUCUGCUCGCGUCGUAGAUAUGCAUUCCAUCACCCAACCUCUCCAUUUUUCAUCGAAUCCCAUCUGGAAUAACACCAACUCUAGAAAAUCCUAUUGAACGCAAUCAUAAGCUUUAGAAAAACCUAAUUUACAAAUCAAAUUGUCCUCUCUUCCAUCUUUCUUCUUGAUCGAGUGAAUUAUUUCAUUUUCUAUUAAAAUCCCAUCAAAUAUUUGUCUUCCUCUGAUGAAUGCACAUUGUGUCGCUCACCACCUCUCCGACUACCUCCCUUAUCCUUCGAGACAACACCUUUGACACAAUCUUGUACAAAGAGCUCACCAAACAAAUUGGCCUAAAAUCUAAUAUUUCAUUUGGAUUUUCUACCUUGGGAAUGAGUGUGAUAAAUGAUGAAUUGAUACUCUUCUCAAGCUUUCCCGAUAUGAAAAAAAUAUCAUGCAUCAAUCUAAAUAGAUCCUCCUUUAAAAUCUCCCAACUUUUUCUAAAAAAACACAAAUUAAAACCAUCCGGUCCAGGUGCUUUUGAUUCAUCGCAACUCCAAACAGCCUCUUUAAUCUCUUCCAUCAAAAAUGGUUCCUCCAAUCUUAAAUCCAUCUCCUCAUUAAGCAUUCUGAACUUCAGAUCCAAUUCCAUUCUCCACUUUCUUGCAGGGCAAUUAAAAUAAUUUUUGAAAAAAUUGUACAGUCCCUCUUUAAUCUCUUUAGGUUCCUUGUACCAAUGACCCCCAAUUUUCAAGCUAUACACCAUCUUUCUUUUAGCCUUGAUUUUAACUUCUCCAUGGAGAAAAGCACAAUUAGCAUCCCCUUCUUUUAACCAUGUCAUCCUUGAUUUUUGACGCCAAAUAGAUUCUUUAAAUUUUAUUGCUUCCCAAAGUUCAACGUUCAACUUUUUCAAUUCCUCCCUUUCCUGCUCGGUCAAUUUUAUGUGUUCGCUAGCUUCAUCAAUCUCCUUUAUCCUACUUCGCUUUCUGUAAUUUUUUUUUUCCAAAACAUUGCCAGCAUCCACAUUCUAUUUAUUGAGAGCUCCCUUGAGUUUUCACAAUUUUAUUGCCAUUUUCCCUUUUAAACUACCCAUUCCUAACCAUUCCUUCUUAAUUAAUCUCUUAUAGUCUUCCUUUUUAAACCAUGCAUUAACGAACUUGAAAGGUCUUGGUCCGUAGUCUAUUGUUUCAUUUACUUUAUGUUAUGUUAAGUAACUUAUUUUUUAGAAGUUUAAUAAAAGUAUAUAAUCAUAGUGAAAUAUUGCAGUUCACAUAAGAGGUGCUCAUGGGUCGGGCGGCCCGGCCUGCCGGCCCUCCCGAAAUAUGGGAGGGUUCGGGUAAAAAUAUAGACCCAAAAUAUGGGUUUGGGCAAAAAAAAUGAGGCCCGUUUAGAAAACGAGUCGUGCCUCGGAUACCACUUUUUUGGCCCAGACCCGGCCUGAAUAUAUAGUAAAUAUAUAUUUUUUAUUUUUUUAUUUUAAAAUAUUUUAAAAUACUUUUUUUAUUUUUUAUUUUUAAAAUAAAUUUUUGGUGUUUAUUAAAAAAAUAGGCCAGGCCGGGCUCGAGCUUAAGAAUUUUUUCCUGAGCCGAGCCUGGACAAAAUUUUAGGCCCAUAGUUUGGGCCGAGCUGGGCCCGAGCCUAGGACGCGGGCAGAAAUUUUUUCUGGACUCGACCCGAACCCGGUCUGGCCCAUGAGCACCUUUAGUUCACAUCAUCUUUCAAACAUUAAUCAUACAUUCAAAAACAAUGUAUUUCAUAAAAACUUUUAUAUAUAAAAUACUUACGAGUAGAUGUCAAGCUGAGCUAAUUUGAUUUUCCAUAGAAAAUUUUUAAAUAAUAAUUCACAACAACCAAUUAAUAAUAUAAAAAUCAUAAUACUUAUCUCAUCAUUCAAUUAUUAAUUAAGGGACAAAGGAAAUAAUGAAAUAUUAAAGAAUUCAUGAUUUGUUUUCUAUAUAUAGGGAGGGUUAUUGCAUAUUGAGACCAAAAGUGUAGUCGAAGUUGAUAUCCAACUAUCACUCUUUAGGUUUAUUGCAUUAAAUAAAUCAUGAAAUCUUUCCUUCCUUUCUUUGCAUUCCUCUCACUUCUCCUGGUAAGCUCUUGCAAUUUCGUAUGUAUUUGUACAUACAUAUAUUUAUUGUUAAUUUGUAUGGUUAAUUGCAUAUACUUUUAUAUGGAUUCAGUUUGUAGACACCAUUGCAGCAGCUAGGAAAGAUGCUGGAGAGUACUGGGGAGCUGUAAUGAAAGAUCAGCCUAUGCCUGAGGCACUCCAAGAGCUUGUUCGGAUUGAGGCUGCCGUUGCCAACCCCGAUGAGAAAACCAAGUGCCAUACAUCAGGUAACAUUGAGCUUAAGGAAGAGAAGAUUAUUGUUAAUGAGGAGUUCGAACCAAGGCCAAACAUUUCAGCUUACGGUGAUGACGCUAAUCUAAAAGGAGAUAAAUCAUCAUCUUUUGCAGAAGAUUUUGAACCGAGACCUAACAUUUCGGCUUACGGGGGCGAUGAUGCUGGUCUUAAAGGACAGAAAGAAUCAUUCACUAAAGAUUUUGAUCCACAGCCAAAUAUCUCCGCUUACAAUAACUAAUUAAAAGCGAAACCCAAGUACCAUUGGCUUAGACCCACAUCUUCCAUUAAUUUCGUCAUCAGAUUGUGUGUGAAGCUUUAUGUUUUAUAUUUGUGAAAAAAAUAAGUGGGUUGUUAUGAAUAUCUAUGAUUCUGUGACCACUAUCAUUACAGUAGAAUGGCAAAGGAACUGUGACCACUAUUGGGAUCUUUGUGAUGUUAACUCUUUGGAACAUCAAAUCAACUAUUAUUGCAACAAUUAUUCCAUGCUGAUUGUCAAUAGAGACAGAGAGAAUACUUUGCAGGUCUACAGGAUAUAUAAAAGAAUAAGUAUAAAAUAAUAAUAUUUACAAUACGAUAUUACAUGUGAUAAUUAACAUGGUAUAUUAUUAUAUGUUUCAACUACUAAAACUUAGGUGAACUCUAUCCAUUAUCGUUGUAUAUAAUGGUAAGUUAUAUUAUGCUCUCAAAAGAGAUUAUAAGUUCAAACUUUGGAGACAACAUUAUUAAGAAGGAUCAUAAACUCCGAAAUGAAAAAUAGUAAUAAAAAAAUUGAGGUUUACUCUACCAACUCUUGCAAUUAAUGCCAUCCUCUAGAAAUGGUCGGGCUAUCCGCUUAAAUCCAAAAGUUUGUUCAAAUUUUGGUAAAAAUAUUAGGUUAAAAAAUGUGUUUGAGCAAAAAAAUAAGCUCGUUUAAAAUACGUGGAGGCUCGAGUCCGGCCCGACCAGACCUAUUUUCUAAAUUUAUAUUAUAUAAUAUUAUUUUUAUAUAUUAAGUAAUUUCUACCACUUAAAAAUUAAAUUUAUAGUAAUAAACAAUACUAUAAUGUAAACAUGCUAAAAAUGUUAAAUUGCCUAUAUAUAUAAUUUUAAUUAAUAAAAAAUAAAUUAUUCAGUAUUAAAUUUAAAAUAACAUAAAUAUUUAUAAAAAAAAAUUAAAAAUAAUAUGGGUGGGCCUAAAAUAGGCUUGAGAUAAUCAUUUACAAAUAUAAAUAGCCUUGGUCAAAAUUUAAGUCCAUAUUUCGAGUUAGGCCAAGUUUGGACAAAUAUAAAAUAUGCUAAUAUUAUAUUCAAAAUGUAACACCCUAUACCCAACCCGAUCGUUAGGUCCGGGUACUAGAUGCUACACUAACCUGAAUGACUUAAUAAGUACUUCUGUUUCUAAUUUAAUUACAUACUUAAACAACUUAAAAUUCUAAAAUCUAACUACUAUUAAAACUCGUACAAAACUGGUGAAUAAUUCUUACGACCUUGGUUCCAACGUCUAUUUACAAUAUUUAGAUUAAGACUCGAAAAUGGAUAUAGUCAACUUAAACCCUAAGGCGUGGCCUUUACGAGUGCCCCUCUAUAUACUUGAACAGCUACCGCGCACCACUUAACUUUGGUGGAGUCUAACAUGGUCUCUCUUGAUUCUCAAGUCUUUUUCUAACAUGCAUUCAAGCAACAAUUUUACAAGUUCCGCAAAACUUAGUGAGAUUUGCACAUAACUUUAUGUAAAUCUAUAUCCUUAAUACUCAUAUUCAUUACUCAUGAUUGGCGAUGCUCAGUGUUUACCCAAAUAAUUGCCGUAAACGUGGGUCCUUACCCGAAUACGAUCUCUUUCUAAUAUUCUCUUUUCCUAGGGGAACGAGUACUUCCAAUGCAACCCCCAUAGCACCUGUUUUCUCAGUCUAUUAACCUUAAAGAGACUAUAUUAGAAUUACGGUUUCUACCUUUGGUAGAUCAACAAGAUCCUUACCAUUUAUCGUGGUCCUGAUGGACCUCUAUUUUUCAUUAUUAUCUGAUAGACUUUACUGGCCAUUCAGCCUUAAACGGGCAUUUUCUCCCACAUCGAUUCUUAUUGGCCUACCCAAUUUUUCGGUUGACCCUUUGUCGACUUACAAAUUAGGAUUUUAUUCUUUCCAUCCUCCUCUACAUUUGCUUAACCAAAAUGAAUUUUGUGACUUCAUGGGCAGACUCUUAUUAAAGAAAGUCAUGAUUACUAUCUCGUUUAAGGAAUUUCUCCCUCCUUUCACACGUGGCUAAGUUAGGACGCUUCUUAGGCUCCAUUCGUCAUUGCCCUUGGCGAAUCCCCUAGGUAUCCAGAUAUCUUGUGUUCCCAAAUACGCCAGUCCAUCUUGUUAAAUGUUUGGUCACUCAAGUCCCUUUGCGACUCAUCAUUUAUAUCCUGGUAAAUUUUUUGGUUAAUAAGUUGCGGACUUUACAUGUUGCCAUAACUGAGUUAUGUUCUUACUCAAGAAUUCCCAAGUCCAUCCUCUUAAAUGCUUGGUCACUCAAGUCUCGUAUUUUAUAUCUCGAUGGACUAUCUCGUGUUUAUUGUCCCGAUGGACUACCCCGUAUUUACUAUCCCAGUAGACUUUACUAGUCGCUAUAAUCGAACUAUGGUUUUACACCUUAUAAUUCUCGUGUUUAUUAUUUCAAAGGACUCUAUUGGUUGUCAUAGCCGAGCUAUGGUCUUACACUUUAAACCUCUUUGAGGUGUCACUCAAAAGACUUUACCGCCAUCGCGAUGUCACCCCAUAAAGCUUGUUGAUUAUCACCGCGGUGUUGCUCUAUAGAACCUAAUAACAGUUGUCACGGUGUCACCCCGAAAGACCAGUCGAUAUCAUUCCAUUCCUUAUUUAACCUUGAUGCUCGAACACCAUAGUGUCCACUCUGCAAGGCCAGGAGUUUCGCAUAUCACGACUUGCACCCAACAAUAGCGUAUGGUGGAAUCUUAACGGAAUUCCAUUUCCUUGUCCAUUUGCCCAUUCCUCCAGUUUUCCAUAACUACCUUAAUGCUUGAUCACCAAAGUGUCCCCUCUACAAAACCCAGAGCUUCACACAUUACAGUUUGCACCCAACAACACCCUAUAGCAGUAUACAGAGUGUCCAUUCCUAGUCCUAACUUCAUCUAACCCACCAAUAAUCUCUCCUUCAUACCCCACCGUUCAAAUAUGCAAUACAUGACAAUCAUGAACGUAUUAUCAUAGAGUAUGUUACUUUUCAAACAUAAAAUCUCAACAAUUUCAUACAUGCUGACACACUAACAGAUACUCAUAUACCUACUCAACCUUAUGCAUGCUUAGCAUUUACAACCAGCAGAAUUCAUACAUCAUCACAAUACUCAACACAUAAUCAUGCCAGCAUACAACAUUUCAUGGAUGGAGUACAAAUACUCGCCUUGCUUUAUUAUCCUUGACAGUUUAGCUUGUCCUGGCAGCUAAGCAUGACAACCAUUUACAGGUUAAACUAAAGGUGUUCAACCCUUAAAACCUAGAAUCCAUAAUUAUUCAAAAGCUUUUAAGAGUUCUUACUUUACUUCUCUUUUCAAUCUGCAAAUACAGAGAGGUAAGAAAACUUACUAGUUGUUUAAUUUCUAUACUACCAGACUUCAAUUCACACGACUACUAUGACAUACGGUGCUUUCUUUCAGUUAUAUCAUAUUCUUCUUCAGAGCGAUUGAAGAAGAUGAUGCUAUGUUGAGAUAAAUUGGUAGAUAGAAUUGAGAAGAUUAUGUCUCCACACACACCUAUUUAUAUACUCCUUUGGCACGAUUUUCAUUGACCGUCACAACAUUUCAUCCAUAAUAAUUUUGUCUCCCACUAUAGAACCAGACGGUUCUCAUCUAACUAAAUCAGAAUUGAAGUCCAACUAGUCACAAUUCAACCCUUAAAAAUUUUAAAUUUCUCAAUGGAGUUCAAAAAUUUACUAAUCCUUUCAAUUUAGUCUUAACCUUCCUUAAAUCUUGGGUUAAUAGUGUAACACCCCUUACCCGGUCCAAUCACCGAACCUGAGUAAUAAGAUGCUAUUAAAAACACCAAAUAAUUACAUACAAUUUGUAAUUUAAAAUCUCAAUUAAUUAUCAAACAAUUCAUAAAUAAUCAAGUUAACAUGUGAUUCAAACAAUUUCGGGUUAAUAUCGAACUUACAGAAGCUUAAAACCAACUCGAUAACAAACAGGGACCAUUUUGAAACUAAAACAAAAAGUUGGAAACAAUCUAUAAAUAAAGGUCACACGGUUGUGUCCUCUGGCUGUGUGGAAAUGCUAAUGCCGUGUAGGAUGAGACACAUGGCCGUGUAGACAAACCAUGUAACAAAUUGAUGUCAUGUGGAGUUAAAGUCACAUGGCCAUGUGAACAACCGUGUACUCUAACUAAGGCCGUGUGGGUCAAAAGUCCAAAUAUUCUAAAAUGUGUCACAUAGCCGUACCGUUGGGUCGUGUAUCAGACUGUGUCCAUGUGCACCAAAAUCACCUAAAAACUUAUAAACAACACGGUCGUGCCAUAGGUCCGUGUAUGGUACUCGGCCGUGUGUACUUGGAAUUACCUUUUAAUGCAAUAUUUCUACCUUAGCUCACUUAAGCAACAAGUAAUCAUUCUAAACCACAUUCAACCAAAUCAAAAGCAUCUAAAUCAAACCAAAAUUAUCAUUUAAAAUAACUACCCUGAGUGCCUAACCAAUAUGCCACAAUUGGCAACUCAAUUCACAAUUCAAAAUCAACCAAUUUAUCACAUUCAUCCAUACCAAUAUGCCUUCAAGGCACCUCAACAAGUUCGACCAAACGUAAGCCAUUAAACCCUUUUUAAUACAUAAUGAACCACUCAAGUUCAAUCACAAAUCAUACACCAAAAUUUACCAUUCAAUACAAGAUCAACAACAGCAUACCAUUAUUCAUCACUUUCAACUAAAUACCAAUCAACCACAUCACCUAACAUAUUAUCAAAUCAACCUUUAAACCAUGAAUCACAUAUACCAAAUUAAUUUAGCAAGACAUUAACAACAUAACCUUUCUCAUCAUAUACAUAAUCUCCAAUUACCAAUAAAAUACAAAAGGAUCAUUAUAGCCAUAAAACAUCCUAGGUACAUGCCAAAACCAAAAUGAACACAUCAGUAACACUUGAGUUCAAGAUUUCCGUUGGAUGCUAAGUCGAUGAUCAAAUCGUAAGGUACCUAACCUACGUACAAAAAAAAACCGAACAUUGAGUAUAACUUAGUGGUAUUUCUAUAAUCCAAACACUAUAACAUAACAUAAGACAUUUGAGUAGCAUAAGUUAAAAAUGCAUGAUGUUAUUCCAUUUAAUAUGUCAUCUAACCAUUUCUCAUAUUCUUGGAUCAAAAAAAUUAUAACUUAGCAAUAUCUAAGCAUGACCAACAACUUGAAAUACCACAAAUAUACAUUCAUUUUCACAUAUCACUUCAAAUUACUAACUAUUUGUCAUUUCAAUAUCAAUUUCAUAUUUCUAUUGAUCAUUCAAUCACUUGAAUUUUGAAUACUUAUCCAACAUCAACAUUCCAAUUAUAAACCUUUCAUUUUUAUCAUUUAUGCAAAUAUAUGAUAGCAUUGAUCAACUCAACAUGUAUUCAAUUUUUAUUUAUAUAAAUAUACACAUUUCUUCACAUAUGUUCAAUUUAGUCCACAUGAACAUAAAUCGAUUCAAAUUAAUCUAUUACAUCUCAUAAUCACAAAGUGUCUCACCUUAUGUUCUUACCAUACACAAAUAAUUCAAUAUGCACUAAUUUAGAUGUAGUUCGGGUUGUAGAAACACAAACUGUAAACUCCAAGCUAUUCGUUGACGACUUUGCCUUUUCCUUUCUUUUUCGAGAAAUCUGGGUCGAUGUUAAUAAAUUGAGGGACUAAGUAUUGAAACCCUAGGAAAAACUCUCCCACCCGUUGAAUUCCUUGAAGAAUUUAGUGAAGGAUAGAUUUUGAAGAAGAUAAUGCCUUUUCUUUCUCUUUCUUUCCACUUUCAACAUGUUUUACCUUAUUUUAACUUAUUUUAUUAUAAUUUUUUUAUAUUUUCUUCAAUUAUAAGAUACAUUAUUGUCCACUAUAAAUCCUACAAUGGUUUAAUUGCUUCAUAGGUCCCUUAGUCUUUUUCUAAUUAAAGAUUCCUUAAAAAUUACACUUUUGACACUUUUAUGAUUUAGUCCUUGUACCCUAAUUAAGCACUAAUUUGAUAAAGUUACUUGACCAAAAUUCAAUUAACUUCUAAUAUACCUCCGUAAAUAUUAAAUAAAAAUAUUUAAAGGUCUAAUUUAUGAAAACAGGGUCCCAAAGCCACACUUUCUGAUACCACUGACUUUUGAGUCGUUACACUUGUACCUUAAUUAACUAUCAAUUAAAAAAUUAUUAAACAAAAAUUUAAUAUAUUUCUAUUUUAGCCUUGUAAAUAUUAAAUCUACGAACAAGUUUACAAAAAUUACGUUUUGAAACUGGAGUUUCUGACACCACUAGAAAUGGGGUUGUUACAAAUAGAGAUAGUCGGGUGUUACACAAAACCCGAUUCAGUCUAACCCAUGAACAUCUUUACUUGGAAGUAAUAGUUAAGGCACCCAGUCACAAAAAAAAAGUUAGAUUGAAAGAGGGAGAUCCCUUUACCAAUUAUAUUGUAACAUCCGUGUUAUGCCUCGGAGUUAGGUACAAUGAUAUAUCGGGUUAGGAAAUAGUAGGAAAAUUUUGAAAUAGAUAAAAUAAGAAUUUUAAGUGUCAAUUUAGAAAACAGUUAGAGCCAAUAAGAAAUUAGGAAACGCUUAUUAGAUGAGAAAACUUGAUUUAGGACAUUGACUAAAUUGUAGGAAAAUAGAAAUUGAUGGGGCAAAAGUGAAAAAAUCAAAAGUUUGAAAUGAUUACAUGAAAUUGGUGGAAAAGGAAGAAGGACUAGGGGUGAAAUUUUACAAAAUAAGGUGUGAUUCACAUAUUAUGAAAAAAGGUAAAAGACAAAAUGGUAAUUAGCUAAAUUAGAUAAUUAUGGAAACAUAUGAUUAAAUGAUGAAAUUUUUUUGAAAUGGGAUUGGUGGAUUAAUUUAUAAAUUAAUAAAAAAUGAUUAUUAAAUUAAGAGAUAUUUUAGUGGAAUUGUGUAGAAAAUUGAAGAGAAAAGAUGAAAAUCAUUCAUCUUUCCCAUUCCCAUGCCACAACCAUUUUUCUCCACCUUUUAGACUUUUAUUUUUAUUACAUUUAGUUCCCUCUACCAUUUUUGAACCUUUCUAAGUUUAUUUCUUCAAGUUUCUUUCAUGUUUCCUUAGCAAAAUCAAUAUAGGAGUUUACUGGCUACCUUAAUUUCAUGAGAAGAGUCUUCAUAAAUGUAUUGAAGAGAGAGAAAGUAAGAAUUAAGUUGUGAUUUCAAGUGACUAAGGUAAGAGAUGAUGAAAUCUUCAUGACAUACAUGUUUAUUUCAAUAAAUUAGCAUAAUAAAGUUAUUUGAUUGUGGUUUUAACAUGAAUAUAUUAUAUGUUUUGAUAUGAAAUUGAAGAAAAAGAGAAGAAGUGUGAGGAUCAAAUUGAAGAAAAAGGAAAAAAGGUGAUCAAUGAAUAAGAAGAAAGGAAACCUUAUUAUCUAAGCUUUGGUUGUAAGUACUUUAAGAAUUUUGCCUUGUUUAGUUUUAAUUUAGCUAAAAAUUAUGCUAUUUAGACGUUUUAAUUACUCAUGUUAUAUGAAUUUAUGAAAUAAUUGUUGAUGGAAAUCUCUGUAAAUUAUGUAUAUUCUAUUUUAUGAUGUGAAAAUGAAGUAAUUCAUGCUACUGGUGAAAAAGAGACUAAAUUGAAAAGAAAGAAAAUAUGUCAUAAAAAUUUGAAAUGCUAAAAAUAGGGUUUAUAUGAAAAAUAUUAAAGUUAUGAUGUUAUGAAUAUUAAUUAUGUGAUGAAAUCUACAAGUUUGCAUAUAUAUGAUCGAGGACUAAAUGGUAAAAAGUGACAAAUUACAGUGUAUCUUUUGAAAUGUAUUAAAUGCUACAAUUCGUUGGAAGUAAAGCCCAUGUAGACGAGAUGUGAACUAUUAGGAUAUAGAUGACAUGCCAUUAAGGAUAUUUAGUGCGCCCUUUGUUCUAUUAGCAUUUCAGUGUCCUUUGUUUCGAUUGCGCUACGGUGCCCUCCGCUCUGACAUUACACUUCGAUGCACAUAUGUUCUGUUAAUGCACUUUGAUGCAACUUUGCAUUUAUUUCCAUAUGUUCUAAAUGUUCUAUUUAGUCUACAGUGGGUUAUUGAACAAAAUGUGGUCUAAACGAACAGAAAUGUAACACGGUAAGUUAUUGUAAAUGUUUGAAAGAAAAAGAUUGAAUUAAUGAUGGUGAUGAACAAAACUUAAUAUAUAUAAAUGCAAUGUGUAGUAAUUUAUAUAACUAUUUUUUUUUAAAUUCUUGAUGUACUUACUAAGCUUUCACCGACUUAACGCGUUUAUUUUUAACGCGUAGGUUGAAGAUAGAUUUGGAAAGUUAGAACUGAGGUCGUGAUCAGCUCAUCUCAUCACAUCGCCAAGCUUGGAGAAGAGUAUGACACUAAAUUUUGGUUUAGUUUGGCAUGUAAAUAGGCUAAAUAGUGUGUGAAUGUGAUAAGUGUCAAAAGUAACAUAUUUUAGCCUAAUUCUAUGUAUCUUUGGGUGAUUACGUGGUGUUAGUUGUGAAUUAUAUGCUCUUAAUCCUUUAAGUUCAUGUUUUGAAGCUUGAUAGAGCAUUUGGGAGCAAUAAGAGCAAAAAAGGAGUGAAAAUCAGAACAUUGGAGAAGUCCGGAAGUUGCACAUGGGCAAUAGAGUUUUACACGACCAUGUAGGCCACACAGGCGUGUAGAGCAUGUGGAUUUCGGGAACCAUGUGUGUUGAUAGCUAAAAGUUCUAUUUUUUAGGUUUUUGGCACUUUAAGAAGGUAUAAAUAAGAUAAUAAAAAGGAAAGGCAGCAGCCGUCAUAGAAUAGCACAAAAUUACCCAAAAGAACACCAUUGAAGGGGAUUUCCAAGCAGUUCGCCAUCAAGAUUCAAGAGUCUAAGUUGAUUUCUAAUAGAGUUACAUUGGUUGAUUUUAUUUUAGUGGUAAUAUUGUAUUUUUGGUGUUUCUUCUUGCAAGUAUGAACUAAAUUUCUAAAUACCUAAGGGAGAUGAAUCUUAGGAUGUAUUCUAUUGUUUGAUUUCUAGUUUUAUGCAAUAAAACAUUAGUUCUUUGUUUUCAAUUAUGAAUGCUUAAUUGUUCUUGGGUUGAUAAUUCUAGGGUAUUAAUCCAUGUUUUAUGUGCAUGAGUUUGAGGUUGAAUAGACUCUUUUUAUGAUUAGAUCUUGCAUAAUUGGAUGGAGUUGCAUGCAAUCCUAGAAAUAAGACGAGAUAAAUCUAUCGGAUUAGAGUCAAAUCUAAUAUAGAGAUCCAUAGAGCUAAUUAAUGCAAUAAUAAGGGUUUUAAUUAGAAAGAAAUUUCAAUUAAUCAAGCUAGAGUUAGUUGCUCUUAUGCUCGAAAAAGAUAUUAACAUAAAUUAGGGAUUUCUAUGGAUCAAAGAACUAAGAACAAAAGUUGUAUAAAUUAGAUAGAGAAUUAUAUAUGAAAUCUAGGUAGAUUCUUACCUAGGAAUUGUUUUGUCACUUGAUUGACAUUUAAUUAUUUUUGUGAUUUAUUUCUUUGACGCACUUGUUAGUUAAUUUAGUUAGUUAAGUUUAGUUUUAAUUAAUCUUUUGAAUUAUUAGGUUAAACGAUAGGAAGACGAUAAAUACUGGUAAUUGUAGUCCUUAAGGGAACAAUAUUUGUGCUCACCAUAACUAUACUAUUAAUUGAUAGGUGCACUUGCCUUAGUCGAUAUAUUAGUUAGUUUAGUGGACAUUAAAAUGGGUAUGAAGGACUAAAAUAAAAACUUUGCAAACUUUAUAAAUUCUGAGAACUUAAACAGAAACUCAAUAUGCUUGUGGUGUAUAAUAAUAAGUGAGUGAUAUGAAUAAUUUAUAUGCUUAAAUUUAAAUUGGUUUGGUUGCAUUUGAAAGUUGUAUGCAGGGACUUAGAGGUAAAAGUUAUAAAAUUGGCAAAGAAAACUUAAAUUUUCAAAUAAGGACAUGAUUCUCGAAAUUUACUCAGGCCAACCACACGGCAGUGUGGCAGACACGGGCUAUGACAUGGUCGUGUGAAUACUGGAAGCAAAUAUUUUUGGAACCACACGGUUCCCGAGAUCCACAUAGCCCGAGGACACAACUGUGUGCCCUAUUUUUCACAAUAAUCCUUAUCUAACCUUAGAAUAUUAUAUUAAAUGCAAAUAUGUUUUUAAAAGAAAUUAUUGAGCUCAUCCCUAAUCUUGGCAAUUAAUUAAAAAUAUUCAAUAACUGAUAAUUUCACUUUGAACAAAAAAUCAAAGUCUAUUAUUCUGACAAUCAAUGUAGCAUUCCUAUACUUGAUUCGAUUAUAGUGCCGAGUAUAAAGGUGUUAUAUAUAUGAUGAUUAAGAGAUGUUCAAUAAUCUUAAGAUAUCGUUCAAAGAGAAACUAUUGGGAUCCAUCGUUAUGUCACAGACAACAAAUGAUUCUUAUCAUUGUGAUUGGCGACACCAUAAAUAAGGUUAUUAGGAUUGAUUAUAAUAUUGAUAGUGGCUCUAGAGGCCAUUUUGCUCGAAUGGAAAUUUUCAAGAAGUGAAAUAUGAAGCUUUCAAAAUUCAAAUUAACAAUAAUGCACAACUUUAUACAGUGUCUAAUAGCAAAAUUUGACCAAAACAAUAACAAUAAUGGGCCACAGCUGAGCAUUUCAAAAUGCGGCCCAAUUUAUAACUACAAUAAUGCACACUAUUAUGCUUUCGGCUCAAAUCAACCAAAUUUCAUACUGAACCGACUGAAAACCCUUUUCCCCAUAGAACCAAACCCCGCGACCCGUGAUGGAGGAGAAACGCCGGGAUGCGGUUAACUCCCCGGCGGAACCGGAGCUGGCAUCAACUCGCCGUCGGGGUGGAGCGCUGAAGAGAAAAGUUAAUUCGCUUUCCGGGUCUAGUUCUUCAUCAACUCCGUCGAAACGGGUUACUCGGGAGAAGUCAAACUUGAUCUCCCACUCUCCCGUUAACCAUUACGGUCCGUUAACCAGGGCUCGCCAAGGGGCCCCUAGUGGAAACCUAGCCUUGGGUUCGAGUUCGGGAUCGGGUGGCGCAAAGCUUGAGGAGACGAAUUUGGUGAAACAAAGUGUAAAGGCGGAAGAUUUGGAAGAAUUAAAGGCAAGUGAAGAGUUGGAGGCUUUGGAAGCUAAGAUUGAGGCUGAUUUUGAGGCUAUUAGGUCUCGUGAUAGUAAUGCGCAUGUUGUUCCUAAUCAUUGCGGUGAGUUUUUUCUUUUCCCCUUUUUCUUUUCCUUGUUUGGUUGAUGGGAAAAUGGGCAGGAAAGGGAAUGAAGGGUGAACUAUUUGUUUUACAGCUUUAGUGAUGUGAAUUCUUUCUUGGGAGGUAGUGAAUUGGAGAAAUUAUGUGGAAUUUUUUUUCGUUUUCUGUUGAUUUAGAGUUCAAUUUAGUUUGUAUUGUAGUUUUUUUUGUCUCAAUUGUGGAAAACAAGAAAAAAAAUAUUGGAUGUGUUUUCUUGAAUAGUUAAUUUGAGAGUUUAUUUCUUUAUUUUUUUCUAUAUGCUAUAUGAAUUCCAAGUCUUUUUUAUGGUAUUCACAAUGAAAUGGUACAUAAGUAUUCAUCCAGUUUGUUCUGCUCAUUUCUUAUCAGCCAUGCAUGAGAAUUAGACCUUGCAAUAUUAGACACGAUAUGCAAAACAUAAGUAAAAUAUUACACAGAGCCAAAAAUAAAAAUAAAAAAUCCAUACUACACAAAUACAUGAAUGUCUCAGAAUCCACUUAAACAUGAUUAUGACAUAGGAAAAAACACGAUUAGGUCACAGUACUCAAGCUGCAAUGAAAAUGAUGAUCUUAUUUUCAUUAGCAGAGAGCAAACUAGGGCUAAUAAUUGACUUUAUUGGAAGCAUCUUAUUUUGAAGCUAUAAAGAUUGAAAAAGAAGAAACUGAACUAUUAGAUUCUUUGGUGUUUCCUCAUGUUGGUUUUUGUAUUCAUCUUCUCUUUGUAUUUAUAGGAUGGUUUUCAUGGACAAAAAUUCACCAUCUGGAAGAGAGUAUCUUGCCUUCUUUCUUUAAUGGGAAAUCCCCAAAUCGUACCCCUGAUGCAUACAAGGAGAUUCGCAAUUGGAUUGUGAAGAAAUUUCAUGCAAAUCCAAGCAAGCAGAUUGAGUUGAAAGAUCUGGAAGAUCUUGAAGUCGGUGACUUGGAUGCAAGGCAGGAGGUAUUGGAGUUCCUGGACUACUGGGGUUUGAUUAAUUUUCAUCCAUUCCCUCCAGCUGGUUCUGCUGUGCCUAAUCCCAAUGGGGAUGGGGAUGGAGAUGGGAUGACAGAAAAGGAUUCUUUGCUUGAAAAUUUGUUUCACUUUGAUGAAAUUGAAUCACGCCCACAAGGUGUUACCAAGCCUAACCUUUCAAGCCCAUCUCUACCAUCUGGGCUACUUCCAGAAUCUGCGGUCGCUGAGGACUUGAUGAAUCCGGAGGGGCCAUCUGUUGAGUACCAUUGCAACUCUUGUUCAGCUGAUUGCUCUAGGAAACGCUACCAUUGCCAGAAGCAGGUUAGUUACUGAACACUGACUAAUAAAUAAUUGUAUGAGCCUCAAAUUAUUUAGAUCACUAUGAAGAGAAAAAUAACUGCACUAAUCUUUCCAAGUAUCCUUAUGGUGGUAGCCAAUGUUUCUACAUUUCCUGCAUUGAACUCAUACAUGCUUACUUCUACGAAAUCAAUUUGUAUGACAUCUUCAGCUCAAGCCAAGUGAUAAAUAAAACUGGAAAUCCACGAACUUUCUUUGCUAUUGAUCUUUGUCCAACAAAUAAGAAAUCAGCAUAAAUGGUUUGCGCCACCUGCACGAUCUGAUAUGCACGGCUUUCAAUCUUUGAAUAAUGUGAAUGAUUAAAAUGGAAAGAAUAACUAAUUUAGUAAAUCUGUUUUAUUUAUUGACUUAUUGUUCCGUUCUUUAUGAUCCAAGUAUGUUUGUAUUUGGCAGGCAGAUUUUGACUUAUGUACUGAUUGCUUUAACAAUGGGACAUUCGGUUCUGGCAUGUCUUCAUCGGAUUUUAUUCUCAUGGAACCUGCUGACCCUGGUCUUAGUGGCGGCAAGUGGACAGAUCAGGAAACCCUUCUCCUUCUUGAGGCACUUGAACUUUAUAAAGAAAACUGGAAUGAGAUUGCAGAGCAUGUUGCUACGAAAACAAAAGCACAAUGCAUACUGCAUUUCGUUCAAAUGCCAAUUGAGGAUGUAUUUUUUAAUUGUGAUGAUAAUAACAUAGACACGAAUUCAAAAGAAACUGCUGGCCCAGCUGCCAUGAAUGAUGAAACAACUGUCCCUAAAGAUGUCUCGGAAACAACAGAGAGUAAGACUACUCAAGAAGAUCAGGCCCAGACUAUGCCGAUGGAAACUUCAAAACCUGAAGAUGAAAAAGAAGUCAGGGGUAGUGAGGAACCAUCAGAAACCAAAACUGGAACUGAUGCAAAAGGUGUUAAAGAAACAUUAAAGCCAGAAGAUAUGAAUGUACCAAAAGAUGGACUAGAAGCAACUGAAAAUUGUGCCCUUACAGCAAUAAGGGAGGCAUUUGAAGCUGUCGGUUAUAAUUUAACAUCCGAAAGCAAACUUUCAUUUGCUGAUGUAGGAAAUCCUGUCAUGGCAUUGGUAAGUUGAAUGCGUAAGUAUUUAGUUUAGGUUUUAUUGAUUGAUGUAUAUGAAGGGAAAACUGAGUUCAUUUACAGAUCUAAAUUUAUCCAUUUUGUACAUGGCUUCUGAAAUAGUAUUCUCAUCUUCGACUUGUUUCACCAUUCAUCAUUUACCUCAUCUAUUUGUUGGUGAUAUGGUACAAACAUAGUGUUGCUCCAUUUGCAGGCAGGAUUCUUUGCACAUCUGGUUGGACCCAACAUUGCUGCUGCUUCAUCCCAGAGUUCACUUAAAUCAUUAUCUGGUACUUGUCCGAACAUUCAACUGGCUGCCAGGAACUGCUUUGUUUUGGAAGAUCCACCAGAUGAGAAGGAACCAACAUGUUCUAGGAGGUAUGUUAACCUAUGCCAAGCUUAUAUUUACUUAGCAAUUUGUGAACGUUAUCUGAUGUCAGUUAGAGACACACAGUGUUGCCAAUGAUACGGGUAAUCGGGGUGCUCAGAAUGUGAAACACUCGGAAGACGAAAGCCUCAAGGGGGAUCAGAAAAGUUCAUUGAGCCACCAUGGUGACGAAAACACUGAAGUCUCUCUUCGUGAAGAGAAUGCGACAUCGCCUUCACCCAAUGACCUAACCACGGAUAAAAAAGAGUCAAGCAAUUUUGCCACUAAUGAGGAAGAUAAAAAAGCUAAUUUGAAUGAAUCCAGCAUUAUUAAUCAAUCAAAGGAUCAUCAACCAAGUGUAACAAGGGUAUCAAAUAACUUAACAUCCCAGGUUCUACCAAGUUCUCUAGAGGAGACAGGUGGGAAGGAAACAGCUAAAGAACCUUCUCAGCCUCCAAAAGCAGUGAAGGAAGUAGAUAUGUCUGGUUCUGUUCAACUGAAAAAGAAUGAGCCUUGUGAUGCCGCUGCAUCAAAGCCAGUGGGAGAGCUAUCUGAACCAGCAAAUGCAUCAGAAAAUCUAGAGACAGCUUCCUGCUCUCCAUCCAGAUCAAAGAAUGAGCAAAAAACUGUUAAACCAAUCCCUGAUGGGGAAUCUACGGAGCCUGCAGAUGCAUCAGAUGAUGUUCAACUGGUGUCUGUUUCACAACCAUCUGAAAGGAGUGAACCUCCACAGCCAGUCACAUCGAAUUCAGUAAAUGAAAAUGGAGUAACGACAGGUUUCUCUCUUUUCUUCUAUAAAUAUCUUGUUAGAAAGUGGAAGCCGCAUUAACAGAAUCUAACUCUACUGCAAAAUGCUUAGCAAUAUCUUAUGGGAAUAUGUAGGGAUAGAUAGCGUCUGAUUUAAAAUAUACAAAGAAGGCUAAAAGGAACAGUUGGUUCUAUAAGGUUGAGCGUUUGCUAUCUUUAUUGGUUUUACAUAGAGCAGCUAGGAAAAUUGAAACUUGAUACAUAAUGUUGUUUCUACUAGGUUCUGUAGAGGUAUGUAUUCCAAGAACCACCUGCUGGCAAAAUGCAUAGAUCAAUUUUGGGUGUAUCUUAUUGUUCUUUGCAGACAAGAUCGAAGAAGGUAAAAGCAAGAACCAUGACUCUACAGAGAGAGAAGAUAAUAGUAGCAUUGAUAAAUUAAAGAGAGCUGCAGUUACAGCACUCUCAGCAGCAGCAGUGAAGGCAAAACUUCUAGCAGACCAGGAAGAGGACCAAAUCCGACAACUUACCACAUCAUUAAUAGAAAAGCAGGUAGGUUAGUUGCUAAAUAUAUGCACUCUGUUUUUCCUAUGCACAUCCAACUGGAGCAACGUCUAACGUUUUAGAAGCUUUAACUCAAUCCAGUUACAUAAGAUGGAAGCCAAAUUAUCUUUCUUCAAUGAGAUGGAGGGAGUCGUAAUGAGGGUGAAGGAGCAAUUGGACAGGUCAAGGCAAAGGCUUUACCAUGAGCGAACGCAGAUAAUUGCUGCUCGACUGGGCUUACCAGCUUCCUCCUCUAGAGCAAUGCCGCCACCAAAUGCUGCAAAUAGAGUUGCAACAAACUUUGCAAACUCGGUUGCAAGGCCUCCAAUGAGCAUGAAAGCCCCAAGACCACCAUUGUCGAGACCCAUGGGUUCUAUGACCCCUACCCCUUCCAACCCAUAUGUAUCCAAUACAGUUGCAGGGAGUUCAAUUCGACCUGGUAGCCAAGACAAUCUUUCCUCCGUUGGAACCAAGUAGUCUCUAUUCAUAUUACUUGUGAAUAGAAUUUUUCAAUCCAUUCUUAUACAAGGGUCAUCCAUCUUGAGAUGCAUCUGGUUAGUACCCCCUUUUUUUAUUGUUGCAGUUUCUGUUCUUAACGCUGCCAGUCAUCUUGGGUGCAUUUAAGAACUUGAGAAUAUACUCAAGCUGAACUCAUGGCAUAUUCAUAUCUGAUGUUUUCUGCUAAUUCCAGCCACACCACUGAUUUAUCUCCGGAUACUGCGGCCUAUAUUACAUAAUUGACUGGCAUCACAUCAUCAUAGGAGGAAGGAGUAGAUGGUUAUUGUUCUCCCUUCAAUCCUAAUCUAGUCAACAACAGUCUAUAGCCUAUGUCUAACUUGGAAUUUUCUUGAAUGCUUUUGGGUUUUUGUAAGUCUAGUUUGUAGUUGAUAUUUUGAGACCUCAAAUGAUGAAUUUAGGUACUGCAAAGUUAAACAUCCGUAACCAUACCAAAUUCUUAGGUCAUCUUUAAGGUCAGAUAUAACCAAUGUAUUCUAUAUUUAUGGAUGAACAGAUGUGUUUUUGUUGUUACAAAAUGGCGUAAAUCUCUUGGUUUGAAGCUCCCUUUUCUCACCUGUAAUGGCUUUCUUUAGUGUCAUAUAUCCAACUACCCAAAUUGCAUAAUAUGCCUCUCCAAGAACACCACACAGCAGAGGCAGGAAAGUUAUAUCUGCUGAAAUCAGGCUGCAAAAUAAUUUUAAUUUUCUGAAAAACUGAUAUUUUCUUAUGUUUGAUUGUAUGAAAAAUAUCCUUUGAUAAUUUUUUCUAAAAUAAUUUUUUAAAUGUUUUUUUUUUUGUAAAAUAAAAUCAACAUAAGUAUAUUUGUUUUAGAAAAUUGAUUCUAUAAUAAGAUAAUAUUUUGUAAUAAUUAAUAUAUUAUAUAAAUUUUAGAGAAUGAAUGGUGAUAGUUUAUUAAUAAAUAUUUAUAAAAUGUAAUAUGUUUUUUUAUUAAAAUAUUAAUAUAAAUAUCUUUCAAUAACAUAUUAACGAUUUAAAAUUCAAAAUUGUUGGUAAAAUGUAUUAUUAAAAUAAAAUUUGUAAUAUUAAAUAAUUGAUUAAAAUAUAAAUUAUAUUAAUUAUAUUAUUGAAUAUAAAUAAUUUAAUAUGCAUGUUUAAUAAUAAUUGAAUAUUAUACUAUUUAUAUUAAUAUUUUAGUAUUUUAAAAAUUAAAAAUUAUAUUAAAUAUAUUAAUAAAAGGCAUGAUUCAAGUAAACUAUUAUAUAAAAAUAAAAUUACUUACAAAUAAAUUCUUUGCAAAAAAUGACUUAUGCUUUAAGUCAAUUAUCAAGAAAAAUAGUUUAUUUUCGUUGACUUGUAAAUGAUUUUUCUAUUAAUUAAGUUGUUUUCCAUAAAAACAAAUAUAUGAAAAUAAAGAAAAUAUUUUACGUGAGUGAGUUAUUUUUAAUAAAACAAACGCAUUCAAAUUUUUACAAUUAGAUUAAUGGUUGGAUCCUGUCAAACCACUUAUUCGACUGGUCUAACUAGUUGAUUUGAUUUAAUUAAAUAAAUUAUUAAAAACUCGUUAAAAAUAAAAUAAUAAUAAUUUAGUCGUCAAAUCAUGCUAUAGGUCAUCUUUUUCCAAUGCCUUUUAGAGCUACAGUUGUCCCAAUCAAAUAGAAACUUUUUCCAAUAUUGCUGAGUUAAAGGAGAUGAUUGUGUAAAGCAAGAUGCAUUGUUACAAAUCUCAAUUCUUCAACACAAUCAAUAACAGAUUAACAGCUGAACCAAGCUUUAUAUUCAAGCACAAGGAAAAAUUAUUUUAACUUAACACUAAAUCAAAUGUAUAGCUUAGUACGAGACUCAACCUCUAAGGUAAAAAAAAAAAAAACUCUACCUAUAAUUUUGAAAUUAUUUAAGAGAAUACACAUUUUAGUUUUUUUUAUAUUAUUUAUGUUCGUUUUAUGAUCUAUAUUCGAGGUUUAUGGCUAUAUUUUUUAACAAUAUUGUCUUCAAAAUUAAAACCUGUAUCUUUUCCUUAAAAGUGCAACAUAUCUUUUCAUUAUACCUGACCACUUAUUGCUCUUGUUUUGUUGAAAGUUAUUAAAAAAAUGUGUUUCGUUACUACGAAUCAAAACUUCGUUUUAAGUGGUUAUGUGUAUCUCCUACUAUUAAAAAAGUCUAGGCAUUGUAAUAGUACAAAAUUUUAUUUUUAAUUAUUAAUUAUAAUAGUUUAAUAUUAUUUUCAAUAAUGAAUUAGGUUGCUGAACAGGUUUGGCUCAAAUCUAGUUUAUAUUACCCUUAAAAGUAAAUUAAAUAAUAGUUAAAAUUCAAUAAUGUUGACGUUUAUAAUGAUUUAAAUUAGAUGAUGUCUCUAUUUCAUCUUCCUUGAUAGUGACAACCCUCACCUUCUCCAUUUUAUAACCAAUAUGAAUUACAGAUGUUCAUAUAUAUAUAUAGUUAAACAUACUUAAAUAUAGAUCCUUUUAAAUAUUAUAAUACUAUUUAUAUUGAUGGACUUAAAUCUACGUAAUUUAUUACAAUCAAGUCCCUAAAAUCUGGCAUGGUUCAAACUUAACGAAAGCAAAAAGGGGGCAACAUUAUUGAUGGAAUAAACAAUCACUCGUAAUCCAUAGAAGAAGAUAAAAAGCUAGCAAGAUAAUCAUCUUAAUCGUGAAUUACAGUCACAUUAUACUCAACAAUGGCAUCGCCAGUCUUGAAAUUCACGGAAUAAGUCUUGAGUUGUGCAUACCCUUUCGCCAUCCUGAACUUCCCUUUCCCUCCGACCACCGCAAGCUCACGCUCCGAUUCGGUAAUUGGAUUCCUCGACAAAACACUGAUAGAGCUGCCGUUGAAUUCACCUUUCGUAAACCCGAUGUCCAAGUACGCCAUCAGAGUCAAAACGUCUUUGCCUGUCGACACCCAGAGGCCUUGAGCGUUCCCUAUGACCUCUGAUGUUAUGUCGGGGCCAACGGUGAGUGGAUCAUCGAAAGCUAUCACGCCGCCGAAGCCCGUCGAGGUGGUGGUGUUUGGACUGACUAUGGGGACUGCACUAGGAUUGUUGCCGCUCCUAGUGUCGUGUAAAAAGAAGUGGAGAUAGGUUACUUUUUGGGGAGGUGGAACGUAUGGUCCGGCAUGGGAGUAAUAAUCUUGGCAACGAGCUACUGCCAUGGCGGUGCUGAGACUCAAAAUCCAGGCUAAUAUCAUAUUUCUCUCCAUUGGUAAUGGUCAAUGGGAUUUCACUCUUGUGUAUAUUGUAUUAUGGCACCUAAUUCAUAGGUUCCUAAGUUUAUAUAGAAAGAUAAAAUAAAACAAAACAAAUAUUUAUAUUUAUAUUUUUAUCAUUUUAAUUUUUUAAUUAAAUUUAAUCAUUAAUCUUUUAAAAAAUAAGAUAGUUUUCUUUUAUCAAAAAUACUAAUUAAAACAUUAAUUUUUUAAUCAUGUCAGCAUGAUAACCAACAUAAUAGUUCACGUAUAUUUAUCCUAAUAUGAUACUAUUGUUCUAAUGAAUAAAAAUUUUAAAAUUCAAAACAAAUAUAAAAAAGUUAAAAAAAUUAGCAUGAUGUACGCGUUGAUUACCAUAUGACUGUUAUAUUUAAAUAUUAAACAAUUUAGUAAGUAUUUAUGUUUAAAAAAAAGUAAUUAGAUUUAAUGGUCAAAUUAAACUCGUUUUAAAAGGUUUAGGAUCAAAUUUAAUUAAAAGAGGAUCAAAAUUGAUAAAAGAAUAUAAAUAUUAAAAAGUCUAUAGGCCCUUCCGUUGGGUUAAUUAAGAUUCAGUAAUACUAAUGUAUUUGUGCUAUGUACAAAAAUACAAUUAUAAUAUUAUUGGUGGCAAAAAAAAAAGAUAAUACUAAUGUAUUUUAUAUAAAAUUAAUAUAAAAUAGAUAAGUAAAAUUUAGGAUAAAUUCAUAAAUCUAUCAAUUUUGAAAAUAAAAUAACUUCAAUUUAUGAGAAAUAAGAAUAAUUAACAAAUUAUACUUCUAACUCAAACCAAUCCGUACAAUGCUAAGGCUGGUAGCUUUUGGUUAUAUUGCUUAAAAGCUUUCGCAUUCUUAAUCUGCAUAAAACAACGAAGGAUGAGAAGACUAUCAUAUCCUGCUUGAUGGCUUAAUCCAGCAACACGAGCCACGUUUAAAGUUUUUGCCACCUUUUCUAGUCCACCGUGUAAGUUAAAGAUCUUGAAACUGUACUUGAUGUCAAAAAUCAUACAACCAAAGUAAUAAGUCAAAUGUCGCAUGAAAGACUUGAGAUCAGGCGGUAAUAGAUUUUGAGUCAAAAUCUUCAAAAAAAACCCAAAAUCAUAAGCGCUGUGAAAAGUUACCAAAGUCAAUUCACUGAAACCCAACCCGGAAAUCAGAACCAUCAUGCCAAAAUCUCUUGAACAGAUGCCUUUUUCCUUAUUCCUUGUAAAAUCUAUACCUUGUCGUUUAAGCAACUCAAUAGACUCUUUAUCGUAAUGAUCUUUUUCAAUAUCAAAAUCUUUAAAAUUAAACUCCCAUAUAUAACAAAAAGGAGUUCCGAAAUCUGGCAAAUUACCUUCAGAAUCAGAGAGUGUUAAACUGAGUUGAAUGAUCUUCAAAGCAUCGACAUUAACUUUCAUGAACCUGUAAUUGACUUCGGGAUUUCCUAAUUGAACAAAUCUUUUGUCCGGUUUAAAAAUUGUACCAGGAAAUUCGGUAUCCAUAGAAACAAACGAAUAGUUGUGGAGUGCACUUUGAAUUAACAUAAACUCGUAUUCCAAAUUAUCAGCAAAUACUUCCCUAACAAUCACUGGUUUGUUGACAAAAAUCGACAUUUUUUUUUCUUGACUUAUACUUUAAACUGAAACUAUUGAACUCUAGAUAUACUUUUCGUGAUCUUAAGUCAGUUCUAACUAAGAUAUAUAUAUAAAUAUAAUUUUCAUAAUCCUAAUUCAAUUCUAACUAAUAUAAUUUUCGUAAUCCUAAUUAAGUUCUAAGAUAGUGUAUUAAUAUAAGGAGGGUACUCUGUUAUAUAUAAUUUCUUAAUUUAAUUUUUUUACUAAAUUCGUUUUAGGAAAGGAAAAAGAAAAACUUGUGGAUUUUACUAAUUUGCCCUUGAAAGUUACUGCAAGUUAUAUGUUUUGAUGGGUGAGAUUUAGGUUUAAGGUUUAGUGUUUACAUUUUUAAGUUUAUGUUUUAUUAUUAAUAAUAAUAUAAAAGGUGUCACAAUUAUAUAUUUCAAAAAAUAUAAUUUAAUAUUUAGUUACACAUUUAAAAAUAAUUAUAAUUUAAUUAACCCCCAAGGCGGAAUGAUCAGUAUCGAAAAUAUCCCAUUGGUCGCGAAAACACGCGGACCUUAGGCCGGGUAGGGUCGGUCGGAUCGGGUUGUAUCAAAACGGCGCCGUUUUAGCAUCGGAAAUUAAAAUUCAAAACGAUGCCGUUUUACAACUCCUAUUUAAGUAAAAAAAUUUUAAAAAAUAUCAUUUCAGCCUUCAUUUAAAAAAAAACCGAAACCUUCGUUUUUUUUCUCAAAGCUAUCUCAGGCCGGUCAUAGCUCCGGCGAUCACCGUCGUACCGGCCACCUGUCACCGGCGAGAGCUCCGCCAUACACUGAGCCUUUAGUUUUUAUUUAUUUAUUUGGGCUUGUUAUUAUUAUUAAUUUUUAUUUUAUUUCUUGGUUUAUUUUUUGAUGGGCCGGGCAAAAAUGUCCCAUUUCAGAGUAGAAGGUUAUUGUUCUCCCUUCAAUCCUAAUUUAGUCAAAAACAGUCUAUAGCCUACGUCUAACUUGGAAUUUUCUUGAAUGCUUUUGGGUUUUUGUAAGUUUAGUUUGUAGUUGAUAUUUUGAGACCUCAAAUGAUGAAUUUAGGUACUGCAAAGUUAAACAUCCGUAACCAUACCAAAUUCUUAGGUCAUCUUUAAGGUCAGAUAUAACCAAUGUAUUCUAUAUUUAUGGAUGAACAGAUGUGUUUUUGCUGUUACAAAAUGGCGUAAACCUCUUGGUUUGAAGCUCCCUUUUCUCACCUGUAUUGGCUUCCUUUAGUGUCAUAUAUCCGACUACCCAAAUUGCAUUAUAUGCCUCUCGAGAACACACAGCACAGGCAGGAAAGUUAGAUCAGCUGAAAUCAGGCUGCAAAAUAACUUCUAAAAAUGGGUUAACUUUUAAAUAUUAUAACAAUUAAGUCCCUUAAGUCUGACACGUUUCAAACCUAACGAAAGCAACAGGGGGCCAACAUUAUUGGUGGAAUAAACAAUCACUCCUAAUCCAUAGAAGAAGAAAAAAAAAACUAGCAAGAUAAUCAUCUUAAUAAUGAAUUACAGUCACAUUAUACUCAACAAUGGCGUCGCCAGUCUUGAAAUUUACGGAAUAAGUCUUGAGUUGUGCAUACCCUUUCGCCAUCCUGAACUUCCCUUUCCCUCCGACCACCGCAAGCUCACGCUCCGAUUCGGUAAUUGGAUUCCUCGACAAAACACUGAUAGAGCUGCCGUUGAAUUCACCUUUCGUAAACCCGAUGUCCAAGUACGCCAUCAGAGUCAAAACGUCUUUGCCUGUCGACACCCAGAGGCCUUGAGCGUUCCCUAUGACCUCUGAUGUUAUGUCGGGGCCAACGGUGAGUGGAUCAUCGAAAGCUAUCACGCCGCCGAACCCCGUCGAGGUGGUGAUGUUUGGACUGACUAUGGGGAUUGCACUAGGGUUGUUGCCGCUCAUAGUGUCGUGUAAAAAGAAGUGGAGAUAGGUUACUUUUUGUGGAGGCGGAACAUAUGGUCCGGCAUGGGAGUAAAAAUCUUGGCAACGAGCUACUGCCAUGGCGGUGCUGAGAAUCAAAAUCCAGGCUAAUAUCAUAUUUUUCUCCAUUGGUAAUGGUCAAUGGGAUUUCACUACUGUGAUUAUUGUAUUAUGGCAGCUAAUCGAUAGGUUCAAUUUAUCCUUUUUUUAAUUAAUAUUUUUCAUUAAACUUUAAAAGGAAGUUAAAUAUUUUGUUUAACGAAGUACUACCUAAAAUAUUAAUCUUUUAAUUAUGUUAGCGUCACAAUUAAUAUGAAAAUUUAUGUGUAUUUUAUCUUAUAAAAAAGUAAGUAAAUUCUUUCUAAAAUUUUAAUAGUUAAAUUAAAUUAUUUAUAAAAAAUUUAGGGCUAAAUUUAAGUAUAAAAAAGGAUAAAUUAAUAAAAAAUAUAAAUAUUAAAGAAUAAAUGGAUGAUUAUGCAAUUUAAUUAUAGAGAAGGCAAUCUCUGCCCGAGCUCUCACUUAAUGGAAGGCAUCGUAAUGACAUUGUUAUCGCAAAACGUAAGCAACCAUCUAUGGGCCUUCCCUAGGGUUAAUUAAAAUUCAAUAAUACUAAUGUAUUUGUGCUAUGUACAAAUAUAAAAUUAUAAUCUUAUUGGUGGCCAAAAUAAACGAUAGUACUAAUGUAUUUUAUAUAAAAUUAAUAUAAAGUAGAUAAGUAAAAUUUAGAAUAAAUUCAUAAAUCUAUUAAUUUUGAAAAUAACAUAACUUCAAUGUAUGAGAAACAAGAAUAAUUAACAAAUUAUAUUUCUAACUCAAACUAGUCCGUACAAUGCUAAGGCUGAUAACUUUUGGUUACAUUGCUUAAAAGCUUUCGCAUUCUUAAUCUGCAUAAAACAACGGAGGAUGAGAAGACUAUCAGAUCCUGCUUGAUGGCUUAAUCCAGCAACACGAGCCACAUUUAAAGUUUUUGCCACCUUUUCUAGUCCACCGUGCAAGUUAAAGAUCUUGAAACUGUACUUGAUGUCAAAAAUCAUACAACCAAAGUAAUAAGUCAAAUGUCGCAUGAAAGACUUGAGAUCAGGCGGUAAUAGAUUUUGAGUCAAAAUCUUCAAAAAAAACCCAAAAUCAUAAGCGCUGUGAAAAGUUACCAAAGUCAAUUCACCGAAACCCAACCCGGAAAUCAGAACCAUCAUGCCAAAAUCUCUUGAACAGAUGCCUUUUUCCUUAUUCCUUGUAAAAUCUAUACCUUGUCGUUUAAGCAACUCAAUAGACUCUUUAUCGUAAUGAUCUUUUUCAAUAUCAAAAUCUUUAAAAUUAAACUCCCAUAUAUAACAAAAAGGAGUUCCGAAAUCUGGCAAAUUACCUUCAGAAUCAAAGAGUGUUAAACUGAGUUGAAUGAUCUUCAAAGCAUCGACAUUAACUUUCAUGAACCUGUAAUUGACUUCGGGAUUUCCUAAUUGAACAAAUCUUUUGUCCGGUUUAAAAAUUGUACCAGGAAAUUCGGUAUCCAUAGAAACAAACGAAUAGUUGUGGAGUGCACUUUGAAUUAACAUAAACUCGUAUUCCAAAUUAUCAGCAAAUACUUCCCUAACAAUCACUGGUUUGUUGACAAAAAUCGACAUUUUUUUUUCUUGACUUAUACUUUAAACUGAAACUAUUGAACUCUAGAUAUACUUUUCGUGAUCUUAAGUCAGUUCUAACUAAGAUAUAUAUAUAAAUAUAAUUUUCAUAAUCCUAAUUCAAUUCUAACUAAUAUAAUUUUCGUAAUCCUAAUUAAGUUCUAAGAUAGUGUAUUAAUAUAAGGAGGGUACUCUGUUAUAUAUAAUUUCUUAAUUUAAUUUUUUUACUAAAUUCGUUUUAGGAAAGGAAAAAGAAAAACUUGUGGAUUUUACUAAUUUGCCCUUGAAAGUUACGGCAAGUUUUAUGUUUUGAUGGGUGAGAUUUAGGUUUAAGGUUUAGUGUUUACAUUUUUAAGUUUAUGUUUUAUUAUUAAUAAUAAUAUAAAAGGUGUCACAAUUAUAUAUUUUAAAAAUAUAUAAUUUAAUAUUUAGUUACACAUUUAAAAAUAAUUAUAAUUUAAUUCAUAAUUAUUAAUUAAAAUAAUUGUGUUAAUUUUAAAACAAAGUUCUAUCAGAAUAAAAUUUUAAACAUAAAAUGUAGGAAAAAAAUUGCAAUAAUUAUAAUUAUAAGUUAAAUCACAAUUAUUAAUUAAAAAGAGUUUGACGUAAACAAAAAGUUGCACUAGCUUUAUCGAAGUAGAAUUCUAAUAAUCUUAAUUAUUACUUAAAUUAAUAUUAGGGUUGUACAAGCCCAAUUUCGCCCGGCCCAUACCAACAAAACAAAAAUGGCCCAUUUACAAAAUUUUAACCCAAAUCAAAACAACCAACAGGCCCAACACCAAUUUGCCUAACCCUAGGGCCUUCGUCCACCUGCUCUGCCACCACCAACUCACCUGCUCCACCUCGCCGCACGCCACCAACUCUCUACCAUCGCCCAACUGCCCACCUGCCAACAAGAGAAGAAAGCAGCAACAACAAGCAAGUAAUAGAAAAAUUAUAAAAUGACUAUUUAAAAGCCAUUCGAGCAUUACCAAAAGGGGGGAAUCGGUUGUAAAAAACCGAUCUUUGCAUCUGUAAAAGCUCUCUCUUUCACGUUUUAAAAGAAAUAAAAAAAGCAGAUUCAAAACCCUUUUUCGGUAUAUCUAUUUUCCUUUUCUGUUUUUUAUUUCUUUUCUCUUUAUUUUUUUCGAAGCUAUUUGUAUUUGAUUUUGGCUUCUUUUAUUUUUUUAAACUAUAUAUAUAACGUAUAACAUAUAAAAAAAGGGGCAAAAAAAAACCUUCUUUUGAACACGGUGGCCAGCGCGGCGGCGGCUCUCCUGGCCAGAUCUUUGGCCGGCGUUUGGAAAAUGGGGAGAGGGUUUGAGAGAAUUUUGGUUUUUUUAAGGAAAAGGGAGAAAAUGAAAUUUUAAGAAAAAUGGAUUUAUAUAGGAUAUUAAAACGGCGCCGUUUUGGAGGAGUUCAGAAAGCCUCAAAACGACGUCGUUUUGACAUGGAUCAAACCGACCCAACCCGAACCGCCUAGGAUCCGCGUGUUUCUAGAUAAAAGGGGUUAUUUGUGCUCCUGGUCCUUCCGCUUUUGAGGCUGUUUACGAUCGGGUCCUAUUUUGUUUCUAUUUUUCAAUUUGGCCACAAAAUUUCAUUUUUCUCUCGAUUUUGGUCCUCAAUGAAGUUGCGCGUUUUAGAGGAGAAGGGAAAAUUUCCCUUCCAGCCCCUCUAAGUUAUUCGCGCGCUCAAUAUAACCCCUCCCCUUUGAUUUUAUUUGCGAUUCAGCCUCAAGUUUUUUUAUUUAUUCAAUUUAGUCUAACUCUUUUUAUUAUCUAUUACCAUGUUAUUUUAUAUUUGUAGUUUAUGUACAUACCUAUACAUAUAUUAUUUAUUUCCUCUUGUUUUAUUUUUUUAUUUUUUUUAUAAACGUAAAUAUAUGUUUGAAUUUAUGCAAUUAUAUAUAUAUAUAUGUAUAUACAUUUUUAUGUUUCUUGUAACCAUGCAUAUACAUGUUCUUAUAUAUGAAUAUAUGCAAUGUAUGUUUUACAAUUUAUUUUAUACACAUGCACGUCUAUAUGUAUAUUACUACUUUAUUUCUUUACACGUAUCUAUAUACAUAUACAUAUCUAAAUUUACGUACAUGCAUAUGUAUAAACGCAUUUUUUUUUAUAUUACAUAAAUUUUUUUUAUAUAUACAUAUACAUAUCUUUUAUUUUCAUGAAUACACACAUAUAUCUUUUAUAUUUUUAUAGUUAUACAUUUUCUUUGUCUAUUUCUUUAUUCAUAUUUUCAUUAUUAUUUUGAAUGAAUGCUUCAAUUUUAUUUCCCUAUGUGUAUUGCUAUUUUGUAUGUUAUUUGUUUACCCUCUUAUCUAAUUUAUUUUCAUUGCUAUUACUCAUAUUAUUUAUGCUACAUCAUCGUACUCAUUUUUGUUCGCAUUUUGACACCGUGUUUUAUUUUGUGUUAAGAUUAAUUUUAUUUGAUGUAUAAAUUAUGAUUUUAUUUGAAUAAGCAAAAACUCGUGUUUAGAUUUGCGAAGGUCGUACCCUAACUUACUGGGUUUCGAUUUUCACAAUAAAUCUAAAUACGUGAAAAUUUUUUAAACUCAAGUUUUAAAUGAUCUUGGGAAUUAAGAAAAGAUCGUGUCCUAACUUACUGGGCAUGAUCCCUUUUCUAAACCCGAGAUAAUUAAAUGUCUUUUUAAAUAAGUAAAUUUUUUGGCAUGUAUUCUCGUAUCGGGAAUUCGAUACGUUGUGUCCUAAUGCAUUGGAUAUGACAUGUCGUUUUCUCGAGAUGAGGAUUUUCCUUUUAAAAUUUUUUUCAAAAUAAGGCAAUGUUUUGCGUUUGGAAAUUCGAGAAACGUGCCCUAAGGUGUUGGGUUUCGAUUUAUCGUUUAACCAAAUUGCCAAAUAUCCUCUUGAAUUUUAAUCCAUGCCAUUCGAGUUUUUUUUAAGGAUCAUAUUUUAAAUUUCUUUAAAGUUUUCAGUUUUUCGACACUAAGACAGUAAGUAAUCAACUAGGUACCAAUUUUGGGCGUAUCGAGGGUGCUAAUCCUUCCUCGUGCGUAACCGACUCCCGAACCCAUUUUUCUAAAUUUCGUUGACCAAACCUCCUGUUUUAAUAAAAUCAAAUUAUUUAUUAAAAACAACCAUUUUUCGAGGUGAUCCGAUCACACCUCAUCAAAAAGGAUCGGUGGCGACUCCCAUUUUCGUUUUUAUUUUUUAAAACCCAAGUCGAUCCCGUUUUCAUCCAAAAAAUGGUGUCAACAAGGGUUAAUUAGUUAUUGUUUUGAAUAAUGUUAUUUUAAAUUAAGCGAAACUACGUUACAUAUUGAAUAUGUUAAUAAUGCUUUAAUUAUGAUUUGGAAAUUUUCUAUUCUAAUAUUUGAACUGAUAAUUUUUUUUUUUGAAAUAAAAGAAACACACAUUUGGCAAUAAUGUAACUAAAAAAAUAACAUUAUAAUGGAUCUGAAUUUAACAAAAUAAUUCUAACAGUGUUAACAGUUGGACUUAAGUUUUGAAAUCUAAAAAAUAAAUUCUAAAUUCUAAAUUUAGAUUAUUUAAACUCUAAAAAAUAACAUUGAACCAGUAUUUGCAAACUAUGUUUAUUAGAUACGAGCAUGUGUCUAAUACGAAAAUAGUCAAUUAUUUAAACUCCGAGUGACAAAAUGGGAUUAAAAUAGUAUCAAUUUUCUGCAAAGAAGUAACCCUUUUAUGACCUUCAUUUGCCUUAUACUCUGCUAUCGAAUCCACCAUCGGCAUUGAAUUGCAUUUUUUCGUUUCAUCCGUAAAAUUCUAGUUAAUAAAAUUGCACUCCCCAUGAAAGACCUUACGACAUGGACCUCAAUUGAUAGUUUGUUCAUCAUGUUAGGAUCGCCCCGAUUAAGCAACAAGUAAAAACAUAGCGGAAUAAAUUGAGAAAUCGAACACACAAAUUUAACACGGUAAAACUCCUCCAAAGAGGAUAAAAAAAAUCACGGAUAAAGAGUAUAAAAGAUGGAAAUAAAAACUAAACCCCGAAAACAAAGAACCCUUAAAACGUAAACACAAAAUUCUCUAAAUGUGUUAUGAGUUCUAAUCUCUAAUGGGUGUAUUUUCUAAUAUUGUAAAAGAACCUAUUUAUAAGGCUAAAUUAGUAGCUCAAAUAAACUAUGCUAAUAAAUGCUAAAUAUAUUAUACUAAUAAAUACUAAAUCUUCUAGAAAGAAAAUAUAUUUUGUUUAACUUGACUUGCAAACAAUCUCUUAGAAUUUAAGUCACACAACUCUAACACAUAACAUUUUCACAAUUCAUGUUCCAAGUUCGGUCACUUCCAAUUGGAUCUUUAGUACAAUUAUUGAACUCUAUAACCCCAUAUAGUAUAAGAGUAUCCUUAUUAAAAAGCCUUAUAUUAUCUGUGCUCACAAAAAUGGCUUCUUGGAUCCUUUUAUCAACCCGAUCCCUUCGAAGAAGGGUCCAUGUAUCACCGUUUACUUCAAGAAAUGCAUUAGGAAUUAAUGGGACAUGGUUGAGAGUGAGGUAUUUGAGAAUUGAAGUUGAAUCAUAGUUCUCAAACUCGUCUAUAUUGACAUAGAAAACUCUUAAAUCAAGCCAAGAUAAUGGCUUGUAAGGAGAGUGGGGAUUGACCAUUCAAUGAUGGUUCAUAAACCCUAUCCAUCAAAGAGGUCUUAGAGAUUAUGAAAUUGAAAAGAGAAUCAGACAGCAAAUUCAAGCAUUGGGUUUAUAUAGACAAUAUAUAUAUAUACAUGAUAGGUGUACAGAAUUAUAUUAAAAUAAAGUCAUCAAAAACAAAUUAUGUGUAAGAUAAUUAAGGAAAGAGUGGAGUUUUUGGUGUCUGUUUUUGGAGAAAGGAUCAAAUGAAAACAAUAAUAACUCAAUUCUUGGUCACAAAUACACGAACGAAAACAAAACUUUAAUAAUAGAACUCUAAUAACAUGAGCAACUAUGGAAAAAAAAAAAAACUAGAACACUGCUACAAACAAGACCAUGUUUAACAAAAUCCAAUGCCAAGUAAUACUGCAUUUGACAGUAAUAACAAUCACAACAAAACAUUAAAAAAAAAAAGUCUCAUCUAAAACUCAACAUCUGGAAGACAUCCAAAAAAGUUCAAAUGAAGCUCUUCUUCUCCCUUUCUAUGGACCUAUGCUUGGCAUUUGUCAGUGUCUAUCUUCAAUUCUCUGCAACAUGGCCAUUCUCCGAUUUCUCGGCACUGGAUGUCAUAAGGGAAACAAGAUCAUAAUUAGCAAUGUCAUUUUGCUGAGACACACAAUUGACAACUCAAGCAGAACUCAACAGAGGGAUCUAACAGGCAUGGUAUUUCACGGGGUUGAAACCAAGCAACGUUUAGUUACUUUCUAAUGCUUCGUGAAUAUAAAGUAAAAUAACUACCAAGUUCUCAAACUCUUCCAUAUACAAGGGACUUUUGACACAAGAAGUUCUCGGACUCUUUCGCAAACCGCAUUCUCCAUACUUUGGACUUGGUCAUGUAGGUCAAACAGUAAGAGCAGGCUGCAGGAGAGAUGAAAAAGAUGCAUGGUUAUUGCUCGAGUUAAAUCACUAUGGGGCCUGAACUAACUGUAUCACAUCGGGGGCUUGAACUUUCUUUUUGUCCAAGUUAAUCCCUGAACUUGACAAAUAUAUAUAAACACUUUCUAAUGAAUCAACAUGAGAAAAACAACAAAUAAAGCAAUAUUCUAAAAUUAACCAAGCAAUGAAAAUCCAGUUAAUUGAAGAGACCUUUGGGUUGAUGAUCAGCAUCAGCUGUAGCUUCAACAGGGUCACUCUUCCUCAAGCUCUUGUCAUGGCCAUUACCGAAGCUUGCCUUUGCUCAUCUCUCUUUCUCUGUAACAGCUACUGUCCCUUUAAUCUUCAUAGCUUCAAGCUUUUCAUCAAUCUCCUUCCAGUCUUUCCCCUUUUCCUUCAACACCUCCUCUCUCGGCCUUGCCUCGCCGAAAUAAGGGAAAUCGGAGAGUAAUUAAAGGCAUCCUCAAUUGGCGGAAAGAGAAAGCAAUCUCUGCCCAAGGUCUCACUUAAUUGAAGGCAUUGUAAUGACAUUGUUAUAGCAAAACGUAAGCAGCCAUCUAUAGGCCCCUUCCCAAGAUUUAAUUAAGAUUCAGUAAUACUAAUGUAUUUGUGCUAUGUACAAAAAUAUACAAUUAUAAUAUUAUUGGUGGCCAAAAAAAUGAUUAUAUUAAUGUAUUUUAUAUAAAAAUAAUGUAAAUUUUAGUAUUUGACAAAUCUAUCAAAUUUGAAAAUAAUAUAAUUACAAUAUAUGAGAAAUAAGAAUAGCUAACAAAUUAUACUUCUAACUCAAACCAAUCCGUACAAUGCUAAGGCCGGUAAAUUUUGGUUACAUUGCUUAAAAGCUUUCAUAUUUUUAAUCCGCAUAAAACAAUGGAGGAUGAGAAGGCUAUCAGAUCCUGCUUGAUGGCUUAAUCUAGCAACACGAGCCACAUUUAAAGUUUUUGCCACCUUUUCUAGCCCACCAUGUAAGUUAAAGAUCUUGAAAUUGUACUUAAUGUCAAAAAUCCUACAACCGAAGUAAUAAGUCAUAUGUCGCAUGAAAGACUUGAGAUCAGGCGGCAAUGGAUGUUGAGUCAAAAUCUUCAACAAAAAAAUCAUAAGCGCUGUGAAAAGUUACUCAAGUCAAUUCACCGAAACCCAACCCGGAAAUAAGAAACAUCAUGCCGAAAUCUCUCGAAUAAAUACCUUUUUCCUUAUUCCUCGUCAAAUCUAUACCUUGUCGUUUAAGUAACUCAAUAGACUCUUUAUCGUACCGAUCUUUUUCAAUAUCAAAAUCUCUAAAAUUAAACUCCCAUAUAUAACAAAAAGGAGUUUCGAAAUCUGGCAAAUUACCUUCAGAAUCAGAGAGUGUUAAACCAAGUUGAAUGAUCUUCAAAGCAUCGACAUUAACUUUCAUGAACCUAUAAUUGAUUUUAGGAUUUCCUAGUUGAACGAUAUUUUUGUCUGGUUUGAAAAUCGUACCAGGAAAUUCGGUAUCCAUAGAAACAAAAGGAUAAUUGUUGAGUGCACUUUGAAUUAACAUAAACUCGUAUUCCAAAUUGUCAACAAAUACUUCCCUAACAAUCACUGGUUUGUUGACAAAAAUCGACAUUUUUUCUUUUUCUUUUCUCUAACUUAUGCUUUAAGCUGAAACUAUUGAACUCUAUAUAUAAUUUUCGUGAUCUUAAUUCAGUUCUAACUAGAAUAUAUAUAAAUAUAAUUUUCCUAAUCCUAAUUCAAUUCUAGCUAAUAUAUAUUUAUAAAAUAUAAUUUUCAUAAUCCUAAUUAAGUUAUGCGUUCGGACUAAGAUAUAUUGUGUAUUAAUACAAGGAGGGAACUACGUUAUUUAUAAUUUUCUAAUUUAAAAUUUAUUUUUUAAUAUUAUUAUUUUACUAAAUUUUACAGGUGGACUCUAAUCUUAUUUGUAUCCUUUAAAGAAAUAAAAGAUAAUGGAGAGUGGGUCUUGACCGUUUGGCCCUUCAACGAUGGCUCAUAAACCCUUUCCAUUAAAGAGAAACAAACAGCAAAUCCAAGCAUUUGAAUAGGUUUUAUCGACUUUUAAAAAAUUAAAUUAAAUUUUUAUCAUUUUUAAGAAGACUAAAGUAUAAUUUUAUCAUUAUUAAUUUAAAAUUUUAAAAAAUUUAAAGAACCUAAAUAAAAAAAUUUUCAUUUUAAAAGAGGUCGGGCCUGACACCCCCUCCCCCGGGGCUACAAAAUUAUAUUAAAAACAAAAGGGCUGUGUAAUAUUUAAAUAAAGCCAUUGAAGACAAAUUGUGUGUAAGAUAAUCAAGGAAAGAGUGGUGUUUUUUCGUGUCUGUUUUAACGGAAAUUAUUGUAUGAAACAGUGAUAUUAUUAUUUUUCAAUAGUUUAAUGUCAUGUCAACAAUUUCAUCUUAAAUUUUAAGAUUUUCAUUUCAGGAUAAAUAUAUUGAUACGACAUUAAACUAUUAAAAAAAGAUAUAGAUGACGUGGUAUCCCAAUUACAUACAAUAAUUUCCCCUAUUUUAGCAGUUUUCGUAUAACACAGUAUUAAUCUUGUAUUUGUGACUCUCAAUGACUUGGCCAAAAGUGAUCCAUUGUCUUCUUUAUGUUGCUUUAUAGGACUUUUUGGAGUUCUCUUUGAGGAGUUGAUAGGUUCAUGUUGGAUGAUUUUGUAUUGGUGCUUGUUUGCUGCAGCUGGCCUGAUCAGACACAAGCCUUCAGGAGAGGCCACAACAGACGUGAAACCCAAGAGGAGACGUCGGAAUCUCUAUGGUGUCGAAGGCUGAAUCAUCACCCUUUAGACAUUGAUCAUAAAAAUAAAAUUUUCAAUCAUAAAAUUUAAACUCGAACUGUUUGAAGUAAACUAAAUCCGAGCCUAUAAUGUUGUACAAUAAGAGUUAGUCUUCACACAUACGACAUGAAUAUACCAACACCACACAAGCACACAUUACAUUCAAAGAGAACUACUUAAAUAAAAACUUACCAUUUACUCUCGAAAAAUAAUAUGGAAGCACAAAAACACAAAUAAUGUCUACAUUACCACGUGAAAAGCACAUGCAGCAGCACUCCCUAUUUACAAAACCCACAUGUCGUCACUCUUCUUAAAGAUAGACCCGUUGACAAGAAUAUUAUUUAGUGGGAUAUAUGUAAGGGACCAAUUUCAUCCGGUCCAACAAAAGUCAAACAAAUAAAUAAAAAUAAUAAAAAGUUCAUUUACAAAAAAAAUAAUAGCCCAAAUACAAAAAAAAAUCCUAAAAAUCAAAGCCCAACCCACGACCUAAACUCUUUUUUAGAAAAAAAAAUCCUAGACCCCUACGUGCCGUUGCUCCUAACCACGUCAAUAGAUGCAUCGCCUGAGGAUUGCCUCCCUUGCCAUCAUUUCACCGAAAUGGCAAGGGUGCGACUCCCAUCGUCGUUGACCGCCAUGAGUACCUUCAAAGAAGAAAGAAAAGCACAGAAAUGGAAAGCAGAACAGAAACAAAAAGAAAAGAAAAAAUGAAAUACUGUAAUGGCUGUAAAAGCCAAACUAUUGUAAGAUUCAAACAAGCAAUCAAAUAGAAUACAAAAAAGGCUUAACUUUCAGACGCCAAAAAAACGUCGUUUCAAGCUAGACUUGCCGACCCGAUCCGGAUCCCCUAAGAUCCGCGUGUUUUCACGAAAAGGGUCUAAUUGCGACCCUAGUCCUUCCUCUUUUUAAACACUUUUCAAUACAGUCCUAUUUCUGGUUUUUUCUUUCUUUUUUUAAAUUUAUACCAUUUAAUUUUAGAUUUUUUUAUUUUGGUCCCUCUUGGAAACGGUGCGUUUAAUGGGUUUGGGAAUAAUUUCCCAUUUGAUCACUACUCCUUUUCGCGCGUUCUAUUUUGGUCCUUUAUUCUGCCUUAUUAAUUUAUUUAUUUAUUUUAUUAUGAUUUAUGCUUUUAAUUUCAUUUAAAUUCCAAUGCAAUCCUUUAUUUAUUUAAUUUCACCCUUUUAUGAACUGUUUUUAUUUAUUUAUGUAUUAUUUCUUUACCUUUUUUAAUACUUAAAAUUUAUGUUAUUCAUAUUUCCUUUUUAUUGUGCAUUUUUUGCCCUCAUUAUUAUUAUUUCAUUAUUCACAUUAAUAUUAUGAUAGUAAUCAUGACAUGAUAUUGUUACCACAAAUUGAAGUUUUUACUUUCAUUAUAUUUGUAUUAUUAUUGCUCAUUAGCAUGGCACUUUUAUUUUACCUUUUAUUCGUUUUUCUCUUUAUUCAUUUAUUUUUUUAUUAUUCUAAUAUUAUUUUGCUUUAUUUUCAUUAAUUAUCAUGCCAUCAUGUUAAAAUAGAUUUAUUCAUUUUUACACUAUGCCUAAAUAAAUUAAAUGUAUAUCGUUUUAAAAAGUUACCUUCGUUUUAUUUAAUAUAUAGAAAACACUUAAAACCGAGGCAAUGUUCAUUAUUUUUGGAAUUCGAGGAGUUGUGCUCCUAACUUACGGAGUAUGACAUCUUCCUAAAACCGAAGUAAUCAAAUAUCCUAUUUAAAAUAACGAGAAGCAAGAUUCAGGUAACAAUCAAAUGGCGAUUAUUCUGAUUUUCGAGAAUUAGAGGCAUCGUCUCCUAACUCACGGGGCAUGGUCCUUUUUCUCGAUUAACUCAAAAUAAGGCCUUUUCCAUUGAAUUUAAUUUAGUUAAGUAAUAUCUUAAUCAAAUGAUAUUAUACAAAGAGGGAUCGUGUUUUAAAUUCUCUUCAAAUUUUCAGUUCUCGACACUAAGAUAUCAAGUAAUCAAUUAGGUACCAAUUUUGGGCGUUAUAAGGGUGCUAAUCCUUCCUCAUAUGUAACUGACUCCCGAACCUAUUUCCUAGAUUUUGUAAGACUGAAAAUAAUUUUAAUAAAUCUAACAUUUUAUUAAAAUGAUAAAGUUUUGAGGUGAUCCAAUCACACCUAAUUAAAAAGGAUUGAUGACGACUCUAUUUUCGUUUUUUGAAAAUAAAAGUCGAUUUCACAAAAGGUUUCACAAUAUACAUGCACUAAUUAAUACCUACCAUACACAGAUUUAUUGUCACAAUUUGACAUAAAAUCAAUGACAAUAUGGAACCGAAAUAGGAUAGUAAAACUCAAACAUUUUAUAAAUUUUCGAAUCAAUCCGUUUCGAGUGGAGUAAUUUUUUUCUUUUUGAAAAUGAAUCUGGGAUAAGGUGGAUUUUUUUUAAUAGUGAGUAUGGAGCGGUUAUGGUAAUAACUUGUCUCACCCCGCUCCAUUAUAUGAAAUUACAAAUUUAUCAUUGUAUUUACAAUUAUUAAAAGAGUAAAAAUGUACUAAUGUAUUAUAGAAAAACCCAUAUUUUUAUGUUCAAAUAUGUUUUUAAGAAUUAUGUUUAAAUAAUUAUUUACCUCAAAAAAGCUUGAAAAUAUUAAAGAUAAGUAUAAAAAAUUAGAUUGAAGCGGAGUGAAGAUGGAUGCAUCCAACAUUCAUGAACUAGUAGUGAUUUUUAAAAUUCUACAUCCAUGAUAGAUCGGAGUAGAUGGUGGAGCAAGGCAUGCCAACUAUGGAGUAAAUAUAAGUUUCGCAAAAUAAUCUAUGACUUUUUUUAUCACUAUAAUGAAAUCUCGAACAUGUAUGUUUAUGUUUUCUACAGCUAAAUCAAAAUCAAACCUUGCAAAUUUUGAUACUAGUAAAAAUGAUCACAUAAAUAAUUUAUAAAAAUUAUUAAUAAAUGCGGAAUUAAAAUAAACCAACUUAUUGAUAAUGAAGUUGUUUGUGGUAAUUCUUGUGACUACAUGGCUGAUUAGGUUUCUGUCUUAGUUUCGUGAGUAAUACGUUAAAAUAAUAAAUUUGUAUUACUCAUAUGAUAAUAUAUUUACCGCAUCCAAAUUUAUAAAGUAAGUCUUAGUUUGUAUGUACCCUUUUCCAUCUUGAAUUUCCCUCUCCCUCCAAUCACCGCAAGCUCACGCACCCGUUUCGGCAGUUGGAUUCCUCGAGAAUAUAUUCAUAGAGUAGCCAUUGAGCUCCCCUUUCGCGAACCCAAAGUCCAUGUAGAGUACCAGUGUUAAAACAUCUUGGUCGGUCGACACCCAGAGGCCCCGAGCAUUCCUAACAACCUUAGAUGUUAAUUUGGGACCGACGGUGACUGGGUAUCGGGAUGUCAUUGAAGGCAGUCAUCAUGUUGGCACGGGCUACAACGACUGCACUAGAGUUUCCGCCGCUCAUUGUGCCGUGUAAAAGAAGCGGAGAUUGGUUCUUUUUGUGGAGGUGGAACAUAUGGCUUACUUUGGGAGUAAUAAGUUUAUAGCAAACCUUGAAAUUUAGUUUAAAUUUUAUAGCAAACCUUCCCCAAAUCUAACUUUUUUAAAUAAAAAAAUUUAUUCAUAAAUAUAUAAAUAAAGACAACAUAUAAUAUAAAUGAAUGAUGAAUAUAUAUUAUUCAAUCAAUAAGUGUAGAGUGAAUGGUAAGACAUUAUAUUUUUAAGGAGAGAAUUUGAGUAGGAAAUUGUUGAGAAGAACAAUUACAAACUCUAAAAGAACGAGUAUUUUAUGAAUCAUAAAACAUAUAUAUAUGGAGGAUACAUUGAUUCACAAUAAAAAAGAAUAUAUUCAGUUUUCAGACUUUAAAUAUGUUAUUUUCAAAAUAUGUUCUUUUUAAGAAUAUCUUGAUACCCAUGAUUGUUGAGUUUGGUGUGUAUGUUAACGCCGCCAAGUUUCCUUCUUGCCUUUUGAAUGAAGGUAAUUAUUAUGAUAUGAUUAUUGUACCUCAACAUCUAUAGGUGUCAAGUUUAUUGUGAAAUAUUUGAAAAUCAAACAAUAAUAAUUUUUAAUAAAUAUAUUUGUUACACAAUUUAAUAAAUAUAUAUAUUCUCCCAUAUCAUGACAUGAGUAUGAUACAAUCUAAUAUACUAAUAUUUAAUUGAAAAAAAAUGUUGAUGGAAGCCGUCUCUUUAGGAGAAGUAUUCGAAAUGUUGCCUAUCAAGUAGUCAACGAUCCCCUAACAAUCGAAGGUAUUGUCUCUCGAGAGAUUAUCCCCUGUACUUUAUUGAGAGCCAGCAUGUUGUGAAUAGCUUUCCUAAGAGCUUGGUUAACAGAACCGAGAGUGCUUCAGCCAUACGUUAGCAUACAAUCAUCCACCAACAGAACGUUUACAUCGAAACUAAAUUUAUUAUUAUGUCAAUCAAAUUUAUGUAAAAUUGAUAAUAAUAAUAAUAAUAAUAAUAAAAUAUUAACAUUGUAAUUAAACGAUCUCUAAUUGCCCACUUUCAAAAUUUCCCAUUCCUUUUAGAGGGAUCAAAUUGAUCUGUUAAAAUUGAGAUGGAUCGAAAAAGUCUUUCACUUAAAUAUUAUUAUAAGUUAAAAUAUGUCACAAGUCGAUGUAUUCUUCAAAAUGUUGAUUCUUGUACCUUUAUUUACAUUUAGUCCUUCUAUUUUUCAUGUUUCAGAAAUUCAAAUUCAACUGUUAACACUAUUAAAAUUAUUUUGUUAAAUUUAAGUUCGUUACAUCAUUUUUUAAUUACAUAACUACUAAUAUUUUUUUAUUUCAAAAUAUUACACCAACAAAUUUAACAAACAGAACAAUAAGAUUAAUAAUUAAAAGUAUUCAAAGUACAAAAACCUGUAACAUAUUUUAAUCAUUAUUAAAUAAAUAAAAUCCAUGCAAAUUGAUUUUGCAAUACAAUUUAAAGAAGAGAGAUGUUAACACCAAAACUAAAACCCUAGACAUUGUAUUAAGUAAUCAAUAAACAUAAAUGUAUUAUAUCAUGUCAUGCUUGUAUUAAGUAAUCAAUAAUCACACUUGCAUGUAUCCUCCCCCAAAAAUUUGCCAUAUCACAAUCAUACUUGUAUUAUGUUAUUGCGUCCGUGUUCGCGUGUAUCCGUUUAAUUGGUCACCGAUACAAACAAUUCUUGGUCACAAAUGAAUGAACACAAAACUUUAACAAUAAAAAAUUAAUAAUAAAACUCUAAGAAAAUGAGCAACUAUGAAAAAAAUAACAAAAACACUGCUACAAACAAGACCAUGUUUAACAAAAGCCAAUGCCAACUAAUUCAAGGCCUAUCAAAAUUGUUCAAAUACUGCAUUUGACAGUAAUAACAAUCACAACAAAACAUUAAAAAAACACAAGUCUCAUCUAAAACUCAACAUCUGAAAGACAUCCAAAAAAGUUCAAAUGAAGCUCUUCUUCUCCCUUUCUAUGGACCUAUGCUUCGCAUUUGUCAGUGUCUAUCUUCAAUUCUCUGCAACAUGGCCAUUCUCCGAUUCCUCAGCACUGGAUUUCAUAACGGAAACAAGAUCACAAUUAGCAACGUCUUUUUGCUGAGACACACAAUUAACAACUCAAGCAGAACUCAACAGAGGGAUCUAACACGCAUAGUAUUUCACCAGGUUGAAACCAAGCAACGUUUAGUUAAUUUCUAAUGCUUCGUGAAUAUAAAGUAAAAUAACUACCAAGUUCUCAAACUCUUCCAUACACAGGGGACUUUUGAGACAAGAAGUUCUCGGACUCUUGCGCAAACCACAUUCUCCAUAAUUUGGACUUUGUCAUGUAUGCCAGUGGUCAAACGGUAGGAGCAGGAGAGAUGAAAAGAUGCAUACUUAUUGUUCGAGUUAAAUCACUAUCGGGCCAAAACUUGACAAUUACUACUACAUUUGACAACAACUCCAACAUUGGGGCCUAAACUUUUUUUGUCCAAGUUAGUCCCUGAACUUGGUAAUUAUUCCCAAAUUGAGGCCUAAACUAACUGUUAUCACAUUGGGACUUGAACUUUCCUUUUGUCCAAGUUAGUCCCUGAACUUGGCAAUUGUUCCCAUAUUGAGACCGAAUAAUAUCAGGGCUAACUUGGACCAAAAAUUAGUUUAAGCCCCAAUGUGGAAAUAGUUGCCAAGUUCAGGCCCCAAAAAGUGAUUUAACCCUAUUUAUUCUUUAGCUAAUUAAAGCCUCUAUUCCAUUCCCUAUAAUCCCUAGCCUAAAUGAAUUCAAAUACUGCUAUAUGCAUAAGGAAAUUUGUUCUAUAAUGCAAUUGUGGAAAGCAAAAGAAUUCACAUACACUACUAUUCUGUUUCUAAAGAACCAAGCAUAUAUAUAAACACUUUAUAGUGAAUCAACAUGAGAAAAGCAACAAAUAAAGCAAUAUUCUAAAAUUAACCAAGCAUGAAAAUCCAGUUAAUUGAAGAGACCUUUGGGGUUGAUGAUCAGCAUCAGCUGUAGCUUCAACAGGUUCACUCUUCCUCCAGCUCUUGUCAGCCGGGAUAUGGCCAUUACCGAAGCUUGCCUUUGCCCCUCUCUCUUUCUCUGUAACAGCUACUGCCUCUUUAAUCUUCAUAGCUUCAAGCUUUUCAUCGAUCUCCUUCCAGUCUUUCCCCUUUUCCUUCAACACCUCCUCUCUCGGCCUUGCCUGGCCGAAAGGAUUUGCCCCUUUGGGCUUGGCCACCGUCGAGUCCUUUUUACACUCCUCCAUCACGGGAACCGUACGUGGUUGAAGCACAAGCUUUGGCCUCACCCCACCACCACCAGCACUGUUGGUCUCUUCCUUUUUCUUUCCCCAGUGAUCCAAAUCCCUUGGGGAAUCCCUGGAUUGAAGUGAAUCGAAACUGCUUCUUUUCUCAAAACCCCCACCAAAUCUCCGAGGCGGCGGUGCUCCAUUAGGGCUUUUAUUACUCUUACUAGCUGCCCAGUUAUCUACUUCAUCUGCUUUCGAUUGAGAAUCGAAAAACCCUCCUUCACCUCUCUCUCGCCUCUCAAACCCACCGCGGAAUCCAUUCCCGGUAGGAGCCGAUUUCUUAACCGACGCCCAAUUAUCGAUCUCAUCAGCGCGUGAGGGAGCAAUUUCUCUAUUCGAAUCUCUAUUCGAAACCCUAGAAGAUCCCCAUCUACUAUUACUCGACGAAUCAUCCCCGUUAGAAUUGUACCUGUUCGACCCGUACGAUUUAAAACCGCCGCCGAGCUGGUUACGAUCGAGCUCCUCGGCGGAACGCUGGCGAGGACCGGUCGGUAGAACGAGCAGGUCCUCAUGAGUGCGCCCUGUCGGCUCGCUCGGCUUAGCCGAACCGUGAGUAAAUUCAGCAAGAGAUACGGUUUGGCCCUUCUUUUUCUUGGUUUUGGUGGCCGCGGCGGCGGAUAAAGAAGGGAAAUCGGCGAGCUUUCCGGUCGAAGAAUCUACGCCGCUUUCCUGUUCUUGUUGGAGUUCAGCUUCGUGCUCUUCGGCGUCUAGAGCCCACGCGCCGGCUUUGCCCCAAGGUGACGAGACAGUUGCCGCCAUGAUCUUUUGUUUCUUUUGCCUUUUUAGUGCUUUGGCGCCGUUUCGAAGCUUACGUUUUCAGUUGUGCAGCGAAAGGAGAGGGAAGGGUUUUUUUAUAUUGUGAUAUGAUCGGCCUUCAUCGGACGGUGUAGAAUAAUUCAUAAAUAAAAGAAGUUUUAACUUAAAAAAUAUACUCAACUAAAAGUUGGAUUGUAUUUUAUCUUCUCUAUUAAAAAAAUUAGAAAAUUAAUCCUUAUAUUUUAGACCAAAUAGCAAACUAGUCAUCCACUUUUAAUGUUAAAAACGGGUCAUCGUACUUCAGCAUAACACGGCAUGUGUCACUGUUUGGUUAUACUAUUAAUCACGCUAGUUUUUAACCGUACAAGCAAAUGAAAUUUUUAACAAAAAUGACCAAUUUACUUUUUAAUCUAACAUGCAUAGACUAAUUUACUUAUUUUUAAAUGGAGGGAUAAAAUACAAUCUGACUCCUAACACAAAGACCUCUAUGAUAGUUUUACCAAAACUAUAUUAUAACUUAUAAGAGUCACUAGUAAAAAUUUAUCAAUUUAUUUAUUAUAUCUAAAUUUAUUUUAAUAAAUAUAUAGACAAUAAAUAUAUGAAGUACUUGAUAAAUAAUCAAUUUUUUAUUAAUUUAAUAAAAGAUAAUAAACUAAAUAUAAAUAAAAUGUUUUUUUUAUAUCAUUGAAGAGGAGAACGUGAUUACUUAGGAUACUUGAUAUCGAAUCCGAACUCUUUCGUAUCCACAACAUAAUACUCUUAUCAUUGAGUUAAAAAAUUGUUUACAUAAAAUAUAUUAUUUUAUUUACAAAUUUUAAUAUUUAUCUGAUAAAUGAUAUAAAGGUAGUCUUAUAUCUUUCAAAAAUAGUAUAAUUAAUAACCAUUUAGGUAUUAUCAUUUUACCAAAAAUAAUAUAUAUACAUAUAUGUUUAUCUGUAUUUUGCGAUAAAAGUACUAUGAAACCUUUAUGGUAAGAGGUGGAUUGCAUCAUGUCUAUUUACUUAAAAAAAAUGGGUAAUUAGUCUUUGUAUGUUAGAUUAAAGAGCAAACUGAUCGUUUUUUUUUAAAUUUAAUUUAUUUCUACGGUUAAAAAUUAGUCUAUAUACAUUAGAAUAAGGUACAUGGAACACCACAUGUAACUAUUUGGUUGUUUUAUCAAUCACAUCGGUUUUUAACAAUAGAAAUAGAUGAAAAUUUUAAUCGAAAGGAUCAGUUUACUCUUUGAUCUAACGUACAUGGACUAAUUUAAAUAUUUUUUAAUUAUUUAUUUAACAUCAUUUUAUUGUUGAUAAAAAUAAAUUUUGAAUUAUUUGGAAACAUAUUCAAUUAUAUAUUUAUAAAUGUAUUAGUUUAAUUUAAUGGAUAUAAACAUAAUUUUAGAAAUUUUAAAGAGAAAUUAAAAAUAAUCCUAAAUUUUAAUCAUAUAAUAAUAAUAACAAUGAAAAUGAAAAUUCUGAUUCGGUAAAAAGGUCAUAGCAGUUGGUUCUAAGCCACUCUUUUGAAAAAGCUGCUUAUUUACUAAAGCUGAAUCCAAAGGUCUGAACUUUGCAACGUUAUGGACAACGUAACCAAACAUAACCAAGAUAUUCAUGGGAUUCCAAAAUCCAAAUAGCUUUAAAAAAUAAUAAUAAAAAACAGGUCAAGUUUCGAGUAAGGCUUUUUACUACUGGCCCAACUCGAUUUUGCAAAACCAAAAAGUUAUGUUGUUUUCUUCUUGUUUUCUGCUACUUUGUUGUUGUUUUCUUACUACUUUCUCACUGGCUUCUGUCAUUUCACUAUUAUGUUGUUACUAUUUUGUUAUUAUUGUUUGAAUGUUGUAUAACUCUUAUUUUAUUUUAAUUUUGCUACUAUUUUAAAGACAUUUACUUGUUAAGUUGCACAUAUCUUAGUGUUAUUUAGUGUAAAUAUAUAUAUUUUUAAAAAUUCAAUUUAUUGGAAAAACAUUUAGUUUAAUGUUUUUAGUGAUUUUGAUAUAUUAUAUAUUUUUUUAAAAUCAUAUAAAAAUUUAAUAUGGGUGGGUCAGGCCAAGUUGUUGCACACUUUCGGGUCAGGCUUGGGCAAAAUUUUAAGCUCAUUUUUUGGGCUAAGUCGAGUCUGGGCCUAUCAAACGAACCUAAAUUUUGUCAAGGCUCAACCCAUGGACAAGUAUAUAAAUUUAUUUCAACAUAUAAAAUUUACUUAUUAACAAAUUGUAACACAUCUAACCCGAAUCCAUCGCCGAGGUUACAGAGCAUUACCGGAGUUUAUAAAUCAAACAAACAGAAAAUGCAAACAUUUCAUGGCAUAUAGCAUUCAAGUCAAAAACCAAUCAAAAUCAUACAUAUUAUCCUUUAUACGAGCCCUCAGGUCCCAAAAUACACAUUAGAAACAAAUCGGGACUAAAUUGGAAACUCAAAAAAAAUUUCGAAAAACUUUUAAAUUUUUUCAAAGGUGCGGAGGACACACGCCCAUGAGACCAGGCUGUGUGUCUCACACGGUCAAGAGACACGCCCGUGUCUCAGGCCAUGUGGAUAUUCGAAGUAGGGACACACGGCCGUGUCCUAGUCUGUGUCCAAAAUUAGGUGCUUACUGACUUAGGUCACACGGACAAGCCACACGCUCGUCUGCUAGGUCGUGUGAACAUUCUGUUUUGCUCAAUUUAAUAGAUACAGAGGACACACGAUCAUGUCACCUGGUCGUGUGUCACACACGACUGAGACACACACCCAUGCCUUUGCCCAAGUGGACGAAAUUAGGUCAUUUUUAGGCCACAUUUCUCACCCCAUUUGUCAUCAACCUAACUCAACACUUUUACACAUCAACAGUCUAUAUCAUAGCAUUCAAAUCAAGCUAAAUCCAAGUUUUAUACAUAUAUUAUCAUCACAUGUACUCUAGUAUUCAAACUUAUCAAAUUGACCAAAUUCACAUGUAUGCAUACUUGUACUAAGUAUUAACAAAUCUAUAAGAUUAUCAUCAUUCAACUAUACCAAACACUCACAUCUAACAUGAUAUAGCCUCUUAUAUGCACAUCAAAACAUGUUCAUCACAAGUCAUCCCUAUGGCUAGAUAUAACAAAACAUUAAUAAGCCAACAUUGGCCAAAUUAACUUAUACAUGCCAUUAUAAUCAGAAUCAAAUCAUCCAAAAUUACCGAUAGAACCAAUGGAUAAUGUGAUAUAACUCCGACAAGCUUCCAACCAGUUCGAGCUUCCCAUAAUCUGUAAGGUAAAUAAAAACAAAUACGUAAGCAAUGAAUGCUUAGUAAACUCAUGUAAUCUUUAAUCAUAUUAAUUCAUUUCAAAUAUGAAAUCUAUACAUAUCAAGAAUAAUCCAAUUUUGAUACCACAAUAUUCAUGAAAUUAUAUUCAUCAACUCACAAGGUGAAUAAAUCCACAACAUCACUUAUACAUAUUAUCCCAAGCUUAGUAGGAUUUUAUAUAACUUUAACUCUUCCAAAUUUCUUUAUUUUCAUUUGCAUUUCUUUACUUUCCACACUUAUUCCAUAUGCAUGACACACAAGUCAUAAACAUAUUAUUCAACCAUGGCCAGCAUUUAACCAAAGCCUUUUUCGAAUUAAUCACAUGAUAAGUCAUUUUAUAAGAAAUUGCAUAAUUUAAACCUUACCACUAUUUCAUGAGCACUAGCAUAUUUUCGCUUAAAUACUUACCAAUUCAAUGCAUCAUAUAAAUAAACAUAUUACCAUUCAACCAAUAGCUUGGCACUUACCUAAGCAUCAAGCAACAACACUGGUUAGCGUAAUUGCACAUAUUACAUAUAAAUUCAACAUUGUUAAACUUAUUUUCUCGACAUGUCACAUUUGAGUUUAUUACCCAUCUCAACAUACAUAAUUUCCUUAUAUCAACAAAACAAAGAUAGUCACAUAUUUACAUAUCAUGAUACAUAUCAUUCUCUUGCCGUUUCUUCAUAAAUAUAUAUCAUUCAUUUCAUUAUAAGAAUAUUUCAUGUACCAUCAUUUUCAUGAAUUUCGUGUAUAUUUAUUCUGGUAACAGUUCAUAAUCAUGAAUAUUGAUGCAAUCGGGCCCCAUGAGUUAUCAAAUGGGAAUGAUGUUUCCCUCGAGCUGCCUAAAGGACCUAUUACCAGAGCUAGGGCUAAGAAGUUUAAAGACACAAUUUCAGCUUUGGUUGAUCGGGUUUGGGGUGAAUCCGUGGCCAGUCUACUUGAAAACUCAUGGACCAGCAAGAUGAGCAAACCGUGCACUUUACUUCAAGCUCUUCCAGCUUAAUUUUUAACAAGCUCGUUUUUAGCUUAUUCAUUUUUUUUUGAAAUAAUUAAUUAAAUUAUCUUAGUUGCUGUUAAGUUUAAUUUGAGUCUUAGUUAAAUAUUUCUUGGUUCAGCCGAAUUAAUGUGUGAGAUUUAAGCUAAGUAAAUUUGUUGAAUUUGCUAGGACAAUGUACAUGGACGGCAAAGAAGAGGUGGACAACAUCAUGCAUAAUUUGUGGAACAAAUUAAGGAAGCAUUUGACCAACAUCAUGCAUAAUUCAUGGAAGAAUUUGAAGAAGCAUUUGACCAACAUCAUGCAUAAUUCAUGGAAGAAUUUGAGGAAGCAUUUGGCCAACAUCAUGCAUAAUUCAUGGAAGAAAUUGAGGAAGCAUUUGACCAACAUCAUGCAUAAUUCAUGGAAGAAUUUAAGGAAGCAUUUGGCCAACAUCAUGCAUAAUUUAAGGAACAAAUUGAGGAAGCACCAUGGCCGAAUUUGGCUUCCAAUUUUACCCAUUCGGCUACCCUUUUGUUUUGCCUAUAAAUAUGUGUUAAAUUUCAUUGUAAGGAGAAGAACCUUGAAUUAAUGUUUUUUUACAUUUUGUGAGAUUGUUUACAACUCUCAUUGUUCUCCAAAGACUCGUUUGACUUAUCAAGUAACCCUUGUGGCGUCAACCCAUUCUUCUUAUCCGAACUUAUCACUUUGCAUCCAAAGUGUGGCGUUCAAGUUAUACCGAGGUUCCUAUCAUCUUUGAUAGUGGGUCAAGGUUCCAUUUUAUUCGUUUUCCAUCCAUACAACAUUUAACCUUUCCUAAGUAUUCGUAUAAGUCCCGGGUUAACACACUUAUAUUAUGUUGGUUCAACUUGAAUACUUGGUUUUCAUUCACCUAUCAUCCUCAAUACACUUCAUAACCCCUUUUGAACUAAAUUUGAGCCUUUAUCCCUUCUUUCUUAACCUAUCUUCGACAAACCUUGAUAUUACUCCAAUUCACGAUCGGGUACAUCAAUGACUCGACUCUCAUCACAGAGGCCGGGGCGUAUCAUCUGGUAUCAGAGCUAGCCGAAUCGGAGUAAGAAUCAUCAUCUUUGAUAUUAUGGUUUUGUAAAAAAAAUCAAAAAAAAAAAUUUUUUUGCCUACGAUCUAGGCACGGACGAAAAGAACGUGAAAGAUCCGUAAAAAAAAAGAGUCUGGAAACCCUUCAACAAUUUUUUUUUGAAUCAUAAUCUACACUCCUUUAUACCCCUUUGAGUGAAUUUUCACGUUUUCAAAAAAAAAAUUUAUCCAAUUUAUUAUUUUUUCUUUCUUCUUUUGUAUUCGGUAUUAAAAAAAAAGAGAAAUUCAAAAAAAAAAUCGGAAUUAAAAAAAAAGUGAUUGAAAUUCAUUUUAAGUUUUGUUUGAUAGCCUACCAUUUCCGACAUCAUUGCCCACCAAGCCAACUCAAUUUUGUAAGCCGACGACAAACGGUAUUGAUUCGUCUAUCUAGUUUGCAGAGAACUUCGAGAGGCGAAAAUCGAGUGGUAAAAGGCAAGAGCGAUUGGUGAGACCAUUAGAGAAGAGUAAAAGCCAAAUUGUGUGAAAUUUUCUUUGUGAGGAAUUGGUGAGAAUUUUGUGGUGAGGUAUUUAAUUUUCUGUUAUUAUUAUUAUUAUUUUUAACAUUUCUUCUUUUAGUAUAUAAUCAUGUCUCAAGAUACCGAGCAAAACGUGGUGGGAAGAGAAGGAGUUCCCGAUUUAGGCCAACAAGCCCUCUUAAGAGAAUUUCAACGAAUGCUCCGUAACGAGCUUGAAUCCAUCAAUGAGAGGCUAGAUCGAGUGGAAGGAGGGCCAACACGAGAAGGAACCCCUCAAGGACUGAGAAGGGAGCGGGGGCGAGCAAAACCUUUUGUGGAUGAUCUCUUCGAGCCAAGCGAGGAGGAAGUUGCCAAGCAUUGGAUCAAAACGAAAGACGACGAGGUCAAAAGAAUAGGGGUCCUAGAGAUCGAGGCCAAGUUGAUGGUGAUUUAAAAGGUAUUAAACUAUCCAUUCCUCCCUUUCAUGGGAAAUCUGAUCCGGAAGCCUAUCUAGAAUGGGAGAGAAAAAUAGAGGUGAUCUUCGAGUGUCACAACUACUCGGAGAGCAAAAAGGUGAAAUUGGCGGCAAUCGAGUUCUCCGAUUACGCAAUGGUAUGGUGGGAUCAACUCACAACGAGUCGAAGAAGGAACGGGGAGCGGGCAAUCUCAUCUUGGACCGAAAUGAAAGCCGUAAUGCGUAAGCGAUUUAUACCCUCUUACUAUUAUCGUGAACUUUAUCAAAAAUUGCAGAUUCUUACGCAAGGAAAUCGAAGUGUGGAGGACUACUUCAAAGAAAUGGAAAUUGCCAUGAUUCGAGCAAACGUGGAUGAAGAUCGUGAAGCAACCAUGGCUCGAUUCUUAGCUGGCCUUAAUCGUGACAUAGCUAACGUGGUGGAACUUUAACACUAUGUUGAAGUUGUUGAUAUGGUACAUGUUGCCAUCAAAGUCGAAAAACAAUUGAAGAGAAAAGGAACUAGCCGAACCUUUCCUAGCACUAACAAUUUUCAAAGGUGGAACCAAGGCACGGGUAAGAAAGACUUCUCUAAUCGCACUAAAGAUCACCCUUUAUCUUCUAAGGUGAGCAAACCCGUUGGUGAAACAAGCAAAGGUAAAGAAGUUGUCAUGCCGAAUCGAUCACGAGAAAUAAAGUGUUUCAAGUGUUUAGGGAGGGGCCAUAUUGCAAGUCAAUGCCCUAACCGUACUAACAUGAUAUUGCGGGCUAAAGGAGAGAUCGAAUCAGAGGAAGACGAUGAUGAAAACCCCGAUGAAGCCGCCGAAGAAGAAGACGAACUUGAAUAUGCUGUUGAUGUCGAAAUCCUCGUCAUUAAACGAAGUCUUAGUCUUCAAAGCGUUGAAAACGAACAGCAAAGGGAGAAUAUUUUCCAUACACGUUGCCAUGUCCAAGGCAAAGUGUGCAGCUUGAUCGUUGAUGGCGGGAGUUGUACAAAUGUGGCCAGCACCAUAAUGGUUGAAAAACUCGGCUUGCCAACAACUAAGCACCCUCAACCUUACAAACUUCAAUGGCUUAAUGAUGGAGGGGAGUUGAAGGUAACUAAGCAAGUUUUGGUGCCGUUCACUAUCGGAAAAUAUUCCGACAAAUUUUUAUGCGACGUAGUACCUAUGCAUGCUGGUCAUAUGUUAUUGGGUCGUCCAUGGCAAUUCGACCGUAAAGCUACUCAUGAUGGUUUUACAAACCACUACACUUUCAAGUUUGAAGGAAAGAAUGUCACCUUAGUCCCGAUGACACCGAGGCAGGUUUAUGAAGACCAAUUGAAGUUAAGAGAGUCUUUUGAAAAAUUUCGAGAGAAUGAAAAAGAAAGCGAAAAACACACUGAGAAAAAAAAAGAAAAACUUUUGAAAAGUGUGAGAGAAAAUAAUAAAUCGAUUGAACAAAAAAAUAGAGAAGAAAAAGAGUAAAAGAAAAUGAGUGUUUAUGCGAAAGAGAGUGAUUUUAGAAAGUCUUAUUUGAUGCAGCAAUCGGUUCUUGUACUUAUGUACAAGGAAACUCUUUUGAAUACUAACGAGUUGGAUCCAAAUCUGCCCUCUUCGAUUGUUUCUCUUUUGCAGGAAUUUGAGGACGUGUUUCCGGAAGACAUUCCUAAUGGGUUACCGCCCAUUCGAGGAAUAGAACAUCAAAUUGAUUUCAUUCCCGGAGCCUCCAUUCCCAAUCGACCAGCUUAUCGUACAAAUCCCGAAGAGACCAAAGAAUUGCAAAAACAAGUCAAUGAACUUAUGGAGAAGGGAUAUAUACGAGAAAGUCUUAGUCCUUGCACCGUACCGAUUUUGUUGGUACCAAAAAAGGAUGGAACAUGGCGUAUGUGCGUAGAUUGUCGCGCGGUAAAUAAGAUCACUAUUAAGUAUCGACAUCCGAUACCGCGACUCGAUGAUAUGUUGGAUGAAUUGAGUGGUGCUCGAAUAUUUUCUAAAAUUGAUCUAAAGAGCGGAUACCACCAAAUUCGGAUGCGUGAGGGGGACGAGUGGAAAACCGCUUUUAAGACGAAACAUGGACUCUACGAGUGGUUGGUUAUGCCAUUCGGGCUUACCAAUGCGCCUAGCACUUUCAUGCGGUUGAUGAACCAUGUUCUUCGUUCUUUUAUCGGAAAAUUUUGCGUUGUCUAUUUUGAUGAUAUACUUAUCUAUAGCAAUUCCUUAGAAGAUCAUUUGUUGCAUUUAAAAUCUGUUUUGGAUGUGCUUAGAAAAGAAUCCUUGUUUGCUAAUCUUAAGAAAUGUACUUUUUAUACUAACAAGGUUAUUUUCUUAGGAUUCGUGGUCAGCUCGGAAGGAUUAGAGGUUGAUCAAGAAAAGGUGAAAGCCAUUCAAGAAUGGCCUAGACCCACGAGCAUUAGCCAAGUGAGGAGCUUCCACGGAUUGGCAAGCUUCUAUCGACGAUUUGUUCCAAAUUUUAGCACCUUGGCAGCACCUUUAACUAGUGUGAUCAAGAAGUCUUCUGCCUUCUAUUGGAAUGAGGAACAAGAAAAAUCUUUCAUUGCUCUUAAAUCUUGCUUAACUAAUGCUCCCUUACUUGUGUUACCUGAUUUUGCUAAAAUGUUUGAAGUUGAAUGUGAUGCAUCAGGUGUCGGAAUUGGAGCCGUUCUAAUGCAAGAUGGAAGGCCCGUGGCAUACUUUAGUGAGAAGUUAAAUGGAGCCGUUCUCAACUAUCCGACGUAUGACAAAGAAAUGUAUGCUCUAAUUCGAGCUCUCGAGACUUGGCAGCACUAUAUGCGAUCUCUCCUUUAAAAAAAUGGGUCUAAAAUUUUGCUCAGCCGGGCCCGCCUAUAUUAAAAAAAUGUAUAUAAUUUUUUUAAAAAUAUAAUACAUCAAAAACAUUAAAAUUAAUGUUUCCCAAAAAAAUUAACAUAAAUUUUAAAAAAAAAAUUUAUACUUAAAUAACACUAACAUAAGUACAACUUGACAAAACAAAUGCCUCUAAAAUAGUAACGAAAUUAAUAAUAAAAUAAGAGUUAUAUAAUAUCCAAAUAAUAACAACAAAAUAAUAGCAACAUAAUAGUGAAAUGACAACAAAAUAGUAAAUAAAAAUAAAAAGAAACAUCAAAAAAGCAACAAGAUAACAACAGGAAAACAAUAGCUUUUUUUUUUUUGCAAAUUUGGGUCAAGUCCAGGCCAAAAAAGUCUUAUCCGAGUCCCAACCCAUUUUCUAAACGGGCCUUAUUUUUUAUCCAAGCCCAUUUUUUGAAUAUCCCAACCCAUGGAUAAAUCUAAUUGCAAUUUAAUUUUCUUACUUGUUUAUGUUUUAUUACACGUAAAACCUCUUUUUAUUUACAAAUAGAUAAUUAUGUUUUAUUACAAGUAAAACCUAAUUAACAUGACUUUAGAAACAUAGCUGAAUACUAAGGAAUACAUAUAAAUGAAAUUUUAAGACAUGAAACACAUUCAAGACCAAAGGCAAACAUAAGCAAAUUCCUACUUUUUGUUGUUGUUUUUUAAGUACUCUGUCCACAAUCGGCAAUAACAACCGGCUUCGUAGUCUUUCCACGGCUAGAGCCAACUUUCUCAAUGUCUCUAACUACUUUCAUGCCUUCGACCACUCGUCCGAAAACAACGUGCUUUCCAUCGAGCCACUCGGCUUUAGUGGUGCAGAUGAAGAACUGAGAUUUGUUAGUACCCGGUCCAGCAUUCGCCAUGGAUAGUACGCCGGGUCCAAUAUGUUUCUUGAUGAAGUUCUCGUCGGCGAAGUUGGAUCCGUAUAUAGAUUCACCUCCGGUGCCGUUUCCAGCUGUGAAGUCACCUCCUUGGCAAAUAAAAUUAGGGAUCACACGAUGGAACUUCGAGCCUUUGUAGUGGAGUGGUUUACCGGAACGACCGACGCCUUUCUCGCCGGUACAUAGUGCACGGAAGUUCUCGGCAGUGCGAGGGGUAACAUCGGCAAAAAGCUCCAUCAUGAUCCGACCAGCCGGUUCGCCUCCGAUCGUCACGUCGAAGAAUACUUUAGGAUUGGAAACCAUUGCUGAAUAUUGGAUUUUGUAUUGUUUUGAUAGGUCAGUAGGGUACGUAAAGGGGAGGGACUAUGUUUAUAUAGGAUAAGGGGAGGCUCGAAAGUUGACGGGAUAGAUUCUAAAUCUAAUUCUUUCGGUUUAAAAUGAUCAAAUGCGAGUUAAAAUUGAAUUCCAUUCACAUUUUGUGAUAAAUACGAAUAUAUAUAACAUUUUAAAAUGAUAAAACAAAGGUGGCUGUUUCUGCCAAAUCUAUUGGUUGUCUCUAGCACCAUAUUUAGUAUUUAAAGUGUGUUUCUGUUUGAGACACUUUCUGCUUUUCUCUAUGUAUACUAUGAAAAGUUAUUCUUUGCUUAAAGGAGCUUACAUAGAUGGAAUAUGGUAUAAUAAUUUUUUAUGCAAGAUGUAGGGCAGGUAAAGUGAUGUUCACAUUGUAGGUGGUGUGUACAGCUAUUAACCAUGAAGGUUUUGAAUUUGUAUUUGAAUAGAGUGAGGGUUGUAUUAUAUAUCUCGUGCCUUUACGUUGGUGCUGGAGGAUAUUAUUUAUAAACGAAGGUUGGUUUGGUAUGGGUUUCAAUCAUCUAUUGUUGUAUUCUAUAGAUGUAGGUAGUAGAAUGAUCAACUAGGAACACUUUUGGAGUUGAUAUGAGGGGACUUUGUGAGGUGACUUGUUAUAAUAUUAUCAGUUCGAAGAGAUGAUAGAUAGAUGGGUGUUGAUAGGAACACUUAUCCAUGUAUAUUCUAAGGAUUGUGUGGGAUCAUCUCAUUUGAUGCGGUGUUUAGUGAAGCGAGAUUGGGACUAUGCUUCUAGCAAGGCCGAGCUUCAUCAAAUUUUACCUUCAAGUAUAAGCAUCAGGUGGUUCGAUGAGAGGUGAUAUGGUGAGGGUAUAAUAAUUGCCCCUAAAUGAAAUGCAAGUUAUAAAGUGACCUACCUUGAGUGAAAUAUCUAGUGAAACACUAAAACGACUUUUGAAAUGUCAUGCUUAAUAUCCAAUCAUUGUGCCCUUUCAUUAAUUACUCUAUGCUAGCUUUGAUUUAUAAAACUUUUUAUAUAAUAACAUUUAAGAUAUUUUUUUUCAUAUUAUUGCUUAAGUCAUUUAUGUUUUAAAACAAAAUAAAUAUUUUAGAAAAUAUUUUCAAAUCCAAAGCAAGCUUAAAGAAUGCUGGUUUAAAUUGAUUUUACUCAUAUCUUGUGCUCUUAAGUUAACUGAAAAGCUUUGAAAAUAUUUUAAAGUGUGUUUUUGAAACAAAAAUAACCAUUUUAAUAGCUAAGUGUCGAUACCCCUAGGCUAGUAUCCAUAGGCCUUUCUAGAGGGGUAAGAUAAUACUUGUUCUUGAGGUACUGAUACACACCCAAGUAUCGUAUUUUACGUAAAGUAUCAGCCUUGAAAUGUCAAUAGCCAAAACUUUUUUUCUAGACGGGCAAGGUAUCGAUACCUUGAUACCUGUUAUUGAGGUAUCGAUACCUAACCCAAAAAGUAUCAAUACCUCAUUAUUUAUAAUGACUAUUUUUUUUAGAAGUAUGGAUACCCUCUUCAUAGGUAAUGAUACAUUAGGAUGUAGGGUUGUUUCAACUUGCAUUUUUAAUGCUUCUAACGGCUCUUUUUCAUCCCCUACGACCAUAAAUAGCUAGAAUUCACUUCAUUGACAUAAAGAGAGGUCGAUGAAUGAAGAGAUAUCAUGUAACACCCCUAACCCGUAUCCGUCACCGAAUUAGGGUUACGAGGCAUUACCGAACAAAUUCAACAUUUUUAAAACCAAACUGAUCACAACGUAAAAAUUUAAUUACUUUCGCAUAGCUAUUAUAAUUUACAAUCAAAAUGUAAUUAACAUCGUACUCAAACCUAUACAUGCCAUAAGAUUGAGUUCAAAUCUUUAACAAAAUACCAAAAGAAGUCGAUAGUGUGAUGGACUAUGCUGAUGAUCCCCGAGCUCGUAACGCGUCUCCAAAAUCUAUAAAAGCAAAUGGACGAAAACAAGCAAAGUAAGCUUUUAUAGCUUAGUAAGUCUACAGGAUAACUAAAUGUAUAUAAAUAUAUAAAUAAAGUUACUUUUUAAUCUAUUUCACUGAGAUUUCAAUUAACACGAAUAACUAAUAUUUAUAUGUUAUUGUACUCAGCCCAUUUCAUUUAUAGAUAGAUAUGCAUACCUGUCGAAAGCGAUCAAUUGAAUAUAUAUUUUUAUACCAAACACAUUACAACGAAUGUAUACAACCGCGCAUAUAUAUAUUAUACACAUAUCAUAACCGAAUGUGUAUGAAUACUCAUUUUAAACUUUAAAUCAAUACAAAUCUAAUACAUAUGAACGAAUGCAUUUAUUUUCAUCAAAUACUUAUAAACCAAGGUAUAUAUAUAUCUCGAAUGCAUAUAUAGUUACUAAUCAAAUAUGUGUACCGAAUAUUUAAAAGUAUAUAUUUAUCAAAUGCAUAAUCCCAGAGCAUAUAUAUAUUUCUCAAUUGUAUAAGCCGGAUAUAUAUAUAAUCAUCAAACGCACUUAGCCAAUUGUAUAUAUAUAAAUAUACUUAUCAAUUAAAUAUAUCCAAAAUCAUAUAAUUGUACACCUAAUCACAUACUUAAAACAGAUUCACCGGCAUUUAGCCUGCUAGGCUUUAAGCCUGAUUCAGUACACCGGCACUUAGCCUGCUAGACAUAUAGUCUGAAAUAUUUCACCGGCAUUAAGUCUGCUAGACAUAUAGUCUGAAGUGUUUCACUGGCAAUAAGCCUGCUAAGCGCUAUGCUUGAAAAUCUCAAUUUUCCCAUAUACAGAAUAAUUUCCUCAAAUACUUAUUAACAGCAAACACACAUUCAUUGUAGUCCAUAUUCAAUCACAAAAGAGUUUGCGAAUCAUACAUUCGAUUCAAUUCAAGAAUCUGUACACAAAUAUACAUUUAGAUAUAUUCGAACUCCCAAGUACGUUUUUAACAUUUAUACCUUAAAAUAUAAUCAAGACUUAUUCAUAUAUAUAUAUAGAUGUUCCAACUCCAUAUACUUACUUAUUCGAAAUUAUCUGUACAAUUACAACAUACAUACUUUUAAUCAAACCCAAAUGUUUUUACAUACAUCUAUAUGUUCGAAACUUAUGUAUACAUAUGUAUUAUACAUAUCUUUAAUUUAAGCAAGAAUUUAUACAUGUAUUUACUUACAUAUAUUUGAAUCUUAAGUGCACAUAUAUAUAACUCUCAUACAACCAACCAAAUUCAAGUAUAUGUAUACAUAUAGAUACAUAUAUAAUUAUUUGAAUUUAUAUAUAUAUAACUUUAUUCUAUUCAUACUUUAAAUUAGUUCAAAAAUUUAUAUAAGCAUAUACCUAUAUAUUUGAACGUUGUAUAUACAUAUUUAUACCAUUUAUAAUUUGAAUUUAUUCAAUUAAAUUACUUUUAAUUAUAGCUCAACAACAACAUAAUAGAUAUUCAUGCAUAUAUAUAUAUAUAUAUAUAUAUUGAUUUAAUAACAUUAAAUAGCUAAUAGACUUACCUCGGACGAUGGAAAAUCGAAGUCGGACGAUUAUUCGACUAAUUUGGCUUUUCCCCGAUCUAACUCCGAUUUCUUUAGUUCUCGAUCUUGAAUUAAGCUUGUUAAUGACCGAAUACCUCAAAGCUUUUAAACCCUAUUUGUUUUUCUAAGUUUCGGCAAAGGAAGAAUGAAAAUAAUGGCUUCAAUUGAUUUAUUAUAUCAUAUGUUUAUUUAAUUAUUAGUUUACUAUAUUAACCUUUAAUACAAAAUAUAUAAACCUUAUAAUAUAAGGUCAUUUUUGACCAUUAUCACCCACUCACUACUUUAUGGUCUUAUUGCAUCAUAAAUCCUUCCAUUUAAAAAGACAACAACAAUUAGGUGCUUUUAUAAUUAACCCUUAAAUUUUUAUUUUUCGCGAUUUAAUCCUUUUAUUUAAUCGGACACUCAAACAACAAAAUUAAAACACGAAAAUUUCACACAAUCAAAUGCACACAAAGUAAACACACAAAAUAAUAUUGAAAUAUUUUUAGGACUCGGAUUUGUGGUCCCGAAACCACUAUUCCGAUUAGAGUCAAACCGGGUUGUUACAUAUCAACGCAUUCAAGCAAGCAAAUUUUUAGUUCAUUUCUUUCCUCUUUUCUUGUUUAUUAUUUAUUGAGCUUUAUUGAAAAUCAUUAUACAAGGGUUUAUUUUACUUUUAAGAGCUUAAUUUUGUAAACACUCACUUACUAGAGGUUGAUCAUGUGUUUCCUCAAAUAUUCUCUUUCUAUUAAAAAGCGAACUUUAAGGUUUUUAUGCAGAAAGCAUUAAUGGAUUAGAGGUUCUUGUUUAGCCUUGAAUGCUAGGAGAAGGCUUUUGUCUAAGCCUUGCUAGAUAGAGAGUUUUAAAGGUUAUACUUGUCUUUGAAACGUAUCAAUUCAAGUUAAUGAAUUUGGAAAAUUCUUGUCGGCAAAAGAUAAAGGAGGUAGCCAAUUAAGGCCAAACCAUUGAGUCAAUAUUUUCUAUCCUUUCUCACCUUAGUGAAAACAAGUUAGAUUACCAAUUCACUCCUCCUCUCGGUAGAAUUCGAUUCGUUAAGACUUUACACUCCCUAAACAAGCGUUGAUUUUUUAUUAGGGCUUUUCUAUUUCUUGAUUUCCUACUUAGAUACUGAUAAGUUGGGCUCUUUUGUGAUUUCUGAGCUUGUAUCUUCUUCUUCUUCAAGGAUAACCGCUUAGUAAAGCAAAAAACCCAACCUCUUGGCAUGGAACAAAAUGUUGCUCAACAAUCAGUGGGUGAAGGAGGUGACAAGAACAAAGGCAAAAUGCCUUUCAAGAAAGAAGGUGCACGAGCUUUGUAGGAAAAAUAAAAAACCGGGGUACCUCUAUACACAUUUCUCUCAAGACAAAGGGAGAAUACUCUGCCAAUGCUAAGAAAAGUGACGUCAUGUUAGGCACAUGAAAAAGCCAAGGCACCAGGAGGAAACAUCGCGAUAGAUUCCCUCUUUAAAUCUCCUUACUGGAACAAGAAUGCCUAAUAGUGCUUUGGGAAGUGAUUUAGUGGGAUAAAAGAUAAUCAAAAGUGAAGUCAGCUUUCUCGAUACAAUAAAAUGAAGGCCUUCCUUGAAUAGGAGGCAAUAAAAGGGUCCAUUGAUGAUUACGUUUUUCUAGACAUGGUGGCUCUUCAGAUCUACUUACUGUCUGUACUUGUCACAAACACUACAUCUUAUCAUCGCCAAUUAGAAUGACAUGAGAAGAGCCAACUAGGUGGAAGCAAGACAGCAGUUAAAAUAAGAAGAAGAGCAACUUGUCUUACUAAAAGUUUCAUCCCGUAUCAAGUUCGCAUAUGCAACCAUUUGACACAAUAUCUUAUUCUUGCAAGAGCGAGUAGAAAAGUUUCAAAAAGUUGGCGUAUGACGUUUUUACCCCUAGUCAAUUAUUUAGGGUUUCUUGGUGACAAAUGGUACUGUACUUUUUAGAUUGAAAGAACCAUGGAACCUGUCUUACUAUCCCCACAAUCGAGGACAAGUUGGAGGUUUAUUUUUAUCCUCAAGUGGGUUAUUCCUUCAUCCCUUUAGCUUGUUUCAGGCCGCGAUAGGGAGCCAUUCUGUUUGAGGAUAGAACUAGUGAAGUUUAGCGAGAUAUGGUCCCUACAUGGUUUUUGGCGAUUAUAUUUCGAAGGGCAUAACCUAAAUGGUGCAACUCUAGCAGAAAUAGCAUUGUUUUGUUAUGUGACGAGUUUUGGUGCUUGGUCUUCAUCAUACAAUGCUUGGCCUUGGAAGAGUGGAGAUCCUUUAGCAAAGUUAAUGCUCGAAGAGGAGCGGUAACCUCCAUAUUUCGUUUGCCAAUAUGUGCAUAAACAUUUGAAUGCUAAACUUCCUGUCACUCAGCCCAAAGAAUGAGGGAAACACGUCACUAAAAGCCUUACGAAGACCCUUGAUACAUGUAUAUGUAGGCCUUUCUCUUGUUUGCAACAUUUCGUGCCUUCUAUUAUUCUGACAUCUUUCUUAUUAAUGCUUCCUAUGCCUUAGUGCUGAUGGAACCGUCUUCAUACCAAAUUAUGAGGCUUGUACAACUAUCAGCAAAGGCUAAGCGGUUGAAGCAAAUCAAUUAGAGGCUCUCUGAGGGAUCAAAAGCAAAGAGUUGCUAGUUGGAAGGAGGGAUAAUGCUAAUAGCUAUGCUUAUGUGAAGAAAGCUCACCUGGUUGAAAAUUAGGUUCCAUAUCUAGAGGUCGAGAUAAAAAAUUUGAAAGGCAAUCUCAUGAAGUUGCUAGAAAAAUUGAAAGUAUAGGAAUCUUAGAAGUAUGACUGAAGGUCUAAAUUUUUGAAUACUUAAAGUUAAAAUCUCACCAUACACAAAUAUAUAUAUAAAUAGAAAAAGAUAGAAUAGAAUUCGCAUCUAUUAUAUCAUGUCAAUGACAAUAUAAAAAUAGAACUGAGAUCUAGAUGGAAUAUAUUGGUCAUGGGUUGAGAACGGAAGUUAUAAUUACGAUAUAUGAAUUUUCAAUCUCAUAAAUGUGCAUACAUCAUGUGUGAAUUUUGUCUGAUUCUUUCUAAUCAUUUGUCAUAUAUUUUUACUUGCACUGAUAAUAUUGAAAUCACUUAUACAAUCCUUUUCUCCAAAUAUAGACAAUACUUUUUUUUUUUAACAAUCUGAGGUUUAGGCCUUUCUCAACUCAUGCUUCAAUAUAUUUGAAUUCACUUAUAUUAAUAACAAUACUCAUGCCAAUCCCUAAACCAUAAAUUCAAUCGGUUACACAAAACCUUUUCUUUAUCAGUAUUUAAGAAGAAUAAAAUUAUUCAGCAGUUUUCUUUUUGACUUUUCCUUGUAAUAAAACAAGAAAUAUAGAUUGUAUUGCAAAAACAACAAAAAGGGUUUGUAAUAACUCAAUUAUAUGGUCAAAUAUGAUGAUAAAUAGCGUACAUUAUUUAUGGCAGUCAUGUUCUUAGAGAACAACCUAAGCCAAAUCCAGUAACCAGCAAAAGAAAACACAUAAAAAUGAUAAAUUUCAGACAUGAAUCACCAUUCAUAGACCAGAGUCAACAUUAUUCCAUUUCUUGUUCUUGUUCUUGUUCUUAACAAAGCUGUCCACAAUCUGCAAUAACGACAGGCUUAGCAGUCCUUCCACUGCUAGACCCAACUUUUUCAAUGGCUUUAACCACAUCCAUACCUUCAACAACUUGACCAAACACCACAUGCAUCCCAUCGAGCCACUCGGUCUUAGCGGUACAAAUAAAGAACUGAGAUCCAUUCGUUCCGGGACCGGCGUUCGCCAUGGAUAGUAUGCCGGGUCCGGUGUGCUUCUUGAUGAAGUUCUCGUCGGCGAACUUAGACCCGUAUAUCGAUUCACCUCCGGUUCCGUUUCCGGCUGUGAAAUCACCUCCUUGGCACAUGAAAUCAGGGAUCACGCGGUGGAACUUAGAGCCUUUGUAGUGGAGUGGUUUACCGGAACGACCGACGCCUUUCUCGCCGUUACAGAGUGCCCGGAAGUUCUCGGCGGUACGAGGAGUGACGUCUGCGAAAAGCUCCAUCACGAUCCGGCCGGCCGGUUGACCUCCGAUCGUCAUGUCGAAGAAAACCUUGGGAUUUGAAGCCAUAGUUAAAAAAAAUUGAAAAUUGGCUUAUUUUUUGGAUUUUGUUUUGGUGGGUUAGUGUGAGAUUUAAGCUAAAGAGAGACUGGUUUAUAUAGAGAAGAUGAAUGAGGGUUGACCUGCAAACGGGUCGGGUUGAUUUUUUAAUGGAUCUAAUUCGGGUUGAAUUGUGGUCAUCCAUUUUCUUUUUAGUCCUUCAGUUUUACUUUAAUGUUCAAUUUGGUACUUAUGUAUUUUUUGGUACUUAACUAAGACAAGAAAAAUCAAUUUUAAGUACUUAAUUUGAAUAAACAAAAGCCAAAUUCAAGAAUCAAACUCAUCAGAAAAAUUUAGAUACCAAAUUAAACAUUAAAAUGAAACUCAUGUACCAAAUAAUAUAUUAACUCUUUUGUAGUCAAGCUAAAAAUUUAGGUAGGUUCUUUUUAUAGAAAAAAAUAGGUAAAUCAAUUGAGUCUUAACUCGAUUGGCAUGGUAUUAUUGUCAAUGUAGGAAAACGUAAGUUCGAGUGGGCUAACUUAUUUUUUUUUCAAAAAAAAAAACUAAAUAUAAUUAGAACCUAUUUAUGGGUUGGAGAGGGACUAUUGGUAGUUUUAAAUAUUAUGUCAAAAAGAACAUAUAUGAUCAAAAUCUAUAACGAGAUUAAUAAAAAAAUUGAGUAAAGUUUGAAAAUUAUUAUAUAACUUAAUUUUAUUGGAAAAUUAUUAUAUGAUAUUUAAAUUAUUUUUAAAUAUCAAUUAAAAAUAUAUCAUAAUUAUUUAAUUCAUAUAUAGAAUUAAAAUAUUUUCCUAUUGAUGUACCAAAUAAUUAGGUUAUACUAUUAUCUCUUUAAAAAUGACAAAUUUAAUUAACAUUAAAUAUAAGAUAAAUACCUUAAAAAACUCUCCUACGAAAUAAUUAUAUUUUAUAUUUAAAAAAUUAAAUGAUAAAAAUGUGGGUCAAAAUUGGAUUCGAUUCACAUUAAAUUUGAAAUAAAUUCCAUAUACGAAAAAUAAGAAUAAUUAUUUUUUAGAAAAAAAAAAAAGAAGUAUCAGAUGCGAUACGGCAGAGUUUUGUUGGACCAUUUUUCCACUAUAAAAUAAUUUUAAUAAUAAAGUAAGUUAUAAUUAUUGUUAAAAUGCAUAAAUAAAGUUACAUAAAUGUUGAUUAAGACCGAGAUGCCCCUUCUAUUCUAGCGUUAUACACACGCACGCUAAAUGCGGUCCAUUUUUUUUUUUUUUGAGAUUUUUUUUUUGUUUUUACUCCACGUUGAAUAUUAUAGAAAUUCGAGCCAAAUUUAAAUAAAAUUGAUCAUGACCCACGUGGAGUUAAGCUCAAUCAAAAUCUUAGGUUCAUUUGUUAGGUUUGUGUUCGGCUUAGGCCCGAAAAAUGGGCUUGAAAGAAUUUGCUUAAGUUCAAUCUAAAUAAAAAAUAUUAAUUUUUUAAAAAAAUAUAAUACAUCAAAAAUACUAAAAGUAUUAAAAUAUAUGUUUCUUAAUAAAUUGAUAAUAAAUUAAAAUAUAUAUACACUUAAAUAACACUAAUAUAGGUGCAACUUAACAAGUAAAUGCCUCUAAAAUCAGAGGUGAAGCUAGGGGGUUGACAGGGGCCCGACCCCCCUAAAAUGAAAAAAUAUUAUUUAGGCCCUUCAAAAAAUUUUAAAAUUUUUAAUUAAUAAAGGUAAAAUUACACUUUAGUUCCCCUAAAAUUAUAAAAAUUUAAUUUAAUCCUUUAAAAUUUAUAAAGAUAUAUUAUAGACUAUAAAAAACUAAAAUUUCAUUCGGCCCCCUAAAAAAUUGUUCUGCCUUCGCCUCUGUCUAAAAUAGUGACAAAAUUAACAAUAAACCAAUAAUUAUACAAUAUCCAAACAAUAACAACAAAAUAGUUACAACAUGAUAGGGAAACAAUAACAAAAUAGUAAGAAAAUAAUAGCAAAAUAGUAAAAAACAACAACAAGAAGAAAACAACAAAAACACAACAGUUUUUUUUUAUUUUUACAAAUUCGGGCUAGGUCUAGUCGAGUUCAAGCCAACAAAACAUUACUCGAGACUCAACCCAUUUUCUAAACAAUGCCUUAUUUUUUGUUGCCCAAGCCUAUUUUUUGAGCCUAUAUAUUUAUUCAAACCCUCCCACUUUUUGAGUCGGGCCACAAGUCUAGGACCAAGCUAUUUUGUUUAAUUUUUUUUCUCUAGUAUAAUGAUUUAUUUUACCUUUUAAUUUAAUUUUAGUCCUUUAUUUUAUUUUUUACUUUUUAAUUUUUUUAGCCUUUAAACUUGUAUUAUUUGUUAAAUCACCCAAAAUAGAUGAAAAAUUAACAUCAAUUAAAAUUUUAAGUUUUAAAUAUUUCAAAAAAAAAAUUAGUAAAAUUAUUAAAAAUAUAUAAAACAUCUUUAUUUAAAAAAACUAAUUGCUAACAUGGCAAUCCACGUGUUUGCCACAUUAGCAAAGUUAACAAACGUUAACUUUUCCAUACAUUUUGGGGUGAUUUGACAAAUAAUAAAAAAUGAAGUGCUAAAAUGAUUUUUUUUGUAAAGUUAAAGGGUCAAAUAAGUUAUUAUGUCUUUUUAAAAAAAAUUAAAUAGAGUAAACAACCUUACUUGUUAACUCAAUCCUUAAGGCACUUUCAUUUGGAUCAUAUAAAAAAAAAUUCUUUCAGUUUCAUAACGGUUGUUAGAGAAAAUUUUUAUUUUAGUCACUCAACCAUUAACUUUAUUACAACUUCCGACUUAACCCUUAAUAAUUGAGUGAAUAAAAUAAAAUAAAAAUUCUAAAGGGGAUGACGAAAUCGAAAGGAUUUAUUUAUGAGUGGCUAAAAUGAAAGUGCCUAAUAUAUCUUAAAAUUAUUUUUAACACAUAAUAUUAAUACAUUUUAUUGGAUUAUAGUAGUUUUUUUUUUUUGAAUAAUCUCAUUAUAGGUUCUGAUAAUAUCUGUUCUUUUAGACAUAAUACCAAGAACUACUCAUACUCCUUCCCCAACCCAUAAAUAGGAGGAUAAUGAGCUUGGCUACACUCGAAUUCACUUUCUCUUACAUUGACAAUAAUGCCCAUAUCAAUCGAAUUAAGUCUCAAUCGGUAUUUAUAUUGGCCCUAACAUAAUAUUAUUAUUGCAAUAAAAAUGACAGUUUUAUAAUCAGCAAGUAAAGAGAAAGAUUCAACAAACACGUCCAACUUAAUUAAUUUAAACAUUUACUUAAUUUAUCUCCCCUACGAAGAUAGACCUUUUUUAUUGCAUGCAAUGCUUCAUUAAAUAUUGCAUAUAACACUUCAUUUUACAGUACACCCUACGUACUUCAAGGAUGAUGUGGAGCAAACGGCGGCAACGGCGGCCAUUUUCCGAACUUGGGGUGGUGGAAAUACUUGGGAGGAAGCUUGGGAAGCGGAGGGCACGGCUUCUUCGUAAAUGGAGGAAUCUUCGGAAGAGGAGGAAGUGGCUUGUGAGGAAUAGGAGGGAAGGGUUUCGGUUUGUAAAUAGGAACCGGCGGUGGAAGCGGCUUCUUAUAAACCGGUACCGGAUGAGGCUUAUAAACCGGUGGUUUGUAGACAGGAACCGGCGGUGGAAGCGGCUUCUUGUAGACCGGCACCGGAUGAGGCUUAUAAACCGGUGGUUUGUAGACAGGAACCGGCGGAGGGAGUGGUUUCUUGUAGACCGGCACCGGGUGAGGCUUAUAAACCGGUGGUGGAAGAGGUUUCUUGUAGAUGGGAGGGUGAGGGUAAUGAUGGUGGAAGCUUUUCAAUGGCGGAAGUGGUGGAAGCUUAGGCAAUGGAGGGAAGUUGUGGUGGUGGUGAGGCCAAAAGGAGGCUGAGACACAUGUUAUUGGUGAGAAUUUGAGGUUCUCUUUUAACCCAAACUGGUGUUUCUGGUCGGUGGUGGAUUUGAAAACUAGCUUAGAGGAUUCUAAGCCAUUAAUGGAAGGGCAAGGUUGAGGUGAUGAUACAGUGCGAAGCUGUGCGUAGCAAUGUUCAUUCAAUUUGCCAUCUUUGAACAAGUGUUGUGGAAGAGAGACUUUGAAAUUGCCUUGUUUGUCAAGCUUUCCAGACCCUCUGGUUUUGAAAUGGUCACCAUUUUCUGGCUUGCAAUCUAUGGUUACACGAAGACCUAGAAAGAGAAAACGCCAUUAUCAUAACAUCAUAAAUAUUGCUUCAAAUUAAAGAAAGGGAGAAUACACCAUUAACAUAACAUCAUAAAGUUUAAUUCUCUAAUGUUAACAAAAUGUUAGUGUGAUGGUUCACUGGUAGAUUUAUACACUAAUAAUGAAUCAAAUAAAAACCUCUUUUUACUAUUUUUUAGAGCUUUUGCCUUACUCGUGACUAAAAUUUUUAAAUUUUUGGGGAGAAGUGUAUCUUUAUUUAAGCAGCUUUUUGUUUUAUGUAUAAGGUGUAAUGCAGAUUUAUCCCUAUCAUGAGUGCUUGAGUAUCAACUCUUUAAUUGACCAUCGUCAAUACAAAAGUAUGUACAUAUAAUUGAGUUUGAACUUGGAUAUGUAUGUAUAUCAAUCUUAGUGUAAUAAUAUGUGUGUUGAGGAGAGGUCGCGCUUUGGGCCAAUCUUGGACCCUCAAUGAAGGUAUUGUUCUCUGGAUUUCUAUACUCGGUUUUAACUUUGAGUUUUUGUCUCAUAACUUUGAAGGGAGUCCAAAAGGGUUCGCGAAAUUUGAUGGAGCGCCUACUCCACCAAAGAAAUGUUUAACAUUUGGCCUUAAUGGGUUUUGAACUCAUGCCCUUAUAUGGCAUUAGUGGGUAAGAACUAGAUCUGUUCAUGGGUCGGGUUAUCCGCUUAAGCCUAAAGGCCCAUCAGAAAUUUGAAAGGGUUUGAGUAAAAAAUUAGGCCUGAAAAAUAGAUUUGGACAAAAAAAUAGGCCAAUUUAUAAUAUGGGUCGGGCUCGAGGCUUGAACAUUCAAGGCCUGAGCCUGACCCGACCCAUUUUUAAGUUUAUAAUAUUUUAUAUUAUGUUAUUUUUAUAUAUUAUAUAAUUUAGAACACAUUAAAAAAAAUAAACCUAUACUAAAUAUAUAAUACUACUCUAAUGUAAAUAUUAAAAUAAAGUUCAGAUGACUAUAUAAAAAUUUUCAAUAAAUUAAAAAAAGUAUAAAAUUAUUAAAUAUUAAAAUAAUAUAAUAUAAAUAUUUUUAAAAAAUUUAAAAAAUAAUAUGGGUGGACCUAAAAUAGGCUUGGGUUAGUCUUUUGCAAAUAUGGGCUUGUUUGAGUAAAAUUUUAAGCCUAUAUUCCGGGUCGGACCAGGCUUGGACAAGCAUAAAGUAUGUUAAUAUCAUGCCUAAGCCCGACUCGAACCUAUGAACACCUCUAGUAAGAACAUUACCGUGAACUUUCUUAGGCUCUCCUUAAAAUACAAGUGACAAAACUCAGAUAAUCAAACAUCAACACCCACAAACAAUACUUCUGAGGAUCCGGAACCGACCCAAACAACUAACUCCCCCCAGCAAUAUAGGCCACUACAACAUGCAAGGAAUGGCCUCGAAAUUAAUUGAGCAGCUUAGAUGAAAACAAUACCUGAAAAUGCUUGGGUGGUGUCCAAGUUAUUCUCUUUGCAAUCUGUGCAUUCACCAACCCCGACCACUUCAACUGUUUUACCAUCACCGUUAGCAUUGCAAAAUGUGGUCACAAAUAAUAAUGACCAUACUGUGAACGCCACAAGUGCUCUUCCUCGAAACUCGAGGUUCUCCAUUGUUAUUGCUUCUGAGGUAGUGAUAUGAUAUCAGAGAUUGGAUACCAAAGCCUUAUUAUAUAAUGGUGUUCAAAAGGGAUCAUGGGAUCACCAUUUUCAAUGGCUUACCGACACCACACUUAAAUGCCUCACAUAAGGUUAGGGAACGGGACCCUCACCACCUCUUUGAGAUGACUUUGGUGUAGACACGUAGUUUAAACUUUGGUUUGAUAUGAUCAUCAUAAAAAAAAUUAAUAAUUUAAAUUUGAAAUGAUUUUGUUGAGUAUUUUUAUUGUGUAUUUUCUUAAUGGGUGAAACAGAUAUUUAUUUGAUAUGGUUACUGUUCAUGGAAUUGACGUUCUAGGUAAGCUCCAUGCAUAUCGACACGUAUUCUACUCUAGACUUAACACGUGUUUGUUGGUCCAGGUGCUCGCCAGUUCAUUCAUUUAGCUUUGUACCCUGUGCGAACUGUGCUCGCAAGCCCUCCCCGUGAGCCCCUUAACGACUCCACCUGGUGGGGUCCAAACUCGGGUCGUAGGUCGGUAGCUCGGGUUAUAUUCGAGUUUCAGGUUGGCAAUUGGAUAUCCCACAAUAGAUCUAAUUCGAAAAUUGAGCUUCAAAUUUAAAUGAUUUGAACCUAAAACAACCCGAAAUUGAAAUGGCUCGAACUUAAAACAAGUUAAACUCAAAAUGAUUCAAACCCAGAAUUAAUUUGAAAAAUCGAGAUAACUCAAUCUAGACUGAUUGGUCUAAAACUGAUCCAACCCACUCAAUUUAUAAGUGAAUUCGGUGUAAUGGUUUGAAAAAGAUUGUGAUGUUACCUGAAUGACCCGAACCCAAAAUAACUGGAAAUUAAAAUGGCUCGAACUUAAAAUUGUUCGAAUCUAAAAUUGAUUCAAACCCAAAAUUAACAUGAACUGAAAUAAUUUUAAAAUUUUAAAAUUCGAAUUAACCCGAUCUGAAUUUGCUUUGAUCUAAAACUAAUUCAACCCACUUAAAUUACAAGUGAAUUUAGUGUAAUAGUUUGAAACCAAAACAACUUUAAAUUAAAAUGAUUUGGACCUAAAAUAAUUCGAAUUCAAAGUAAUUUAAACUCAAAAUUAAUCUGAAAAUUGAUACGAUUUAAAUUAAUUUGAUCCAAAACUAACCCGACCCACCUAAUUGACAGAGUGUUUAGUGUAAUGGUUUGAAAAAGAUAGUAAUGUGCCACAACCCCACAACCCCACAACCAUUUGUUGAAUUAAGCUAAUGAUAGUAUCUUUCAUUGAAUGAGCCCUCAACUGCACAACGAACAGCUAAAUUAUGCUUUGUGUUUUCUCAUCUGCAUUUUAAAACCUACUUACUAACUUUCAUAAAUAAUUUUUUCUAUAUUUACACAAUUCUUUGCUGAAUUACAAAAAUGGUCCUUCAAUAUUCAACUUAAUUUGAAUUAUUUAAAUUGUGCAACAUAUGAAUUUCGAAUAAAUCAACCACACAAAUGCCAACCAAUUUAAUUAUUACUCAAAAAAACCACUUGCUUUCUAAGUUGUUCUUAGUCAUCACUAUCAUAAUUAAGCUCAUUUUGUGAGACAACCCUUUGACUAUUUUUCAUCUAAUAAAUAUGGGGUUCAUCCAUGUGGCCAUGAAUUUGCAAGUCCCCCCCCCCUCCCCGCCUUUGAUCCAAACUUGGGCCAAACCCUAAUCCUUGAAUUUUACUUUUAUUAUUGAAAGCACAUGGUGGAGGUGGACCCUUUCUUUGACCAUCAAAGAUAAUCUAGUAACUUUGCCAAAAGAGGUCUCUAGAAAUGAAACCAUUUGUUGUAGAUUGAAGGUAGAUAGGGUAACCUCAGAUAAUAUUAUAAUUCACCCUAAUGGAUUAAAGAAAAUCGUUCUUCUUGAAUUUGAUUUUCAAAGCAUACUCCGAAGUUUAAGUGAGAGUCGGAGAGAGAUAAGAAACAAACUAACUAGUGCCGGUACGUUUAAUAUCGUCUUAUUUUUUUGUGAACCGUCUCAUUUUACUCUAAAACAUAAUGUCAACUAAUAAGGAUGUGACACGUAGCACGUUUACAUUGGACGUCAUACACUUUUAGGGUAAAAUGAAAAGAAAUUGAUAGUUUAGAUAUCACUUUUGAUUAAAAAAAAUUAGGUACUUAACUGAGGAAAACGAUAUAAAUUGAGAGUCAAUUUUGUAAUUAAGCAAAAAGAAAAACAUCUUUCACAUAAAUUAAUGGCAAUGCUGGAUUUAGUUACACUUCUUUUUCACAAAUCGGUUUUCAAGUGAUGUGAUUACCAUGUGAUUAAAAGGAAAAACAAAAUCAAUCAUGGAUUUAAAUGUUGAAAAUGUAGUUAUAGGUCACAUACAAAAAUGUAGGGUCAAACAUUACUUAAAUAUUUUUCAAUUAAGGACAACAUUAUGCACCUUAAUAUUUGGUGAGAUGGAGUUUCCCUAUCAAGCUUGCUAAUUAGUAGGGUAAAGGUGUAUUCAUGUAAUCUUAUAUUUUAACAAAAGUUGUGAAUAUAGACCAAUAAAUCUAUUUAUAAAUUGAGUUGGGUCAAAUUUCGUAAUAAAAUCUUGAUGAAAGUUAUUACUUAUAGGUUUUCAUACCAAGGGCACAAUCAAAUUAAGCUCGUAGGGUCUACCAAUUUCGUUAUUAAGAUCUCAUUAAGAUACCUUUCUCCCUCCUUUCCCCUCCUUUCAUUUGUUUACUUUCUUUUGUUUAUUUAUUGGCUUUGUUUUGAUGUGAAACUGUUGAAUUUAGUAGAUAUAGAUACAGAUUCUUAUAUCGAAGGGUCUUUACCUAUUUUGUUUUGUUUGUUUAUCAUCUUUCGUCCCUAUCAGAGACCCAUAUUUAUUUUUAUUUGGUCCAAUCAGAAAACAUUUUAUCAUUUCUGUAUUCGCAAUUCAAUAUAGAUAGAUAUUCCAUAACAUAUCUAUGUCCCUCUUACUCUCAAUUUUCUCAGGCAAUUUGGUGGAAUACUCGAACGGUCGAUUUUUUUUUUCGUCUUAGCUUCUGUCUUUAUGAUCUGGAUUUCAUUUCUAUGGGUUGCAAUUUUUUUUCUUUAAUGUCAUUUUUAUUCUUAUAUAUAACCAUAACAGGAAUAGGAUAACUAAAAAAAAAUAAAAAUAAAAAUUGAAUUUAUUAUUAUUUCUUUAUUUCUUUAUAGUAUAAUAGCUAGAACUAAUUAUUUAUAUUUAAUAAAUACAACUAAUUAUCCAUUCAUUUCUAUUUCAAAUUCGAAAAUAAUUCAAAUUUUUUAGUUUAAAAAGAGUUCCCAUUCUAAUUAUCUAUACUUAUAACGUAUCAUUUCAUUUAUAUAAUGAUAAUAUAUAUAAAUACAUAAAAAUAUUUGGACUCUAAUUAUAUCUAUGCAGAACUCUAAGCUAAAUAAAAAUAAAUUUAAUCUAUAUUAAAUCUAUUAAAUUGAUCGAUUAAAUAAAUUCUAUAUAAUUUAGAAAAUAAGAAUAGAGUCAGUAAUAUUAGGAAUAAUUAAUAUAGAAUAUACUAAUAGAACCAAGAUAUCAUUUGUUUCUAAAUUUAAAUGGAAUUUGAGAUUUAAUAUUUGUAAUUAAAAUUUAAAAAAAAUUAAAUCAUCCCAUUUUUUACUAAAAAUAUUUGUAAUUCAAUAAUUGACGUGGACAAUAUUUUCUAUUUAAAUUUUAAAUUCAAAAAAUAUAUACUUGAUAGUAAAUAUUAAUAAUGUGAAUGAUUGAAGUGAGACUAGCCACAUAUUUUAAAAUUUAAGUUGAUAUUAAUAUUUAUACAUUUUAAAUAAUUAAUAAUAAUUGGACGGAGGAAGUCUAGUGACUAGUCUUUUGAGUUUUGACUUAUAGAUCUGCCCCUUAAGGGGGUUUUUAAUGUAUGACUAAUAUAAUGCCGAAAAGUUAGGUGAUAAGAAAAAAGAAUUUCUUUUAGCCCAACUUAUUGUCUAAUUCAAUACAAAUAAAUCAAUAUAUUUCAGAUAAAAAUAUUAAUAUAUUUGGAACUUAGAUAAGGCUUAGUGACAUGGAUAAAGCUAGAAAAUUGUUUCAAGAGGAAUUAGAGAUGAAUAGUAAAUUAUUAAAGGGUUAAGAUGUAAUUUUAUCAUUAUAAUAAUAUGUAAUUUUUAUAAAAAAAAAAAUUUGAAGGGAUUAAAUGACAAAGGCCUCUUCGUCCUGCUGGAACUUAAAUUCAGAUUAAUCUAAAAGAGAAUCUAGGCCAGACAUUUGUAUCAGAUGAUAUUCGAAUCUAAACCACCGACUUCAACCUGACCAACUAUGACACAUUAUUCGUACGUCUAUAAAUUGGAAUGGUAAUAAAGUUGAAAAUUAUGUGUUGUGAUUGGACCUAUCUUUGGGGUUGCUUUUUUUGCCUACGUGAGGGAAUCCUUAAUAGAGAAAGCUUCGGGCAGUAUUCGGGUAUAAGGUGGGGAUUGUUUUGGUACUUUUGCUUCGUAGGGUUCACGGUGGAUUUCAGAACAUGAUUUAAUUUGCCUGAUUUGAAUGAUUUUUCUAAAAUAAAAUAAUGACUUUUUGCUGUUUCGGUAUAAGUAUUUUUCUUUUUUUCUUUUUUCUUUUUCUUUUUUUUUUUUUGAGUUGAUUUAGAAUUAGAUGAAAUUGAUUUUGAAUUUAAAUCCAUUUCUAAUUUAAAUUUAAAAAGGUUCAAACUGUUUCGAAUUCAAUUUAAGACUUGCUUUUUCGGAUCAAUUCAAAUCCAUUUGAGUUCAAGUUCAAUAGGUUCUAAUUUGUUGAUUUUUUUUUAUCACUAAAUUGAUUGUGAAAUUUAGGUUCAAAUUCCAAAUUCGAUAAUUGAUCACUAGAAAUGUAAGUUAAAAAAUCAACAUGUUUAAACCUGAAAUCGAUUACAAAAGGAACAUAACAAGGGAAUUUAAUGUAUACUUCCCAAUAGCAGUGAAAACGUGACAGCGGCUGUGACCAAGGUUUCUAACACACCACCACCACACUGAUAAUACUUAAGUUUAACCCAGAAACCAAAAAUCCGAAAUCCGAUGAACAAAGAAACCGAGAAAAAAAAAAGAAGUAAAAUUAGUCCUGCCUCGUAUCACAGUUAGUUUCGCUUCUACAAGCCUCGAUUUAAGCAUCCUCAAGAAAAGAUGUAGUGAAAACCGAAAAAGUUCAAAUGCUACAACAGCAAAGGUAUAUAUGUCUAUUUUCCUGGCCUAAUUCUCAGAACUACCUGCGCCCUCACUUACAAUUUUUCCAAAUGCCUUGGCAAGAGUUACAAUAGCCCGAAUUUAGCGAUCACUUUUCUCAUCUACUUCUUCUUCUUUGAUUUGGAAGCCGACUGAGUGUAAGCAGUUCCCUGAAAAUUAUGACGACCAAAACCAGAAAUUGUCAGUAACACUCCUAUAUAGAUCAUUAUUUGAUGAAGUCCCAUGGUGAACUCAUGAAUAACCUCAAUCAUAUCCAUUGAAUAAACAGAUAACGAGCUCUUGGGGACAAGAGCAGUGAAAAGAAAAUCUAGCUAAAAUAGAAAGAAUGGGAAGUGAUGAUGAUGAUGAUGUGAUGCAUAAGCCAAGACAUAACCUGAAGCCAUUCAUCCAGUGAAGCAUCGGGAGCCCUGGUCCCAACUUCCACCUUUGGAGCCCUCUUAGUUUUCUAGCAAAAUAAAUAAGUCAAAACACAUUAGCUUUAUUCCACAAAAAGAAGCAUAAAACACAUAAAGUAACACUGCAAAUUGAAGCUUUCUUCAAUUUAAGAACAAAAUAUCACGGAUAUUUAACAUUUUCACAGCAAAACAGCUUGCUGAAAACUUGAAAUAGGUCAUGAAUGCUAGAAACCUAGAACAAUGUUGAUUUCCCUACAUGUAUGCAUGGAUGUGCUCUUUUAAUUUCUAUCAGCAAAAGCCUUGUUACAUCGAUCUUAUAAUAACUGGAUACUGCAGUGAAUUAAUAUAACAAUAGCAAGGUAGCACAACUACAAUACCUUGGUGAUACGCUGAAAUUGACCGUGAAGCCACAAACCAAGGAGAACAAGAAGUGCAAUCCCAAGGGUAACAAGGAAAACGGACUCAACACUGAGGAAACCACCAGCCUCAACAACUUCAAUGGUACCAUUAUAGAAUGUACUUUGGUAUGGUUGCUGAUCAAUAUCAUAGAUAAUCGAACCCACAAGAUCAAAAGUUCCAGGCUGCAGCAAAAUUCUGGAUGUGUAAGCUCUACCGCAACUGUACUUCUCACAGAGAAUUUAUAUACGGUACCAAGGCAUAAAUCUCACGGAGUAAUCAUUUACCUGUAAGUACUUGCUAACAGCAAAUACGUAAGGGAAAGUAGCUUGAACUGAAGGGGGUACAGUUGCAUUGUUGAAAGCCUACAUUAACACAGACAUAUUCAGUUCUAGAAUCUACAAGGAAACAUCACAAGGCAGCUUUCAUGCAACAACAUAAGCUGUAAAACUCCAAAAUUACAAGGAGCAUGACCAACUUUGUACCAACAGAGAGCCUUGAGAUCUUUUUCAAAUAAAGAAGCAAAGAUUUGAUAAUGAAGUAGGCAAAAAAAAAAAAAAAAAACAGCGCAGCAUUAUUAUUGCAAAACGACCAGUUAGAGCAUGAAUGCCUUACAUGCUCAAUUUCAUAUCUGAAAAUCAUUGUAAGGUCUACAAUUAAAAGUUAAAGAUACAGCAAAAUCUACACUAGUACCAAACCCUCUGCUAAAGUUUCUUAAACUGAGAUAUAUAACUUCUCAGUGCAAGUUCAACAUCCCUCCACCAUAUUAACAAGCACUGGUUAAAAUAAUUGACUCUACUAUAAGACUAUAACUGUUAUAGCCUAUUAGUGUAGGGAAGCAGUUACAAAUGAAACACAAACUAGUGUCGCAAUGCAUAAAACUCAUAUUAUUGACCAUAUGUUUGACAAUGGAUAUUUAAAACAUCCAAUAAGAUAUCAUAUCAACAUGAGAGCAUGCAUGUUUCAAUGCUCAUGGGGUUAAGCUGGCUUGUCAAGCCUCAAGUAAUGAAGGCUUAAAUAGAGAAUAACUCUUUAGUUAUUAUUAGGUAUCCUAUAGGCAAUGAUCUAGUAGUAUGAAGAUUGGGGCACCUAAUAACUGAAAUUAAAACCCUUUCUGUGCUAGCUUUGCUAGGUUAGAAAGAGAUAAUGUUUCUACUUGGUGGCAAACAACCACUGAAUUGUACUGGUCGCUGGCUUUGUACUGAUGACGGUAUUAUUAAUAAAUGACCAUACAACCGCACUCUUUUUCCACUCUUCAUUUAGAAUAGUGGUUUUUUAGUGGGGCACAUUUUUCAUUAAAAAAUCAAUGAAUGCUAAAUUGUAUUUUAUAAAACAAACUCACUGAAUGAUUAAUUUUAUUUAUCAAAACUAAAGGGCUAGAUACUAAAUUAUAAAAAGCUCUUCAGUUAGGAAAUAAUAGAAAUUAAUCAAAAUGAAAACUGAACUAACUAAUGUAUCAGGAGUAUUUGAAAAUGUUAAACCAGAACAAUAUCAAGAAACUCUAUGAUUACCACUGCUGUAAGAUUUUGAACAAGCAUACGGUGAUCAAAAGGGAGAUGAACACUGGCUUUGAUAGCAAUGACAUUCACAGGUGACUCCCCUGCAAUUUAAAGAAGUAAGCUAUGCAUAAGAGUGAAGGAAACCUCAAAUGGCUAACAGAAAAGACUAAGCAUUUAAGCAUAGUCAACUACGGAAAGAUAAACUGUGUGUUGCUAUCUCAACACAGUAAAAACAAACAUCAUUGUAAAAUAUAUAUCAGUAAGGUAGUGAAGGCAAAUUAUUACCAAUAUUUUCCAUCCCAACAAGGAGCUCAGUCUGUUCUCCAGCCAGAACCACUGUCCAAGAUUAGCCAAAAAGACAAUACACAUCACUCUCAAAAUCAUAAAACAUUGAAAUCAGAGAUGCGGCACCAAAAAGUUCUUACAUUUGGCGCUAUUUUUGGGGAAAACGCAAACAGUUUUAACUUCAGGAGCUGAACUGUAAUUAGGAUCACCAAAAUCCUGAACAUCCUCCCCAACAAUACCGAGAUCACCUCCUUCAACAGCUUCUGCAACAUCUGCCUCUGCUUCUGAUUGACACCUAGCAACUAUCACAGAAAAGAAAACUCAUGUGAAGCCAUAAUUUUAAAACAAAAUGAAAAUUUAUUUAGUAAUUUACCAAAAAAAAUAAAAAAGUAAACAAAAAUUAAUACAACAAACAGAUCCGACAUCCGGAAUAACUGCUUCAAUAAUGUUAUUGAAAAGGACACCAAACUCCAAAGUACUUGCCAAGGCCCUAGUACUCUUUCCUUUCAUUUUCCAAGAGCAAACCUAAACUGUAUUUCUAAAACAGCCACUAAAAUGCCAGUAAGAACAGAUAUCAAGAAGAUACCUAAGCUUCUUUCAAAAAAAUUCAAUCGAACUUUCAUAAUCACAGCCAUGCAACGCAACAAUGAAUUUAAACACAAAGAAAUCACUUCAAAAUCCCACUACCAAAUCAUAAAUCUAGAAAGAAAAAAAAAAACAAACCAAUCUCACAUGGAUGUUAAAAAAAAGCGAAAGAAAUGAUACUAAAGGAAAACAAAUCGAAUUGCUUCUCAUUUAACCAGAUCAAAGCAAUCGCAGUAAGCAACUAAGCAUGAAAUCCAAAAAGCAACAUAGAAACUCCACAAAAUGAAACGAAUCGGUAAGCAUAAAUACCUAAUUACAGAUCUUAAAUAUAAAAAAGCAAGUAAAAACAGAUCAAGAAAAAAAAAUUUACAAACCUUGAAGGAAAGGAGAUGCGAGGAAGAGGAGAGCAAAGAAGAAAACGCUGAAAAUUUUCAUCGCCAUUUCAGAGAGUUUUUUUUUUUUUUCCGUCAAAUGAGAAAUAAGAAAAAUAAAUUAAUCGGUGUUAGAAAUGACAAAUAGAUGGAGAAGGGACGGCGGGUUUUAAUCCAACGGCUAUAAAUGACAGAGAGCUCGGCCGAACGAACAUUCUCCGUUGGAUCUUUGGUCAAUUGUGUGCUUUUAAAUAAUAUACAACUACUUCUCCACUACCCUUUUGUUCAUUUGCGCUUGCAGAAAAAUCAAAUAUAGCACGGCGCCGUUUUGGUCCUGACUUAUAUUUUCUUUUAUAAUUUAUUUUAUUUUUAUUAUCGAUAAAAUUGAAAUUAAAAUAUCUUGAUAUUUUAGGUUGAAAUCUCAUAAUUUAUGAAUUUAUUUUACGUUUCAAUUAUUUUUAUAAAUUUUAAAUGAAAUAUAAAAUGAAUUUUUAAAUCAUUUUUUAACUAAGUUGAUGUUAAGUUAAUUGCAUUUUAAAUUAGUAAAAAUUAUUAUUACUAAAUCAUUGCGGGUAAAAGAAUUUGUUUAGCAAAUGUAUUUAUAAAAAUUUUAUAUUAAAUGCAAAAGAAGGUUUAGUUAAAAUGGUAAUAGAUUUGAUUAUGGAUUGAAUUGGAUUCGGAUCAGAUCGAUGUAAAAUUUUAGACUCGAGUUCAGAUUGAUUCAAAAAAUGGGUCUAAAUUUUUUUUUCAAAUCCAGUCUAGAUAAAAAAUACUAAACUCGAGUUCGAUUCGACCCACCCGUAUUAAAAAUUUUAUAUUAUUUUUAUAUAAAAAUAAAUUUUAAAAAAUAAUACAUCAAUACUUUAAAAUUAUUAAAAUAAAUGUUUUCCAACAAAUGUAUUAUAGUUGUAACUUAACAAACAAAUAUAUCUAAAGUAGUAGCAAAUUUAAUACUAAAACAAGAGUUAUACAAUAUCCAAAUAAUAACAAUAAAAUAGUACCAAUAUAAUAGCAAAAUAGCAACAAAACAAGCAGUAGAAAAAAUUUAGCUAGAUUUAGAUCGACUCGGGCAAAAAAAAUCAUACUCGAGGCUCGACCAAUUUAGAAGAUGGGCCUUAUUUUUUGUCCAAGCUUAUUUUUCGAGCCUAUAUUUUUCUUAAACCCUCUCACUUUUUGAAUGGACCUUCAAGCGUAGACAGGUGACCUGGCUCAUGAUCAGAUCUAAAUGGUAACGUUUGGGUGCAUAUGAUCAUCUUGACAAACUUUGUCUAGGAUUUAUCCAAAGAUCUACUUCUGACACGAGGAGAGUGAAACUUGUAAAUUGGGAUACUAUUUGCUUGCCGUUGGAUUGAAAGCAAUGCUUGACAAGAAUUUGGUGUUGCUUGUGAAACUUGGAUGGAGGUUAGUUACAAAAGUUGAAAGUUUAGUGGCGCUAGUUUAUAAGAUCUAGUUUAGAAAUGCUUCUCAAAAAUACUUUUGAGACAAAAGCAUUCCCAACAAGGUAUUUUUUUAGAGAAAAAUACCUUCUCCCAAAUAAAAAAUUGGCCAAAAAUUGCUUAUGCAAUUGCUCUACAACACUAUACUCACUGUGUUUUAGAAAUUUCAAGCAUUCAGUGGCUUCUUUUUCCUUUAUUGGCUCAUUAACCAAUGGCCUAGAUUCAACUAUCUUCUCUUCUUUUUGCUCUGCCUCUAAAACCUUCCCUUUCACCGAUUCUGCUUAAGCUUUUAUCAAAUCGCAGUGCUCCUCACUAUACGUAUAAGGACCCGUCUCUCGGCUUUCUUUUACAAUACUAACCAAAGCUUCUUUCCCCGAGACUGUUACAUUGCACUCAUAAUUCCAAGGGACCUUUUUACUAUCCUUAUACAAAAAAUUUAUUGGCUUCCGGAUUACAAUCUUCAGUGUCAUAUGUGCCCUAACCUUAUCAACCUUAGGGCGCGAGAUAAUAAUUACAGGAUGAUUAACCUUCGGAAUCUUUGAUGUUGACUUUGAUGCACAUAUACUUCAUUUUUUCUCCACCUCUUCGAAAAACUCCACCUCUCUAUUAUCCAUCAUGCUCUGGACCAGAGCUUUGAAUUCUCCACAUCUCUGAAUUUCGUGUCCCACCUCAUGAUGGAACUCACAAUAAUUUAAGGUCUCACAACCUCCUUCUGAACUCGAAACAAUUAACCCUCUUCUCACUAUUUCUUUUCAAACCCACAUCAAAGGGAUUUUUACUUCAGCAACACUCCCAUUGACCAUUUUCCCUUCAUUUUCACUCAUCAUGUUUACCCCACUAUCAGUGUGCUUGGGUAACGGAUUCCCUGUGCCAAAUGAAUCAUCUACCUUGACAACGCCCAUCGUAAUGAGCCUUUCAACAAGCUUUUUAAAAGCAGUACAAUGUUCUAUGGAAUGCCCCGUAACUCCUGCAUGGUAAUCGCAUUGUGCAUUCGCAUCAUACCAUUCAGGAUACGAAAGCUGUAAAGGGGUCAAGUAAAAUGGGGCAACAACAUGCGCGUUGAAUAAAUUCUGAUACAACUCCUUAUAUGACAUAGGAAUGGGUGUGAACUGGGGCCUCUCAGUACUCGGCCUCCCACCAGAUUCCUGUUUUGAUGAACCCUGCUGAUUUGCCACUACUUUUCUGCGUUGAUUCACAGUAACCGAUUUGUUGUAUGCACUUACAUUGUUCACCUCACCUUCUUUUUUAUUUGAAGCUUGUCUUUUGUUGUUCUCUCCGACAUCAAUCUUUCCGCUCCUUAUAGCACUUUCAAUCAUCUCACUACACAUGACUAUAUCAGAAAAGCUUUUUGUAGCACUUCCUAACAUAUGCGUGAUGAAUGGGGCUUUCAGCGCAUUUAUGAAAAGCAUCGUCAUUUCUCUUUCAAGGAGCAGUGGUUGGACCUGCACUGCCACCUCCCUCCACCUCUGAGCGUACUGUCUAAAACCUUCAUUCAACUUUUUCUCCAUGUUCUGCAAUGUAAUCCUAUCAGGAACCAUUUCCGCCAUAUGACCGUACUGCUUUAUAAAAGCCUGUGCUAAAUCCCUCAAAGAGCUAAUCUUAGCACGACUUAAUUGAUUAUACCAUUUAAACGCUGCCCCCAUGAGGCUAUCUUGAAAACAGUGUAUCAAUAACUGUUCACUAUUGACAUACCCGGUCAUUCGUCCACAAAACAUGGUAAUGUGAGCCUCAGGGCAAGUGGUCCCAUUAUACUUCUCGAAUUCUGGUAUUUUAAACUUGUAAGGGAGCACCAAAACCGGUACCAAACUUAAAUCCUUAGCAUCAAUCCCAUGACAUAUCUCAGUAGUUUCUAAUGCUUUGAAUCUCUUUUCGAUCCACUUCUAUUUUUCCUCUAAUUGCUUUAGUAGUUCUUCUUUUGUUUUUUCUUUUUCAACCGCCUCAUCAAAAUCAAGAACAACAGGAGUGACAAGAUUAUUCUCAGGGCUAGAGCCUGAUCUAGCUUGGUAAUUCAUUGACCUUGAAAUAUCGGCCUGAAACUGUUGAGGCCUAAUCGUAACAGAAGAUUUACGCGGGUACAUUUUCACUUGGGGCUGCACAUGUAGGGGAAUGAAGCUUGGAGGAUACAGGGGUCCGUCAUCACCUUCUUCUUCGACGUUAACUAUAGGGCUCUUUCCUUUAUCUUUUCCUUCAGUCAACAAUUGCGUUAACUUGGUCAUCAUGCUCCCUUGAGAUUCCAUCAUUUUAUCCAUCAUUUUCUGCUGAAUCUUCUCGAUCUGCAUCUGCUGCUGAAGCUGAUCCUGCAUUUCUUUUUGGAACUGCUCGAGUUUUUCCAAUCUUUAGUCCUUAGUUUUUGAUUUCGCUCUUGUACCGUAACGGUGUUGGAUUGGCUAGUUGGUUUCCAGGUUAACUGAGGCAUGAUUUUGAUUAAUCAGAACCUUUUAAUAGUUUUUAAUGCACAUCAUGCGAUGUAUAAAACUGAAUGCAAAACGCGUUAAUUAUAAAUUCAAUUACUUUCAAGAAACUUUAUUAGAAAAUAAAUCUCUUUACAUAGAAUGGGCGACAAAUAAGGCUUUGCCCUAAUACUUAAGACCUUAAUCUUUUUAAGUAACGAGGCCAACUCUUGUCCUCAGUCUGACUCCAAUUCAUACUUCACGCUCAACGCAUCAGCCUGAACUGUCAAAGCUUGUAAGUAAUCUGCUACCUCUCGAAUCUGAACCACAGCUUCUCCCAUAACAUGAUUCCUGUCUCUAACUUGAUUUUGGAAAUACUGAAGUUGCUCAUUCUGACGACCUUCUUUUGCUUCUAGAUGCUCAAUUCGAACCUCACAAUUUCGCAAUGCUGCUUCUAACCCUUCUAUUUUGCUCUUCAUCUUUUCAAUCUUGCUUAGACUUGCCUUUACCUCCACUACAGAGUUUCGACUUCUAUGUUGACGAAGAGACCUUUCUAACUCAACCACCCUGUCCUUUAACUCGCCAUUUUCCUUUUGGCUCUCUGACAAGCACUUUUCUAAUGCUUCAUUCCGUGCUUGAACCUCUUGAAAUUUUCUUUCCCACCAGUCUGACUUGUUUUUUUCUUCACGAAUCUCUUCACUCCACUGCUCUGAAGUUUUUCCAAGCCCGGCAGUUCUCAUUGACAGACGCAACUUCUUGUAAUCUGUCUUCAAGCUAUCUAGCUCUUCCUCGGCCUUAUUCUUCCCCUUCCUUAAUUUAUCAGCCUCGAGCUUCUGAACAUCCACAUCCAAUCUCAAAUUCAUCCUUUCUUCCUCCAUUUACUCUAUUUUCUUCUCUAAUUCUACAUUUCUUCUUUCGAAAUCCUGCUUUCUGAUUUCCAGCUCAAUAGGGACGACACGCAAAUGCUCCUCCAUCGACUGAUUAUUUUCUGAAUUUGGCUCAAAAAUAUUAUCGUUAAUCCUCUUAGCCCACCACUCGUUAUACUCGGGAGUUGUCAUGGGACCCACAGCUAAUCCCUUCAUUCGGCGAGUCUGAUUCCAUGCACUGACCAUCUCACAAACUCUCCUUUUGUAACCAUCGCCCCUAUACGAAAAUUCACACUCAGCCAGUCCCUGAGUUGCAAGCACAAACUACCUAGACCUGUAUUGUCUGAGCAUUAGCAAUAGGGCAUAACCAAUAGCUCCCCAAAUUCCAAUCAAAGGAACCCAGUCAAAAUCCCCACACCGAUAUAGGAUCUCAUCUUAAAGCAACCACGAAGCUCUCCACUCGAUAUCCUCUUCUUACAAAUUCUGAAAAAUUACCAUCCAUUUCUCUUCGAAAAUGUCAUCCCUCAUUGGUGUAGCCACUAUCUCUUUCAAUAGUGAAUAACUUUCGAAAAAAAACUCGAUAUGAAACUUUAUCAACCUUCUAAAAGUGACUGUAGAACCAUGCAAGUAGGAGCUGCGCACAUCUAAUGAAUCUACCCUCUCCCGCUCUCUGGUAUGCACUCAGUGACUUGAAGGUUUCUGCUAAAAUUGUCGGGACUGGUGUAACUCUCUUUUCAAGCCGAUCAAAUAAGUCAGUGACCGCCUCAUCAACAUGUCCCAAAGUCUUAGGGAACACAACCAAACCAUAUAUACUUAGAGCAAAAACAUCUAUCUUCUUCAUCGCAUCUGGGUGCGCUAGAAUGAGAUCCUUCAAAUUUUUCCAGGGAAUACACUUGCUAUCUCCCUUUUGCUUGAUCCGAGCUGUAACCCACUACUCACUCAUCCCCGUUAUAUUCAUCAACCUCUUCAAAAAGGUCAGUGUAUUUACAGCUUUCGAGUAGACCUUGUCCACCAGAAUCUUCGAACACCGAAGCAAAGCCAUGUAUUCUUCAAUUGUAGGCACUAAAUCAACAUUCCCAAAUGUGAAGCAACUGUAGACCGGGUUCCAAAACUGGGCAAAAGCUUGAAACAGACGCUUAUCUACCUUCAUAUUAAGUAAAUAAGGUAAAUCCCCAUAAUUUGAAAAGAAUAACUGUCUAACCUCGUUAUUCCAUUGAUCCCAAAUCUCCUUCAACUCCUGCAAGUUGUUUUGGGUUACGCUAACAUGGGUGAAGUCCCAUAAUUCUAAUACGUAUCCUUCGACCAAACUAUUACCUUUUUCGCGCUGCGUCAUCUCAGCCCAAGUUCGGACAGCCGCAUUAUCCUCCACUCUAUCAAGAAACCCUUUUUCCAUAAUAAGCUUUCUAUCUAGCAACCGAAUACGAACCAACGCCUUUCUAUAAUGAGAUGCCAUGUAAUUGAAAUGCCAUGCAAUCAAAGUAAAACACAAAAAGUCAGUAUCAAUUAAAUACAAUACAACCAAUAAAUAGUAAACUCCUAAUUAGGUAUCUACUAAGGUUUAAGAGUAAUUCUAUCUAGGAUGAGUUCCUAAGUUUCACUAUAUGAGGUUUGGCUUCUAGAGCAAAGGUACCCGAACCAGCAGAUUCCUCGAUCCUCACCCAUUAUAGGCUCAUAUAGACCAAGUUCAGUUCAGGGAAAUACAUUUCUCUAUGGCUGCACGAAGAUGAAAAUCUCACGAAGACAUAGGUACGGAUGUAUCCCGAAAGUGAUCCACUAUCAUGCACGGAGGUGAAAACCUCACGAAGGAGUAGUUUCUCACUCCCACUUAGAGGGGUAAAGUCGUCCAUAUAAUGCAAAAUGCAAACACACCAACAAACUUAGACCAAUUAAACAAACAUAUCAUGAUAAAAACCAAUGAAUGCAAAAUAGGAAAUCGUGAUUUAAAACAAAUUUGAAACCUUUCCGACAAAAAGACAAAACUAAUCAAUUUAUGGCUCGACUCGCGAAAGUCCCCAGUGGAGUCGCCAAGUUGUCGAAACCAUUUUUGAAAACAAAAAUAAAGUUGUCGACUUUAAAAACAAAGAUUGGAGUCGCCACCGAUCCUUGAUUGAGGUGUGAUCAGCUCACAUUGAAAACGGUUUUGGUCUACGAAAUUUGAGAAAACAGGUUCGGGAGUCAGUUACGCACGAGGAAAGGUUAGCACCAUCGUAACGCCCAAAAUCGGUACCAAAUUGAUUGUUUAAUGUCUUAGUGUCAAGGAUUAAAAAGAUUUUUUUUAAACUCAAAUGAUGAAUUCUGAAAAGGAUAAUCAAAUGUUUAAGUCAAACAAAGAAAUCGAGACCCAAUGCGUUAGGAUACAAUUUCUCAAAAUCCCCAAACUUUGAAUACCACUUUUAUUUUAGGGAAAAUCAUCAUCUCGAGAAAACAAUACGUCAUACCCAAUGCGUUAGGACAUAACAUGUUGAAUUUCCGAAAAUGAUUUUUGUUUAUGCAUUUUGAAAAAAUAUUCUCGAUUAUUUAGGAUUAAUAAAAAAAAUCGGAACCCAAUACGUUAGGGCUCAAUUUCCUCGAAAAUCUCGAAUAUCAAAUAUUGCAAUAUUUUAAAAGCCUUUAAAUCAAAAGAAAAUAAUUUUAAUGUUUUGACAAAACCAAAAUAUAUUUUCUAAAAGGUAUGUUUUAAAAAAGUUAUUGUACAAUAUGAAAUAAACACUUGAAUUUAAAUUACAUGUGUAUAUGUUUACAAAAUAUGUAUAUAUAUGUAUGAUAUAUAAGUGAAUUUUGCAAAUAUGUGUAUGGAUAUGAAAUAAAAAAAAUGCAUAAGUAUUAUAAAAUGUUGAUGCAUAUAUACAUAUAUGAAUACCAAAAAGUCAUGAAAAUAAAAUAAUAAAAUACAUAUAAAAUAUAUUUGUGCAUUUAAAAAAAAUGUAUAAGUAUAACAUAUUGGUAAAUAUAAAAAAAUAGAAAAUAUAUUUAUAAUAAGUUUUGAAUAGAGUAUAAAUAUAUAUGUACAUAUUAUAAAAAAUGUAUAAACAUUUAUAAAUUACAAAAUAUGGAAAACGUAUAAAUAUUAUGAAAUAUAAAUGUAUAUAUAUACAUAUAUAUAUGUAUAAAAACUAUGAAAAUAAAAUAAUAAUAAAAUAUGUACAUAAUAUAUAUAUUUUAAAAAAUGUCUAAAAUAUAUAAAUAUAUGUAUUAACGUGCAUAUGCGCACAUAUAUGUAAGAUAAUAAUCAUAUAAUAGAACAAUAAUAAUAACAAUAGAAAUAAUAAUAACAAUAUUAAUAACAUAAACUAAAAAACCUAAAAUGAAAAAAUUAAGGAUUAAAUUGAAAAUCAACAGAAUUUGAAAGCUAAAUUCAAAAAUAGAAAACGAGAAAGGGAGCAAACUAAAACACUCGCAACAGGAGGAGGACCGAAAAAUCAAUUUACCCAAACCUCCCAAAACGCUGCGCAGCGUUGGACCAAUUUGAAACAGAAAUAAAAUAUUUUGCAAAAUUUAAAGAAAUAAAAAAAAACAAUUUAAAAGCAUUGUAAAAAAAGGGGGACCAAAUACGCAAAUGGCCCAUUUUGAAGAAAUUUGCGGAUCCUCUCCCGGCCGGAUCGGGUUGUGCACAGGUAUAGGCUAUACGACGCCGUUUUGGGGCCAUUGAAACAGGCCCUAAACGACGGCGUUUAAUGCCCUAUAAAAGUCAAUUUUAAAACCCUAAAAAUCACUUCCUCUUUGCCAUUCCCAAAAUGCGCCUCUGCCCUCUGCCGUUUCAAACUUCUCCCCCUUGCUCUGAUGGCGACGAAACGAAGGGAGCCUUCAACGACACCACGCCGGUAAGUUUCUCCUCUACUCCAUUUCCUUAUUUUGUUUUUGGUUUAAGACAACAAGGUAAAAAAAUAAAAAAAAAAAAUCAGUAAAAAGAAAAACAACAGGAAAAGAACAAUCACCUUCAAAAUUUUGCCUUUUUGAUUCCUUAUUUCGUAUUUUUCUUUAAUGUUUUCAUACAAUAUUUUUGCUAACCCCUUUUACAGAAAUCGAUUGGCCUUUUAUAGCCAAAAUCCUUUUACAACUUGCUAUAUUUUUCCUCUUUCCUUGCUUGUUGCUCGUGGUUCUUUUCGCUGCAGAUAUGUACGUGUGUGGGGGUUACUGCGACGUGGGGCGUGCACGGCGCUGGAGGUUGCUGCGACGUGGGGUGGCUGCUUCUAACUGCUGCUUAGGGUUAGGCUAGGGUUAGAUUUGGGUUUGGGGUAGUGACUUGGGCCUUAUUGGGCCAAAUGUAAUUGGGUCAGAUUAGUUAAUUUGGGCCCCGGGCAACAAUUGGGUAUUACACAUGUAUUUGUGGCUUAUGAUAUGAGAGAGACAUUCUAGGAUCGUGUAGAUAUUACAUAUGUUCCCCUUGGGUGAAAGUACUAGAGGUGCUCAUGGGCCGGGUGGCCCGGCCCAGCCUGACGGCCCGCCCAAAAUAUGGGAGGGUUUGGGUAAAAAUAUAGGCCCGAAAUAUGGGCUUGGGCAAAAAAACGAGGCUCGUUUAGAAAAUGGGCCGGGCCUCGGGCACCACUUUUUUGGCCCGGGCCCGGCCUUUAAUUUUAAAAUAUUUUUUACAUAUUUUUUAAAUUUUUUAAUUUUAAAAUAUUUUUAAAAAACUUUUUUAAUUUUUUUAAUUUUAAAAUAUUUUUAAAAUACUUUUUUAAUUUUUUUUUAAUUUUAAAAUAUUUUUAAAAUACUUUUUUAAUUUUUUAAAAAUUUUAAAAUAAAAAUAGGCCAGGCCGGGUCGGGCCCGAGCUUAUGAUUUUUUUCCCGGGCCAGGCCUGGGCAAAAUCUUAGGCCCAUAUUUCGGGCCGGGCCGGGCCCGGGCCUAGGACUCGGGUCGAAAUUUGUUUAGGAACCCGGCCCGGCCCGGCGCAUGAGCACCUCUAGAAAGUACUAGAAGCUCUUAUAUUAGGAGUUAGAUUUCAUUUUGCGCUUUUUACUAAAAAAUGAGCAAAUUAGUCCUUGUAUAUUGAAUCAAAGAGCAAACUAGUCAUUCUGUUAAAAAUUCCAUCCAUUUCUACUGUUAAAAAUUCAUCCAUGUACGUCAACAUGAGGUAUACGUGACACAUUACAUGUAACUGUCUGAUUAAUUUGUCAGCUACAUUAGUUUUUAACAGGAAAAAUGGAUGAAAUUUUAAUAGAAAUGACCAGUUUGCUCUUUAAUUAAACAUACAGAGACUAAUUUGCCCAUUUUUUGAGUAAAGUGGGUAAAAUGUAAUCUAACUCCUAAUACAGGAAUCUCCAUGAUGCUUUUAUUGUUCCCUUGCUAUGAUCUUAGUACAGGGGACGGUCUAUAAGAAGAUAGUACUAGAACACAUGAAAAAACUUGUAAGAGCAUACUAUAUCUCUUUUUGGCUGGGUCUGUUAAUGGAAGCAACUGUGCUGAGCUUGCAAAGUAGGAAGAUAUCGACGGGUUUCUCGUAGGUGGUGCUUCCUUGAAGGUAUUAUUCACUCUGUUCCAUUAUUAAUAAAAUGUACCGAAAUAUUAUUCGGUUAUGGCAUUGCUAACGAUUGGAUUCAAAAUAUUUGUUGAUGCAGGGGCCGGGGUUUGCUACAAUUGUCAACUCCGUAACAUCCAAAAAGGUGGCUGCCUAAAUAUAUAUUAAGCUGAUUAAAAGUAAGAAAUAAAGGACCUAAAUUAGAGGUGUCCAUGGACGGCCCGCCUGAAAUAUGAGAGGGUUCGGGUAAAAAUAUAGGUCCGAAAUAUGGACUUGGGCAAAAAAUGAAGCCAGUUUAGAAAACAGGCCGGGCCCCGAAAAUAUAUUAAAUAUAUAUUUUUAUUUUUAAAAUAUAAUAGUUUUAGUUUUAUUUUAAGUUUCAUUUACUUUGACAGAGUCACCCAAAAUCCCUAACCCUAUUGUGCUAUAUGCUGUGCCUUCCUCCCCUUUUUUUCCUAUUUCCAAAAUCAAGUUGUCUGCCCGUCUCCAGUACCGAUCCACCUCCACCGUCAAGACCUCCACCGAUCCACCUUCAGUCCUCCACCCAAUUCCAGAAUCAAGCAUUUAAGGGUUUGUUUAUUCCCGAAUCGCCAAGUAGAAGCAAGCAUACAAGAACGAGGAGUUUGGUACAGGUAUGGGUUUGCUCAUCUUCUUCGGUUUCCUCAUUUUCAUUCUCUUUAACAUACUUCAUUUCUUCUGAUUAUUCUUCUUCAGGUUACUCUUUUCUUUCUUUUAUCAAUUACCCUUCUUUUUCGCCAAUUCAAUUCAACAAAAAAUUGUAUUGUACUUCUUUUCGUGAUCUUUUUGCCUGCACAUUCAAUUAACCGCAACUCUUUUACUCUUUCAAAAUCUGAGACAUUGAUUUUUUUUCUAGAGAUUGUGUUCUUAGGUAUUUUGAAUCAAUGGUUACGAUUAUGUUAUCUUCCUUGUUAAUGACACUUUGGGAAGGAAAUUAUUUCUAACAUUGUUUUUGUUUGCUGCGUACACUUUAUAUUUAAACAAAUAUACGCAAUAGGGGAAUGUGGUGAUUAUAAUUUUACUCCUGGGGAUAAGUUAGAUUCAAUUGAUUCAAAUAUGGUUAAUCGAAUUAUAUUAAUGUUGUUGUUGAUGAAUCCUUGUGAUUGCAUGAUCAAAUACACGUUUAUUUUACUCAUACAAAACUCUUAGAAUUUGGUUCUUAUAGAAGACUGGAGUUGUUAAUGGUCUUGGAGCUCCCAUUUUGUUUUAAGUUAAAUUGUAUUUUGGACUGGUAUGAUUUUGUCAGUUUGAAAAACCCUUGGUAGUUCAAUCUUUGAACACACACACACACACACACACACACACACACACACAUAUAUAUAUAUAUAAGCCUCCUUUCAAUAAUUUAUUUGCUUUUAUAAGAACCAAAUGACUAAUCUUCUCUGAGACUACAUGUAUAGGCUUGAGGAGGGUCUUAUUUUGUUUUAUGUUUAUAAUAUUGGGAGAGGGUUAGGGGAAGACAGGGUUUGAAAUGAUGUCAUUUAAGUGCUUUGUUUUCUGCUUGUUUGUAUAUUUUAUAUGGUUGACUAAUUCACAUUCAAAGUUUAAAUUUCCUUCGUCAAGUCCCUUGGGGCAUCCUUUUGCUGAAUGUUAACCAAUGUUGACUAUUCUAGAACUAUACCACAUCGACAUAUAAGAAUGUUAAAUUAGAUAAAGCAGGUUUUGAGAAAUUAAUUAUAGAUUGAAUUCACGUUAGAGGUUAGCUUUUUGGCCUCUUGAAUUGCGAAUUGGGUUUAGUUUAUUCCUUUAAAUAGGGUAACAUAUGCAGAUAACAUGUGCCAAUACUCUGCACGUAUUUUGUGUACAAUAUUCUGGUUGAAAUUAAAAAUGGUUACAUUCACAGAUCAUGCCCCAGCUUUUGGGUUUAAUUCCAUUAUGAAUAUUUUUCCAUUAUGAGGGUCUUAUUUUCUGUCUGUUUGUUUCUAGUUAAUCUAAGUUUAUAAAAGUGUAUAAUAAAAGUGUUGUUGAAAUAUAUAUAUUCCCUUCCAUUUUCUGUCUGUUGGUUUCUGGUUAAUCCGGGUAACUUCAUUGCCUUCUUCUUCUUCUUCUUCUUUUAUGAAAUGAAAUUUGUCAAUUAGCUUUCUGUUAAUCUAUGAUUCAAUCAAAUAAUUAAGUGGUAAAUGUUUGUUUAUAUGUUUAUAUCUGGAAAUAAAGUUCUCAGAAUUUUGAAAUUGCAUGGGAUUCGAGUUUAAUGAAUUUAUUAUAAUGUUUACUAAGAUCACAAGCUUAGUUUCUUCAUUUAAUCUCAUCUUCUUCUUUUUUUUUUGCUUUGUUUUAUUGCAGAAACAAUCGACAUUGAAAUCGAUUUGGCUUACCUUAGUUUCCUUUCCUAUAAGCUUUCAUUUACAUUUUCUUUUUACAAUUUAAUUUAAUUUGAUUUUCCUUUAUUUUACUUUGUACAACAUUUUGCAGAUUAGCAGAUUUUCCCGUAAGCUAAACUUGCUUAUCUACUAGUAGGAAAAUAAUGGGAUUGAGAAAUAGAGAUGCUUCUAUUUAAGAUUUUGGAUUGGAUUUAUGCAGUUUGAAUUUCAUUAAUUUCUUUUUUGGUACAUAUGUAAUUUAGCUUAUAGAAUAAGUAUGAAUAUCUCAAUUGUUUUCUAGUUUAGGUUUAUAUUAUAUAUUUAAUAAUUUGCCUAUUGUUUAUAUAUAAAUUUGAAAUCUAAUAAAUGUUUUUGUUCCAUUCAAUUCUUAUUCAUUUUUUGUUUGCAUUUUAAUAUUGUUUGCAUUUUCCUCUACAUAACGGUAACGGACUUUCAAAGUUAAACUAUUUUAUCUAGUUUUCAUUUGUAGACCAUGAUAUCUUUUUAAAAUUAUUUCAAAAUUUUUUUAUACAAGGUAAUUUUAAAGAUAAUUGAUUGUAGCUUAAAAUUAUUUCCAAAGUUAGUAUGAAUUUUAUUAAAAAAAUAUUUAAUAACAAAUUAUAUAUUUGUAAUUUUUAAAAGAUUAAAUUAAUUUUUUAUAAAAGUAAGCAUUUAAAGAGUUCAAAGUAUGCAUCUAAGCUACAAUUUUUAACCUAUUUGUAUAUUUAAUAAAAUAUAAACCUAUUUGUAUCAAAGUAUGCAUAUAAGCUACAAUUUAAACAGCAAGUAUGCAUUUUGUUUUAACCUAUUUGUAUAUUUAAUAAAAUAUUUGUAUAUAUAUUCAGUAACCGAGUUAUAAAUAAGUUAUUUUUGGAUUCCAGGACUUCAAUUUUUAUGACUAUGGCUAGUUCGAACACUCCUAUACCUGUGGACGAUGGGUUUAAUGAGUACGAAAGUGCUGUCAAAUGUCAAAAGUCUACCACUUCAAAGGUGUGGGAUGAAAUGACAAAGUUUGAAUGCGAGAACAAAAAUGAAUUGAAGGCACAAUAUAAUCACUGUAAGACUAUCUUCUUUGCUAAGUCUUCUAGUGGAACCUUUCAUUUAAGACGUCAUCUAAAUAGCUGUUUGAAAAAAGUUAGGACAUCACUCCAUACACCAUAGCCACUCAACCAUCACUAGAAGGUGUUCCAUCUAUAAAAAACUACAAGUUUGAUGCUGAUGAGUGUCGUCAAACUAUUUCUACUUUUCUUGUGUGUGGCAAGCAUUCAUUUAGGACAGUUGAAGAACCGGGAUUUAGAUACAUGAUGAGAAUUGCUAGUCCUAAUUUUAAGAAUAUAAGUAGACAAACAGCUACUAGGGAUGUCCUAAAGUAUUAUGCAAAAGAUAGAGAUCAUGUGGCUAAAGCACCUGGUUUAAUUUGUUUAACUUCUGAUAAUUGGAAUUCGGAGCAUACUAAUGAUGAAUAAAUUUGCAUUACUGCUCAUUGGGUUGACAAAGAUUGGAAGCUACAAAAAAGAAUCAUAAGGUUUAGAGCUUUAUUUCCUCCGUAUGAUGGUUUGAAUAUAGCGGAUGAACUUGUUUUAUGUUUAUCUCAAUGGGGUAUAGAUAAGAAAAUUUUAGCAUCAGUUUGGAUAAUGCUUCUUAUAAUGAUGUUAUGGUUUCUUGUCUUAAAAAUCGUUUUCGUGCAAACCGAGCUAUUUUGUGUGAUGGUGCUUUUUUUCAAGUUAGAUGUUGUGCACAUAUAUUGAAUCUUAUAGUUAAAGCUGGUUUAGAACUUGCCGAUGAUGUUGUUUGUAAGAUUCGAAAUGGGAUUAGGUACAUAAAAAAGGCAAGAAUUCGUAGGAAAAGAUUUUAUGAUGUGGCCGACAAAAGUUUUCAUUUGAAUGUGACCAAAAAGUUGCGUCAAGAUGUGUGUGUGAGAUGGAAUUCUACUUAUUUGAUGCUUGAAUCUUCUCUUUACUAUAAAGAUGUGCUAGAUUAUUGGGGCCAACGGGAUAAAGAUUAUCAAAUGUUUGCACUUUCUAGCGAGGAGUGGAGCAAUGUUGCAAUUCUUUGCAAAUUUUUGAAAGUAUUUUAUGAUGUGACAUGUGUUUUUUCUGGUUCUAAUUAUCCAACGGCUAAUCUUUAUUUUAGAGGGGUUUGGAAGGUUCACAAGCUCUUGGUUGAUACAGUUAAAGGCCCUUAUUCGUUUUUAACUCCAAUGGUUAAGCAAAUGCAAGAGAAAUUUAAUAAGUAUUGGGCUGAGUAUUCGUUGAUGUUGUUAUGUGCUGCAAUUUUAGAUCCUCGUUACAAGUUGAAUUAUGUGCAGUAUUGCUUUAAAGCAAUCUAUGGUAUUCAUGCUUCAGAUUUUGUUGAGACCAUUCUUAGCAAUCUUAGACUCUUGUUUGAUGAGUAUGUUAAGAAAUCCAAAUCCAUGUCUUCCUCUUUGGCUGGGAGUUCUAAUGUUUCGAAUAAAAAUCAUGUUGAUUCUGGUUUGGAUGAACACAAUGAUAAUAGUUGUGACAGCCUGAUUUUGACCCUAAUCGGAACAGUGGUUUCGGGACCACAAAUCCGAGUCUGAAAAAUAUUUUAAUAUUAUUUUUUUGUUAAUUAUGUGUGAAUUUACAUAUGUGAAAGUUUUGUGAAUUUAUUUUAUUGUUUGUCUGCUAAAUUUGAAAAAAUGGCUUAAUCGCGUAAAAUAAAAAUUUAAUAGUUAAAUAUGAAAGUGCCUAAUUGUUGUUGUCUUUAUAAUUUGGAGGUUCUAUGAUGCAAUUAGCCCACUAUAUAAGUUAGUGGAUGAAAAUGGUCAAGAAUGACCUUAUAUUAUAUGUUAUAUAUUAACUUAUAAAGGUUAAAUUAGUAAAUAAAAUAUUAUAAUGUAUUUAUAAUAAAACAAAACAUAAAUUAAAAGCAUUAUCAUGUUCAUCUUGCCGAAAGUUGCUAAAGAAAAAGAAAAGAAAAGAGCUUUGAAGCAUUCGGCCAUUACUAAGCUCAAUCAAGGUAUAUUUCGGUUUCGAUUUUUGAUGAUUUUUAUGUUUUUGAGAUCGUUGCUUCGAGUACUACAAAGCCCAUGCUUGAAUUUUUGAAUUAGUUGUGUAUUUUGUGAUAUGCCAUUGAAGAGAGCUUGUUGUUUUUGUUGUUAGAUGAUGGAAAAUAAAUAUAUGUUGUUAGAUUUUCAUGUUUUAAUUAGUAAUUUUUGAUAAAAAAUGUGUAUUAAGGACUAAAUUAAGAAAAGUGUAAAUUGAGGGGUCAAAAUGUGAAAUAAAUGAAAUGUGUAGACUUAGAUGGACUAUAGGAAUAUUCGGCCCUGGCAUGAUAAAUGCAAAUUUUGUGUAUUUUGUGUUUUAUGCAAUAGGGACUAAAUUGUAAAAAGUGUAAAAUGUCAGGGGCAAAAUGGUAAUUUUCCCAUUUAUGUGUUUUUGGAUUAAAUUAAAUGGAAUUAUGUUUAAAUAAGUUUAAUUUCAAUAUGUUUAGAUCAUGAACCAAAGAAAAUGGAUUUGGAUCGAGGAAAAACAAAAAUAAUCGAAUAGUCGUCUAUUCCGUCCGUCGAUAUCCGAUGUAAGUUUAUAAGCAAAUAGAUGUUAUAAUUUUUAAUUAAAUGUGAAUUAUAUGUGCUGAAAUGAAUAUGUUAAUAAAUAUAUGUAUUAGCCGAAUGUGUAUAAGCUUGGCAGUUAUGUUUAUGAAUUUGUUUCGACUGAGUUACGACGUCCGAAAGCCCCGUAUGAGCCUUAGGAAUAGUUAGGAUACAUAUGUCAUGACAUAGGAUUUCGAUAUGUAUUUUCGUGUAAGAUCACGUCUGGGACGUUGGCAUCGAAUUGUUUAUACGUAUAAGACCAUGUCUGGGAUAUUGGCAUCGUAUUUGAUUUGUGUAAGACCCUGUCUAGGACAGUGGCAUCGAUAUGUGAUUAUAUGUAAGACCACGUCUGGGACGUUGGCAUUGUACGAGCCUUCCGACUAUCCGAGUAUCCUUUUUAAUUCCGAAUGGUUCAACGGGUAAAGAUAAGUUGUGUACGAAUGUUUAAAUCAGGCUAAGUGACCAGGUAUGUGAUAAUUGAUUAUCUAUUUGAAAAUAAGGUAAGUUGUAUACUUGAAUUGAUGAUAUGAAGUUAUGUGAAAUAUGAAUUAUGUGGUUGUAUAUUUGAAUAUAUAUGUAUUCGGCCUUUGAUGUAUAUGUGUAUUGAGGAAAAUGAUGAUUAGUUAUAUUAUCAAUUAAUUAUUUGGUAAAGAGGGAAGUUAUUACAAAUUAUAUAAGUUUUGAUAUAUAAUUUGAUAAAUUGAAUUAUAUGUGAAAUUAUAAUGGUUUAUUACUAAUUGUCUAGCUUAAUUUACGUAAAUGAUUAAAUGUUUAUUUGCUUAUGACUUACUAAGCUUUGAUAGCUUACUGUGUGUAAUCGCUUUCUGUUUUAUAGAUUUGGAAGUUGGUUAUGAGCUCGGCGAUCGUCAGAGAAGUCUAUCACACUAUCGAGUACUGUUUUCGGUAUUUUACUAAGUUUGAAAUUGAACUUAUGGCAUGUAUAGUCUAGUUAAUAUGUUUGAUUUCGGGUAUGUUAAUAUGAGCCAUGCGAAAAUGGCUUAUUUAUUUUGUGCUUUUGAACAAGUGUUAGAUAUGUUGAUUUUGGUAUCUCGGCUAUGGCAUAUUUAUUUAUGUGAAUUAUGUUUGAUAUGUUUUGUUAAGAAUGUGGUAAAUAAUUCGGCAUAGGUGAGCUUAGAUGAAGCAUAUAAGUGAAGUGAGUUUGGUAUAUAUAUGUUAUGGUGUUUUAGUCACGUGCUUCGGCAAUGAGGUAAAUGAUAUUCAAGCUUAAUUAAUCUUGGUUAUGUGUUAUAUAUAUAUAUGAUAUGUGUGAUAUGUUUAGUUUUGGUAUUGGUGUUUCGACUAUGGUUUAUUUAUAAGUAAAUAUAUGUGAAUCUUGUUUGAUAUGCUUUGUUAAGGUAUUGUUAUGUAAUUUAGUAACUAAGAGAACUCGGUUAUGGCAUAUAGGUGAAAUGCUAAGUAAAUCAUAGAUGAAAUGAUAGUUAAAUUUGGUUUGUAAUAGUAUAUUUACAUUAAUAAAUUGAUUUGAAAGAAACUAGUAAUGUGCAUGUGUAUGUACGGUUAUAAGGUAUGGAAGAACAUGUGUAUAUUUGGUCAUGAUCUAGACCUAUUUUGGAAGUGUGUUUUAUGCUAUAAAUUGGUGUAUGGAUAUAGGUUUGGAAAAUGUGAAGUGAUAUGUAUGAUUUUAUUAUUUGAAUCGAUAUGGUUUGAUUAGGAAAUGGCAUAUUUUGACUUAUGAUUUAAUGGCUAAAUCUUGUACAAUUUAUUAGGUUAUUUAUGGAUGCCAAUUUGUUAUGAAAUAAAUUAGGAACGUGGAGUAUUUAAUAAAGUUACGAUUUGCUCAUGCAAGUGGACUUAAUAUUCGAUUUUGUAUUUGUAAAAUGAUAUGAAUUGUAUGGAUUUUUGGAUAUGGCUAAAAUGGUGUAUUCAUAUGCGCAAACUUGUAAUAGAUAAAUAUGCAUGUUUUUGGUCUUUUAAAUGAUAUAUAUAAAUGAUUUUUAAAGUAGGCUUAAAAUUUAUGAAUAAGAUACAUACAAAUUCGGGUAAUGAUAGUUAAGUGAGUAAUACAAGUUUGAAUUUAACUUUUAUAAAUUUAUUGAAUUAGUCGAUUAAAGGAUAAGUUGAUUUGUAUUGAGUGUGUAUAGUUUAUGAUUGAAUGAUUUCAUUGAAAUGGGCAUAUGUGUAUAAUAUAACGACAUUAAAGGUAUGUAAGGCUAAAAUAUAAUGUUACUAAUGUUGCAUUUGUGAUUAGACAUUAAGUUGUAUACAUAUUGGUUUCAUUAUGUACAUAUGCAGAAGUUAUGAAAUGCAAAGUGUGAUAUUUAGAUAAUGAAAUUAUGUACGUACAUAUUCCCUGUAUAUGAAAAGUGAGGAUAUAUGCUUGAAUAUGAUUUAAUUAUGAAAAUGUCGUUAAUACGAUGGAUUUAGGGAAAUCGAAUAUUGAAAAUAUUAUAUACUUGAACAUGACUCUGAUAUAUACAAGUUUGGUUCGAAUUUGUUAAUUAUAGAAUAUGUUCGAUUGAGCUUUGAUGUAUGUUUAAAUUGAAUUAAUUUGAAUUUUAUAAUGUGUUUAUUUCUAAUACAUGCUUAGUAAGGUAUGAUUGAUUUGAAUUGUAAUUAUCAUAUAUAUUUGAAUUUAAAAUACUUGAAUUAAGGACAUUCAAGUUUGAUAAUGUUAUAAAUGUAUCGUUAUUCUUUGGUGUAUGAAAGGUGAUAAAUGACUGUGCUAAAUUGUGUCUUGUAUGGUAAUGCCUCGAAACCCUAAUCUGGCAACGGAUACGGGUUAGGGGUGUUACAAUAGUGCUGAUUUUAGGGGAUAUUUUGAUGAGAGAUGAUUAUAAACGGUAUUUAAAUGAAUCUAGCACUAGGAGUGAAAAGUCACAGUUGGACAUUUAUUUGGAAGAACCGGAGCUUGAGUUGAAUAGUCAAAUAGAUGUUUUAGAUUAUUGGAGCAAAAGUUCAGUUCGAUACAAUGAGCUUUCAUUAUUGGCUCGUGAUAUUUUGGCAAUUCCAAUAUCGACUGUAGCUUCCGAAUCGGCUUUUAGCAUGGGUAAGAAAGUUAUCACACCUGUCAGGAGUUCACUUAAGCCAAAAACGGUUCAAGCCGUUGUUUGCUUGGAUGAUUGGAUGAGAGAUAAGGGAUUUUCAGCAGGUAAUUAUUAUUCUCGUUUUAUUGUUGUAAUUUUAUAUUAUUUUUUCAUCAAUUUGAUUAUCUAAUUAUUUAUUCUUAUUUCAUGUUAGAAAUUGGUUGCAAAAAGGACGAUGACGACGAGGUUUCUUCAGUUGCUUUUUAAGAUACUUUUUUUUUUCUAAAUGUUUAAAUUUUAAUUUAGCUAACAAUUUAUAUUUCGUUAUAAAAUUAAAUAUGUUGAUGGAUUAAUGUAUGAAUACUAUGGUUUGUUGUUUAUUGCUAUAAAAUUAAGUAUGUUUAAAUAUUUUGUUAUAAAAUUUAGGUGACAGGAUAGAAUUGGAAGUGAUAACAUUGGACUUAUAGCAAUGAACUGCCUAUGGGAGAUUUGAGAGUAUUGUUAUUAAUAUUACAAAGGUUUGUUCAAGACUCUCCUACCAAAUUUUGAUUUCUAUAGUUCUUUAUUUGUCCAACUAAUUUAUGUAUAAGAAAUAGAACAGAUUUGCUUAUUGGCCAGGAAAUAUCAAAUUAGAAAUAGAAAUGGAAUAAAUAAAUCCAUGUAUUGUAUGGCUUUAAUAAUACAUAACUCCAGUAAAAAGAAAGAGACCCACUCAGCUUACUAACAUUGUGGGCUCUUGUAAAGGGACUUGGAAGACAUUUUUGACUUGUCGGUCUCUAAAACCACACAUUAUUGGUAAUUGGUAAAUCCUGCACAUGUAAUAUUGGUUGGUUUUAAGAUAAAAAAAUGUAAACUUAUUUGUUUACAAAAAUACUUUUUAACAGCACUGACAAAUACGAACUGUAAAUAAAAAGGAAUAAAAAGAAAUCUGUUACAAAAUAAUAAUAAAACAACAUCAGGUUUGUUUUACUAAUCAAAUGUUAGAUUUUGUUACAACAAUUAAUACAAUUAAUAAUUUGAUAAUUUUACUAAUCAAAUGUUAGAUUUUGUUACAACAAUUAAUACAAUUAACAAUUAAUAAUUUGAUAAUUUUACUAACAAUUAGUUUUAAUUUUAUUAAAAAUAUAAUUUUAAUUUUAAUUAAAAACGGGCUAGGUCGGGCCGAGCUUGGGCUCCAUUUUUUUUCUCAGGCUGGGCCGGGCUCGGGCUUGGGAAGCGGGCUAAAAUUUUUUCUUGGGCCUGGCCCAAACCCAGCCCGGCCCGACCCAUGGACACCUUUAGGUAUUGUCGGUUGAACUGCUGGGCCGGGUGACUGUGUCGGUGUUGUUGUUGUUGUUGGGCCUGAUGAAGUUAUGGGCGCUGAUGAUGGGCCAGGUAAAUUUUUGAGCCUCGUUGAUGGGCCUACGUCGUCAUCCCUUCUUCUUGGAUUUAAAGAGCCACGUUGUUCCCUUUGGACACACAAUUGUCGCUGCCUCUCCUUUGGCGAGAGUAAAUACGGCUUGCCAUGGUUCCUAAACCAUGGCAUGUAUUCCGGCACGCACGCUAACUCUGGAACGAUGAUCAGUUCCCAAGUAGAUAUAUAGUCAUACCGAUCUUCUCACAUCUGGAUGUAGUGUGACCAGAAUCUCGGCCAAUUCGUAUGUAAUUGUCGUAGGUUAAUUUUGUGAUGAUAAUCCAACACCUCAGCUGACAUGGGAAUCGGUUAUCGGAAUCCAAAUUGCCGUAAUACUCUGUCUGAUUGGUGCAUCUCCACUGUCGCAAAGUUGACCAAUGGGACUUUCACAUGCCAACUAUUUGGAUUUUGCAAGUACUCAUCCGGAAUUACUGCCCGAAUUGCCGGAUCCUCGUAUGGUGUCCAUUCAAACUAUAUGACCAUGAUGGAAAUAUUAGUUAUGUACUAAAUACUAAAUACCAAUCGACUAUCUCAUUAUGGAAAUGUAUAUUUUAUUUAAUACUUACUUGUGCUUCUGACUGUUGGUCCAAUAGAAGCCGUAUAUCUUCAAGAGAGGUAGGUAAUCGAGCAUAACUUGCCGGAUGGUUCCACCUAAUUAAAUAAAUUUUUAGCAUUCGAUUAUAUUUUAAAUCUACGUAAUAAUUGUAAAAUCUAAUAUAAAAUUUACCCCGUUAUAAGUGGGAAUGUAUACGGGUGGUCCACUUGAGGACGUAAAAAUGGAAAACGAAACUGUGCUCAUGACUGCAGUAGUGACAAGUAACCUCCGAUUUUCGCUUUAUUCGGUCGCGUCGCCCCGCACAUCUCUCGGUACAAUUUUGCCAACACGGCAGACCCCCAGCUAAAUUCACCAACUGCUCGAAAAUCAACGAGUUUCAGCAGCCAUCUUAGAUGCACGAAGUUCCGUGACAAGUCCGGCAUCAGAUAUCCUCCAAUUAUCUGAAGAAUGUAUGUAUGAGCAUAUCUGAUUCUUUCUAUUUCAGUAGAAUCAUCAUCCGGAUCCGGGAAUGUGUCUCGUAACCAGCCCAUCUCGAUUCGACCUCUGCUAAUAUUCUCCGAAAUAGCGCCCAACAGCUCGUAGCAUACCGCUCCCCAAUCACCAGAUUGAAUAGACUCGGUGACUGCAUACCCGUUUAUUGGCAACCCCAAUUGCAAAUUGAUAUCUUCCAAAGUGAUAGUGCACUGUCUACAUAGAAGAUGGAAUAUGAGCGUCUCGGGUCUCCACCUCUCAAUCAAUGCACUGAUGAGUUUCGGGUCUAACUUGCAUCCCCGACCUACCGUCGCCACAUGCCAAAAACUCGCCUCCCGCAGGUAAUUCUCUACCAACGGUGAUGGAGGACCAUGCAUAUUGCGGAUAUAACAUUGCAAUAUCCAAUCUACAUACUUUUAUAAAAAUAAUAAAAUAAUAAUUAUUUAAAAUUACAUAAAUAAAAAAUCCUAAAUAAUAUUUAAAAAUUAAAUUUAACACUUACCAUUUUCAUUUGUUCCACGGAUAUAUGCUUGUCAUCAAGACGAAUCAAUUCCCCGGCCAUUGCUAAAUUGGUAAAAAAUUUUACGAUUUAAAAAAAGAAUUCAAAAAAAAUAAAUUUUAAAACUAUUUUAAAAAUAAUUAAAAAUUUGAAGCUAUUUUAAAUAGGAAUUUAAGAGGAAUUUGAGAGAAUACUAGAGAGAAAUUGAGAGAAAGGAUUUAGUUGUGAAAUUGGGGGGAUUUUUAUAGUUUUUUUUUUACUGUUGGGGUGUCACCAACGGUCAAACAAGUAGCUGUUGCUAUUGUUCACACGCAGGCAAAACGCGUCCCCAGGGGAGCGCUUACGUGGCAGCAAAACGCGCUAUUGAGGAAGCGAUUUAUGUCCACGUAAGCAAAGCGCGCCCUCAAGGACGCGUUUUUCUGUCACGUCUCCUGACAUCGCGCUGAUGUGGACGCGCUUUCGGGGAAAAUGGGCUAUUCCGAUAAAUAAUAAAAUACCGAGCCCAUUUCUUUAAAUUUAAAAAAAAGAAACUUUUUCUUGUAUUUUGCCCUAUUCUUUCAUUAGUUUUUUUAGUAAUAACUAUUGGUUACUUACAGUACCCCAACAAAAGCUAAGUAUGAUACAAAUAGAUGGAUUUCUUCUCCAGCGAGGUAAUAUCUCAUCUUGAAAUCAACUCUAAAACAUAAAUUAACAUUAAAAAGUUUUAACACUUAUAUCCACACUAAACAUUUGAACAUAAUACAAAAUAUGCUGCGUAUUUAUUCCCAAUAUUUUAGUUAAAUCAGAUGUGUAUAAGGUAAACACGGUAAAAUACUCAAUUAUCUAUUGUUAUUGUUAUUAUUAUUAUACCAAUUAUUAGACCUAAGGGAAUGAAGUUCUGGGGUAAGUAAUAAGAUGGAUUAAACCUGCAAAACUUCCAGCUGAAAAUUGAAGUUUCAAACUUUCAAUACAUCAACUUACGCUUGCCUACUGAAUCAGAUGUUAAACAGAAUCGUGAUAUGGCGAAAGAAACAAGAAGGAAAAAAAAAAAAAAACCUAAACGGGGUAUCCAUCAAAUCUUGCCAUUUUGAACGUUGAUAUUGUUCUUAGGUACAGGUUACAGUCUGGAGCAGG